CAAGACAAUCAAAUUAUAUCCAUUCAAAAAAUAGCAAUUGUUCACAUGACAAUACAGAGUUCCAACAAUCUAGUCUGAUUCCAAAAAACAAAUCUUAAUAUCAAAACAUCAGAAGCAUAUCUAGAAAGCGAUAUAAGCAUUUUUUUUAUAUUUCAAGUAACAUAACUUCCAAGAAAAAGAUGCACUAUUAGCUGAUUUUUAAUAUCCAACACUACACCACCGCUUCCCGACGGCUAUUCAAAGCACUUCAAUCUCCAAACUGCCAAACCUGCAUAGAAUCCAAAACAUACAUAAUUAUAACAAGUUAUAACAGCCAGCUCCCAAAUGAAUCUAGAGAGUAAUAAUAUUAGUUGAUUUUCCAAGCAAUCAUUCAAUAGACACAACACUACUAUAUUAAGGUACCAUGAAAAUGUGGACAACACACGCUAAAAAAUAGCAUACUAGUUACAAGUUAAAAAAUUGUUCUAUAAAUGUGACAUUUUAUCGUCCAAACAUAGAAAGGUCAGAAUCAUUUUAAAACAAAGGGUGGACAGAUCAUUUCAUAUUUGCAAAGUACAACAACAAAAUCAAAUUUAUAUGCAUGUGACAUGGCUUGGUGUAUCAAAAUGGACGAUUCCGUACAAUACAAUGUAGUUCUUAGUUAACAAAACAUAAAAGUAGUAAUACUAGAGGCAUACUUUCUUCAUCAAUUAUAGCUAAUUUCUAUCAAUAAACUUGCCUUUUGCAUGUAAAAAAAUUAGUCAAAGGCAAGGCCAUUUCGGGCAAUAGAAUGAUCCACUUAAUUAGUGAUCUUAUUAUGCUAACAGUACAAUUCUUUACAAAGACGGAACAUUUCUGAGGAUCAGAAAACUUUAGCUAAGAACUUUAGAAUAAAGAUGAACAUAAUGGUUCAGAUUUAGUCUGAUGCUUUUAGACCAUAACCUUAUCAUCUAGACUAACCACACCUGAGAAUUAUGAACAACAGUAACAUAUGUUGGAAGGAAGAAAAAAGCAUACAUUCUCCCAUUUACUGAUUAGCUUUCAUAGCAUACAAGGUACAUAAUUAUUUCUUCCCACGCUUCAAUAUGUGAUAGGAUACAAGGCACACAAUUAUCUCUGCCCACAUGAAAAUGUAUGAAGUAAAUAAUUCAAGGGAAUAUACCUAGAUCUUUUUUUCUCCAGUUCUGGUUGUAUACAUAACAUUUUAGUUUAAUUUAGCACAUCAUUCAUUAGUUAUUCUUUCCAUCAAGCUUUCACCAAUGACGUGGUGUGAAUAAUACCAAGAAAUAGAGAAUAUGCUAGUAAUAACACUAAAAUUUUGAGACUGAACAAAUGCACUAUGUAGCAAAUCGAACACUCCUAAAUCUGAAGCGAGAAUAAUAUACCAUCUUUUAGUAGUCUUAAAGAAAAAUGUGUAAUCUUCAUUUCCAUCGGUCCUUGAGAUUGGAACUAUGCACACGCAUUUCCAGAAAAACAAUAGUAUAAAAUCCAUCACCUCUGCUGUAACAAGCGAAAACAACUCAGCAUCAAUUAAACUAUUAGCUUGCAAACCCAAAGAGGAAGGGAAACAGAAGGAUUGUUUAUACAGCUAUAUUAAGAAGUCAGGUAAUAUUUAAAUUGAAUAAGACAUCAACGCAGUAAUGAAGUUCAUUUCAAGGGUUUCACUUUGUGUCACCUAUUUGAUCAAAGCAGAACCUAUCAGACAAAGAUUAGUAUGCUAGAGAAACAAUGAGUACAGCAUGAUGAAGAUGUACUCUCAUCAAUGUUAGGAAGUGAAAUGCAAAGUAACAACUCCAGUGUUUGCAUAGAACACACCAGUCUUGCAUCCACAUUGUUUGCAACCAUAUUAAUACAAAACUUAAAGAUUCAAUCAGAAAGCAGAAGAAUAAGGGAGGAAUAACCCACUAUCCCAGUGACAGCAAACAGCAAAGCGUAACAAACAGAGGAAGAAAUCAAUCUAAUCGCCCUGGUCGCGUAGGCCAGCCAAUGGACAGAUGUGUAGUGCAAGAUAUUACUGUGAUUACUUUGAACAAACGUGCAGUGCAACAUCGAUGUCACAACAUCCAUCAGUUUUACUUGUUGCUCUUUAGGGGCGUGUGGCUUUCUGGCUACAACAUCAACAGCAGCAGCAUGACAGGGGGUCAAAAAAAACUCGACCUUGGGAGGCAAGAGUGCGAGGCCAAGCAGGCGGUGGUGUGCGGUUUUUCUUCUUUUCGUUUGUUUUCAGGCAGGAGGGCAACCCGUUUAUCCAAUCUGUAGGAGACUACAAUCAACUUGGAACUCAAUUACUGAAUUAAUUGAAGAUCGUGAAGAACCUGCAGGUUUAAUUCCCAUUAUUGGAUUUCUUGCAUUGUCGUACUACAUCCAACAACAUUUCAACCUAGUGAAGAUUGAAGUUGCAGCAUUGGAAACCCCACAGCCAACGUCCAGUAACGGGAUACAAACAAAAGUCUAAAACUGUACCCCAAAAAUACAUCUAGAACUCAAGUACAAGCAAGCCAUUUGCCGAGAUGCACUCACCAUCUAAUGAAAUCAAUGCGGCCGGUGCCGUCCGCUCCACCUUGCAAUAUUGCCAAGUCUCAUGCUAGUGAUGAAAUUGGCUUGACCUUUCUUCCCAGUUCUAAUGUACAAACUUCCAUAACGUGCAGAUUUGUUUCAAAUGCAUGCUAUUAUAUAAUCUAUCAAGUAGACAACAAAAAAGCCAUUAGGACGAUAAUAAAUAUGUAUAUAUAACAUUAAAAUCUGCAACACCUGACGAAUUUUAUUUGAUAUCUAAAGUGGAAGUAUGGAUCUGAAGUACAUACAGAACCAUAGUUUUUUGAGAAAUAUACAAUACCAUAGUUAAUACACUGGAGGCAGGAGCAGAUACCAAAAUACAGUCGUUUCAUCAAACAAAUAAGGACAAGUAAAAUAGGGUGUUAUGGUCCAGUAUACAACCUUGCCAUGUCAACAAAUAUUACAGCCAACUAUGGUUCACGGACCACUAUGCACACCAAGACAAUUGAACUCUGACACCGGCAUGGUCAAUCACAUUUUACAUAAAAUAUUCAGGUAAUUAACAAGCAUAACAUUUCACAGCAACAUUCCGUAUUACUCGUAAAGGCAAAAGAACAGAAGAAGUGUAUAUACCAAACAAUAUUCAUGCAUAUUGAGAUGGUUCCAUCCAAGGCAAUCGAAGCUAACAGGAAAAUAAAAAGAUGCAUGUGUACACGCAACAACAAUCUGAGAUGAUGAAACAAACCUGCAGAGCUGACCAUCCCCAUGAGAAUAAACUGCAGAUCCCCCGACCCAAAUAAGGAGUGUAAGAACUCAAUCCCGAAGAACAAAAUAGCUGAGGAGAAGAGUGUGGGGGUUGGAGAUUCCUCACUCACAUUGGCUCUCAGCCGGAUGGAUCUGGAUCUGUGCCCGCCGCCGGAUGGACCUGGAUCCAUACCCGCAGCUGGAUGGAGCUGGAUCCGUGCCCGCCGCUGAUGACCACGGGGACUUGAUCCGGCAUGCCGUCCUGCCGCCACCGCUGCCGUCUCAGCUCGAAGUGUAGCACUGGGCCGCCGUAUCUCGAGGCCGCGAUCUGAAUGGGGAGGGGCAUGGCAUGGGGUAGACAGGGAGGGGUCUGGAGCGGGAUAGAUGAGGAGAGACCUGGCGGGGGGUGGUUUAGUGUCGGCGCCGCCGGUGCCGACAUAGAGCGACGCGAGGAUAGGUGGCGGCGGCUGAUGGUUGGUAUGGGAGGAGAUGGGGGAAGGGGAAGGGGAAGGGGAAUUAGGGUUAAAAAUGGGAAGCCUCGAAAAUUUUGACUCCCCACGUUGGGGACUUAAAACUUUGUUUCUCUCGCGCGCUAUGGUAGUUUUUUUGUCUCCAUAUAUUAUUACAUCCGACUGACAUGUGGGACAAAUAAAGAGCAUGCCACGAUACAUCGGUAGGAGCCCCAUCCAUGACGGUCCAAUGGUGUAUUCAUAAAGGAAAAAAGUAGGUCUGAGUAGUCCCGCUUAGUCAAUUCAUGACGGUUUCCAUGACAGUCCCUCGAUGUCCGUCAUGAAGGGGCUAUCAUUUUGUAGCCCAUUCACAUCUUCCUGAUCUGUGCCGGUUUCCGUGACAGUUUAUAGGAAUGUCAUCAUAAAUCCGUCAUGGAUUAACAGAUUUCUUGUAGUGAAGGUUGUUUGCUGUGGUCUCAUUGUGCAUAAUAGGGCCAGCCAUUAUAGCUCGUAUUGGGGAAGAGGUUGUGCUGUGCUGGGUUGAGGCUAGCGUGUCCUUUUUAUAGAAAAAGGGUACGGAGUCUUCCUUCACACGCUUGCGAAUGAGACAAUUUAGGUGUUGAUCACUGGCGCGUGAUCGACAAGCUAGGCUGAUAGGUUGGGCACCGACUGCCGAAAGGUGUCGGGGUCACUAUGUGGCUAUCUUACACGAGAAGCUUAGCCGGGGUUAGGUUAAGGUCUGGUGGAUUGGUUAAUCUAGGUUUAUUGACCUGGCUAAGAUAGGAUUAACCAAUGAUCAGCCUAGCUCUGAUACCAAGGUUGUCAGGACCGUAUUUUCAGGGUAUUAAUUUCCAAGAAAAUGGCCCUUGUGCUCACCAGCCCCAGGAUUACUGUUAACUGAUGAGACACCAACUCGAUACAGAAACUCCAAGCAAAAAAACAUAAUAUGUAGUACAAGACCAUUCUAGCCUAUGAGUACAACACAAGGUUUCUGGUGGCUGAUGGCGGAAGCGGUUUGUGGUUUAUCAGCGUCUAUGGGACUCCAUCUCCCACAGGAAUAGCUGACCAGGAUAACUCCUAUCUUCGCAAGGCUGCUAUCAUCUUUACAUAGGCUCCGGGGCUGUCAUCGCAACACUUCUCUCCGUGCAAGAAAUCUGGCCAAGACAAUAGCCAGGGACAAGCAAUGAGUACUUUUGAAUGUACUCACAAACAUUAUGAACACAUGUAUAAUAUAAUGAAUGAUAAUCAUGUUCUAAAAUACUUCAUGAUCACACGUCAGUCAUAAAAAAAUCCAUGAUGCAUGCAAGCAGGUUAUUCAUAUACAACAUGAAUAUGCAAUAAGGGAGUAGGAAUAGAAUGCACCGAUCGGGUGUCUGAAGCGACGCCUCGAAAGGAUAAUAAUAUAAAGCAUGCCACAGUCGGGCGUCUGAGCGACACCACAUAAAGGGCUUAUAAAUAAUUUAAAUGACAAGCAUGCCACAGUCGGGCGUCUGAGCAACACCACAUAAAGGGCUUAUAAAUAAAUAAUCACAGUGAAUAUCCAGUAGGUAGAACCAUCCCAGGGAUACUCAAUAAUUCAAAUAAUGUAAAUGGUUAGUCCACAAUAAUAAUAAUCAUAAUCAUCAUAUGUCACAGGUCAUAAUCAAUGCUCUGGUUUAGCAGUUUUUCCUCCGAAGACCGACACUAAGACCGACACUUGACCCAUCCCAGACUAUAGUCCUUAACCAUGGACACGGCUAUUCAAAUAUAUAUAAUAUUUGCAGAGGGUGUACUCUUUACUCACGAGUAACGGAUUCCAUUCGUCCAUCGGGACUAAUUCCGUGUAUGGUCUUUUAAUUGAAAACACACCUGACCGCACACACCAGCCUGACUUACCGGUGUCUGGAAUCACCCACGACACUCGUUAAGCAAAACUCUAUGUGGGGAGGCUACAACCUCGAUUAGCAUGGGAUCACAAAAUUUAUAACGCGCGCAAACUAGGGAAGCUACCCCCUCGGCUACAAUCGGAAACACCCAUGCCCCUGGACCAGGUGGCAUGCCUACCGGAUGCAGCCAGUAUCUUCCACCAUGGCCUCUAUAUACGGUGUAUGCUAAGAAAGGGGUUGACAACUUACUGAACCGUACCCUACCUACGGCGGGGACAAGUGGUAGUACGAAACAAGCAUGGGGGUUACUGGAACAAGACUCGAUCUAUGGUCGACUCAGGAGGUUAAAGUAUUUCCUGCAUAAUUAGCAUAACAAAUAUGUUUCAACCAACAGACAGAAUCACCACUCCGCAUACCUCACUUAUGUUAUAACGGACACAACCGUCUCGAUGAAGACUGGAGACAAGCUCGUGUCUACCAAGACAGAGGCUUUCCCGGAUUCAUUCCAAUAAGCAUGAAAGGUAUACAAGGGUAAUUUCUAUCACAAGCAUAUCAAGUCCCAACAGCAAGGAACAUUCAUUAUGCACUCACGAGUAUGAUCAUAUCAUCACAUAAAAUAACAAAUUCUCGUGUUAAGGUGGUGUUGUAACCAUAUCACACAACAAUAUUAUGCCAGGGUUCAGAAAUGCUUGCCUUCAAGUUGUGGAGAGCCAGGGUGCAUUCCAAAACUUUUGAAAGUUUUCUUCUCUCUCCAUUAUCCUAUUUAAAUAUUUUUUUGAAUUCAACACAUAGUUUCAAAACAGUACAAAAAAGUUGUUUGGAAAAUUUUCAAAUAAAUAUGUAAAUAAACUAGACAAAAUUUGUGAAACCACAAUAAAAGAAUCAAAUCAUUUGGACCUAUAUUUAAAAAGAUAUAGCCAGUCAAAGUUUAGUCAAAAUCUGUUUUUAAUAAUUAAAUAAAAGAAUCAGAAAAAGAAAAAAAAGGUUCGAGGGGGAAAGCGUACUCUGCGCUUUAUGCUUCCACUUAUGCCAGCGUGGACCGGCGCGUGGGUCAGUGACAGUGGGUCCCUUGGGCCCACUGGUCAGGUUUGACCAGUCGCCCGCCUCCUUCCUCCUCUGUCCGAGCGGAGGCGGAGCUCCGGCGAUCACCGCUGGAGAACAGCGGCUCCCCGCGGGGUUCCAAGGGCAGGGAUGGAUCCUCCAGUCCAGGGCGGUCCUCCGAGUGGUCGAGAGGGUGGCGGGGACGAAGGGAGUCGCCGGUGGCGAGCUUUGCGGCGGACGGAAACUUCUGACGGGUUGGGGUCUUGGGCUAUGAUGGCUCCCGAUCAAAGCUGAGUGGCUGGGCAGCUCCGCACGGCUGAGGGAAGGAGGAUGGAAGCACUGGAUGGACGGGGGGCUUUGGAGGAAUGGCUUGAGGUCGCUUGAGGUCUGGACGGGCUCGGGGGCUUCUUUUAUAGCGUAUCUAAGUCGGUUCUGUCACAUCCCUAGCUUCUAGUAAUGCUCUAGGCUAGCUUCAUGUGUGCAUCAUGUUUAAAUUUCAUUUAAAUUUGAAAUGAGGAUUGGUGGAACCCUCAGAAUCAUGUUGAAAAUGACCCAAAUAAAAAAAAUUCCCCAAAAGGGUCCAAGAAAAUGCUCAUGUUGCCCUCUGAAAAUAUUGGACAGAGAUAAAAAUCAAAACAAUAUUUUUAGGAGCUCAUGGACAUUUAAUUUGGCCAUUUGGAUUAAUUCGAUAAAUAUUUGCAUUGGAAAGAUAUUUCUAUAUAUAUGAAAUAUGGUCCAAAAAUUAUGCCAAUUAUAAAAGAGCUCUGGAAUAAUACCAUUAGCCCCUACAAAAAUUGGCAUAAUAAAAUUAAAUGAUUUAAUAUAUCUGUUAAAUCAAACAAAUGUCAGAAAAAUAGAAAACAGAGGUAAAAUAGGAAAAACAGAGAGAGGGAGGGAAACAUUACCUGCAGCCCACCUGGGCCACUUACCUGUAGCUGGCCUAGCUCCUCCCGCUGGCCCAGCCCACCUCCUCCCCUUUGUCUUCUUCCUCCCCUCGCACCGAAGCAGCUCGGUGGCGAGCGCCGAUGCCGCCUCGGCCACCUCCUGCCUCCCUGCUUGCCUCCGCUACUCCCUGGAGACGCCACGCGGCUCCCUCAGGCCUCUCUCAACUCCCUCCCGUGCUCAUCCCCUUCUCCUGCUCUCCCUCUCGCUCCGCACCUCGGACCCGAAUGGAGCCGUCGCCACCGACGCCGUUCGCCGCGGCCACCAUCCCCCUCUCGCCUCCCCGACGCCUCCCAGAGCUCCGCAGUGCCUCCCUCGACCUCCUCGACGUCUCACGCGACCAGAAGGGCCCCGAGCAGCCGCCAUCGUCAUCAUCCCCAAGCUUCGGCCCCGGCGCCGUUCUCCGUCGAAUUCGGCCACUCCGGCGCGCCCCCGAGCUCGCUGACCCUCCCUGCGCGAUCCCCGUGAGUCCCUGCUCUGUUUCCCCCUAACCCCAAGUUCGAUUUCGAGCUCUAGCCGCCCCCUCUACCGGAGCCGAGACGCUCCGCCGCACGGACUCGUCGCCGGCGAAGCCCCGGUGACCAAACGGCCCCGCGCGUGCGUCCGUUGCACUCGCAACGACCCGUGGAGCAACGCUAGCGUGGCAGCUAGCUUGUUUGCAAGCCACAGCACUAACCCCGCACCCACCCGAGCUCCGGCCGCCGCCUCGGGCUCCACUCCGGCGGACUCCGUCCACCCCCGCACCUCCCGUUGGCCCCCCUAGGUGCGCACGGGCACGGGCUACCUUCUGGUGCCCUUCGCGCGUCCAGCCGUCGCCCGUAGCGCAACCCCGGUGAACUUCCGCCGCGUUCCGGGUCGCCGCCGGCCGAACUCCGGUGGCCAGUGACGUGGCUGGCUUAAUUAGCCACUAAUCACCGCUUUGUGACACUGACAGCAGGGCCCCACCUGCUAAUUAAUCAUAGAUUAGUUUCUGUUUAGUUUUUAACUAAUCCAGUGGCCCCACCCGUCAGCAUUGACUCUGCUGACGUGGCCUUUGACCCGGCCCCACCUGCCAUUGACACUAAACAGCCCUGGGUCACUGACCAGUGGACCCCACUGGUCAGGUUUGACCUGGAGGCGCCCUGUUGACCUGCUCACGUCAAGGUGAUGACAUGCUGACGCCAUAAUUCAUUUUCUGGAAUUAUUUUAAUUCUAAAUAAUCAGAAAAUUCCAGAAAAUAGCUAAAACUUCAAUAAAUCAUAGAAAAUUAACCGUAACUCCAAAUGAAAUAAAUUAUAUAUGAAAAAUUAUCAGAAAAAUUCAAGGAAUCCAUCUGUACCAUUUUCAUGCAUGUUAGAACAACUUAUAGCUGCUGUUUAGCACAAAUCAAUUAAAGGGCAUUUAAAUAAUCACAUAUGGAGUUUGAAUUUGAAUCUUGUAUUCAAACCAACUUCAUUUAACUUGUUGCUAGAUGCAUUAGCCCAAAACACAUUCAUUUUGCUAUGUCAUGAUCAUGCAUCAUAUUGUGCAUUGCAUUGAUUGUGUUUCCUUCUGUGUUGCCGGUAUUUGUCCCCUCUCGAUAGACGUGAUACCGAGGAUGUGAUCGUUGACACUGAUGAAGACUCAAUGUUAUCUUCAGAAGUGCCAGGCAAGCAAAACCCCCUUGUUCAUUCCGAUAAAAUCCCACUCUCUCGCUCCAGCUCUCUUUUACUGCAUUAGGACAACAACGACAUAUUUGAUACUUGCUGCGGUAGCUGAACCCCUUUAUCCUUUGCAUGACCUGUCAUUGCCACAGUAAAUAGAUGAAACCCACUAGCAUGAGUAGGAGUUGUUUGAGCCCUGAUGUGCCUACUCAUUCAUGCUUGUUUGUCAUGCCUGCUACUGCUUAGAGUUGAGUCAGGUCUGAUUCAUUGGGGAUGAAUCAGAGGCGUGUGAACAUGUCCUACUGUGUGUGAGCUAAGUGUGUGAACACGAUUUGGUAAAGGUAGCGGUGAGAGGCCAUGUAGGAGUACAUGGUGGGUUGUCUCAUUGCAGCCGUCCUCAGGAACUGAGUUCUGUGUUUGUGAUCCAUGACCAGCUACUACCACACAUUGGAAUGCUUAAGUGCCCCUCUCGACUUAUUAAUCAACAUGAUCUCUGUCCAGGAGUUGCAACUAGUUUCUGGUGUUUGUAGGUAGUGUUAGUAGUCUACCAGGUGGCACCCGGUACAGGUGGGCUUGGGACAGACUAGGCACAGUGGCACGGUGUACCAAGUGGCACCCGGUUGGUGGGCUUGGGAACCCUGCACACAUCGUUUGGGGCCGUGAGCGACACCCCGGCCGGAUCUCCUUGCGGAUGGAACCCGAAUAGGCGAUAAACCUGGACUAGAGACUUGUUCGGUUAGUCAGGUCGUGGCCGACUCCCUCGCCUGGCUUCCGCUUGAAGGUUGCCGAGGUACAUGACGUGUACAGGGCGAUAAGUGGCGAAAGCGUGUGUGAAGAAGUACACCCCUGCAGGGUUAACAUCAUCUAUUCGAAUGGCCGGAUUCCUCGGAUAUGGAAACGUGGACCCCUUGUACAGUUCAUAGACAAGUGAAAGUGGAUACUCUAAAAUACGCAAGAUAAGCGUGAGUGCUAUGGAUGGCGUUCUCGUAGGGAGACGGGAGCGGAUCCAUAGUGGUGUAUUGAUAUGGUGAAUAUGUGGACUCGUGUGCGCCACCUCAAAGAGUUACUUGCAGUCGUAGUUCAGGAUAGCCACCGAGUCAAAGCUGGCUUGCUGCAGUUAAACUCCACCAUCCCCUUUGUUGAUAAUGAGGCAUAUGUAGAUAGAUCUGAUGUAAGUCUUGCUGGGUACAUUUGUACUCACGUUUGCCCAUUUUAUGUUUUGCAGAGAGACUUCAGUCUCACUAGUAGUUCCGCGUGGACUUCGACGUUUAGCUUGAUACCUCAGCUACGAUCUUGUGCCCUCGGCAGGAUCUGAUAAAUAGUCAGGCUUCUCAGCCCUUUUCAUUUAUAGAUGUCUGUACUCAGACAUGAUAGCUUCCGCUUGUGCUUUGACUUGUAUGUUCUGAUUGUUGGGUCAUGAGACCCCUGUUUGUAAUAUCUCGCUCCUUGGAGCCUAUUGAUUAAAAUAUUUGAGUCGUAGAGUCAUGUUGUGAUGCCAUGUUGUAGUUGCACAUAUCGAGCAUAUUGUGUGUAUGUUAUUGAAAUGCUUGGUAUGUGUGGGAUCUGACAACCUAGUUGUUUAUCCUUGGUAGCCUCUCUUACCGGGAAAUGUCUCCUAGUGUUUCCACCGAGCCAUGGUAGCUUGCUACUGCUCCGGAACACUUAGGCUGGCCGGCAUGUGUCCUUCUUCGUUCCUGUGUCUGUCCCUUCGGGGAAAUGUCACGCGACGAAUACCGGAGUCCUGUUAGCCCGCUACAGCCCGGUUUACCGGAGUCCUGCUAGCCCAGUGCUACAGCCUGGAUUCACUCGCUGAUGACCGACACGUUCGAAGCUGGGUCAUGGAUGCCUGUCCCUGUAAGUCUGUGCCACUUUGGGUUUACGACUAGUCAUGUCAGCCCGGGCUCCUUAUCAUAUGGAUGCUAGCGACGCUAUCAUAUACGUGUGCCAAAAGGCGCAAACGGUCCCGGGCAAAGGUAAGGCGACACCCGUGGGAAUACCGUGCGUGAGGCCGCAAAGUGAUAUGAGGUGUUACAUGCUAGAUCGAUGUGGCAUUGAGUCGGGGUCCUGACAGCGUUGGUAUCAGAGCUUGACUGCCUGUAGGAUUACCAAGCCAAACUGGUCGAAGUUGAGUCUAGAAAUGCUUUAGUUAUAUGUAAGGGAAUUGAUUGUGGGAUGGAACGUAAGGCUCUUUUUACUCCUUAUACCUUAUGCCCUUCUGAUCUGAGUCAUCAUCUUAUCUUCUACGGGGAUUAAGAACUAGGCUAUCUCUUCUUUCUAUCAGGAUCACGUGUUACUAAUCCGUAGACUUAUAAGAUUGUUGAUUCAAGCCUCAGUUCAGCUCCUACUACUUCCGUAUGUUAACUGUUGAUCUCGAAACCUUGAUAUUGUGCUUCUGAGUGGUUAUGCCACCAUUUUUGUGAAUGUCUCAAAUCUUUUCUGAGCAUUUACAGCCGUUAUGCUGUCCGAGUCAUCCCAGGUUUCUAAAUAGUCUGAUGCAUUUGCAAAAUCCUUUCCCUCUGGUCUCGAUGUUCCUUUAUGCCAGCUCAAUCACACUAAUUGUUGAGUUGGGGUAUUCUAUUGCCUUGACAUUAUGUUGGAGUUACUAUAAUGACCUUAGGUGUCUCAGGGGAUCAUCUAGUAGCCUAGCCAUGAUUUAUGCUCCAGUGUGAUGACUCUGGCCGUCAUUAUCGAAAGCAUCCCGUGAUGCCAUUUGGUUAGUAGGUAUUCUAUUCCUUGGGCUUUGAACCCGAGAUUCACUCUACUUACUUCAUGUUGAUAGUGUUUGCUAGUUCCUUUAGGAUAUUAGUAACUUUGCGAUAGUCCUCGAGGUCCGUGGUAUUUCCUUCUUCCAAUUACCAUGAACCACUCUUGGCAAGAGUUCUUCUGGAUUAAAAGAUCACAAUUAGAGUACUCUUGAGGAGAUCUCCACUCAUAAAUCGUGACUCUGCCAGUUCUACCUUUCUGCAUGGGUUAUCCGGAAGAAAUAUGUUGAACUUGGUUCGACAUACUAAUCUAUGCAUCCACAACUCAGAAAGUUAUAUGUUCCUUUGAGCUGUUCUCUUUAGUUGCAUUCUGACCCUCGUCUAUCAAUUGAUAGUCAAGAGUAUGCGUGCGUUCGUUCAUUGAUGCCUAUGACUCUUGUGGUCUGUCAAGCCAUUCCAUUCCGGGAUGACUAGGAGAAACAAACUCCAGUACCUCUUCCAUAUCUAGGAUUGGGACAAAAAAGUUGUGCUCCACAGAACAAAUUGCUAAUCCAGCUUUUGUUCUGCUCUAUCUUGGAGUAUUACCAUCUUUAUAUCGGGAUGUUAUAGGAAUUGCACACCAUCCUAUGCACUCUUGGUACAGUGAUACUUCUUGCCAUCAUUGUUCAUUCCUCGGUUCCUGUAUUAUUGUAACCGGAAUACCGACAAGUGAAUCGUGAUGUGUGAAAUCAAUACUGCUAGCAACUCUGUUGCUUGAUAGUUAAAGGAUAAUAAUUUCAUUCUUAGUAUGUUGGUUUUCGAAUCAUCCUUCUAAGACUGAUCGGCUACCUAGUCCUUAUUUCGGUGCACCCUUCGAUUGACGAGUUAGGAUCUUGUCAAGUCCUCACUCAUCUGAUCAUAUCGCUUUCCCUCAAAAGAAAGAUUAUUCUCGAGCUUAGUAACAUACCGGUGGUUCAUGACUUUCCAAAUAUCUUCUUGGAGGUGUUACCGGGUUGUCACCUGACCGCUAUGUUGAGCUCGUGAUCAAGUCGGGUUCUUGUGAACCACCCUUUCUCCAAGAAUCUGUGAUGGAUAUCCCGGAGCUAGUUGGUUAAGCUAGACAACAACUUGGAGAGUUGGAAGAUAAAAGCUUGUCUGACUUAGUUCAUGUUAAGGGAUAUUUUUCUGUGUAUGUGUGUGUGUUGAAGAAAGAUGAUAUCUUCAUUAAUUGGUCCUUGUGAUCAGUUGUUGGACCUAUUAUCUUACCCCAUCUAUAAUUUGAGUAUGGGCUAUCAUCCAAUCAGACCAGAACCAACGAUAUUCGUAAUGUUGUCUUACUCGUGGUUGAUCCCUCGAGCAUACACCAUUAUAUCUUUGGGUCUGACCAAUGCUAACACUUGUUCACUUAACUAUGGAAUUCCUUUUAAAAAGGAAACCCGGAAGAAUUGUUGUUGAGCCCAUUGACAACAUCCUUAUCUCCUCCAUGAUUUUGUUGAACAUUAAGCUAGUGUUGGAAACUUUUGAAAGCAUUUCUUCAUGCUAACUCAUGAAGCAUUUGUUUGAUGAAAGGAGUGACUUCCUCUUAUACACGUGCAUUUGGUGAUAGUUGCCGCCGUGGAUUCGAGAAAGUCAAUGUUGUUUCCUUUGGAAUCAUCCCAAAUCAGUCAUGCAUACGUGCGAAGUAUUCUGUGGUUCGGAGACUUGCAACCUCCAUUCUAUAUGGGUCCCUAGCACACCAAGCCACUGAUUGAUUUGUUCAAGAUUAAUAAGUUUUAAGUGCUAGUCCUGAAGGUACCAGACGGAUUUGUACAAAACUUCGAUAUCCUCGCUGAUGGUUUCCCCUCCUGAACUCGGUAGUGUUUUAUUAUAAGACUACUUUGUGGUCAUGCUUGUCUUGGACAACGUGUUCACAUGUUUGUAGCAGAACCAGCUCAUGUUUUGGAGCUUACUAUCGUAGUUCAUUCCCCGAGAAUCUCGCAGCGUUGUCUCGUCGGAUUGUGUUGCAAACUUUCAUUUUUCUUCCUAGACUCGAUGAGUCUGGAAUAUCCUGACACCAACCAGAUCUGAAUCUCAGGCAGAUAUGAUGGUUUGGAACAUUUCCCAAGAACUAUAAUAUCGGUCCCUCGAAAACUGGUAAAGUGGAUGUCGUGGCCAACACACCCAGCCGGAAGACCUGUUAUUAUAAUAUCUUGAUUGAGGAAGUUGGCCACCUCCCCAUAGGGAUUUCGUAGGAUUUACUCCCUAGUUGCCCUAUGGAUUUCGAGAUCCCGAAGUCCGACCCUUUACUUGAUGUUCUAGAUAUCAAACCAUAUCUAUGAAUGGGUUACGCUAGCACAUCAAGGAGAACAUUAGAAGCAGAGUGCUAAAUGUCUCUCGGUCGAUCAUCCAGAUUUUGUUUCUUUGGCCUCGCCAAGGUGAAAUCUAAGAAGGUGUUAUCUUCCUUUGCAUCGGCAUUUUCCACCGGUAUUCAUCAUGGUAGUAAGUUGUGUUGCCAGAAUCCUUGACACGGAUAUUGGUAAAACCUUGAUGAUUAUGGAAAUGCUCAAGUUCUUGAGAGCACGCACAAGCGUUAGGUGUUACCAUCGGCACUAGCUAGGUUUGCUCUCUACUUCCUUGGUUAUGCUAUAACUUCUCAACAGUGGAUUUACUCUCUAUUGUUGGGUUCUUCCCCAGUUACCAGAAUCAUUCCCAGCAUUUGCAUUUUGUUCCCAGCUUGCACCGCCAAUGUGCCAUUCUACCAUGGGUCCCUUCCAUUUCCGGUGAUAAGCAAAAAUCAUCCAUUACGUUGUCUUCCACAAGGUAAUCCACAUCACCCAAGUUUGAGUAUGCCAUUCUACCGACCCCCUCCAAACGAUCGCUCGAGAAUUGUCUUAGGCUGGUUUAAAGAGUUUCAAUGAUCUCUGGAUCAAAGGUAAUUCUUUUUGCCACUUAGGGUAAUAGUCUAUGAAUCACCCUCCUCCAGGAUGUUUCUUUGUGGUAUCAUGGCAACUCAACUCCUCGCUACGUUGACAAUCGUUUACCACCUUCUUAGGUGUGGAAUUGUUGUCUACCUAGUGAACCUUCGUCAUCCGUUUCUCUCCACCCCUCUUGAUGUGUAUCCCGUGUCUCAACCCGAAAGAUGGUUCUAUGUCUCAUUCCGUAAGUUAAUCUUGAGUUGUUCGAUCUUCGAGGAGAUCGACCCUUCUAGAGUCUCCUUCUUCCCCCCCCCUGUCAUGUUGACAGGAUUUCUCAGAGCAAGACGACAAGACAAAGAUGGUGUUCAACUCAACGUUCAUUUGAAGUGCAACCUGGAUCGUGAAGAUUGUACUAGUUUGCGUUUCCCCUUCAUCCUACCCUACGCUUGAAUCUCGAGACGAGAUUCUUGUUUAGUGGGGGUGAGUUGUCACAUCCCUAGCUUCUGGUAAUGCUCUAGGCUAGCUUCAUGUGUGCAUCAUGUUUAAAUUUCAUUUAAAUUUGAAAUGAGGAUUGGUGGAACCCUCAGAAUCAUGUUGAAAAUGACCCAAAUAAAAAAAAUUCCCCAAAAGGGUCGAAGAAAAUGCUCAUGUUGCCCUCUGAAAAUAUUGGACAGAGAUAAAAAUCAAAACAAUAUUUUUAGGAGCUCAUGGACAUUUAAUUUGGCCAUUUGGAUUAAUUCGAUAAAUAUUUGCAUUGGAAAGAUAUUUCUAUAUAUAUGAAAUAUGGUCCAAAAAUUAUGCCAAUUAUAAAAGAGCUCUGGAAUAAUACCAUUAGCCCCUACAAAAAUUGGCAUAAUAAAAUUAAAUGAUUUAAUAUAUUUGUUAAAUCAAACAAAUGUCAGAAAAAUAGAAAACAGAGGUAAAAUAGGAAAAACAGAGAGAGGGAGGGAAACAUUACCUGCAGCCCACCUGGGCCACUUACCUGUAGCCGGCCCAGCUCCUCCCGCUGGCCCAGCCCACCUCCUCCCCUUUGUCUUCUUCCUCCCCUCGCACCGAAGCAGCUCGGUGGCGAGCGCCGAUGCCGCCUCGGCCACCUCCUGCCUCCCUGCUUGCCUCCGCUACUCCCUGGAGACGCCACGCGGCUCCCUCAGGCCUCUAUCAACUCCCUCCCGUGCUCAUCCCCUUCUCCUGCUCUCCCUCUCGCUCCGCACCUCGGACCCGAACAGAGCCGUCGCCACCGACGCCGUUCGCCACGGCCACCAUCCCCCUCUCGCCUCCCCGACGCCUCCCAGAGCUCCGCAGUGCCUCCCUCGACCUCCUCGACGUCUCACGCGACCAGAAGGGCCCCAAGCAGCCGCCAUCGUCAUCAUCCCCAAGCUUCGGCCCCGGCGCCGUUCUCCGUCGAAUUCGGCCACGCCGGCGCGCCCCCGAGCUCGCUGACCCUCCCUGCGCGAUCCCCGUGAGUCCCUGCUCCGUUUCCCCCUAACCCCAAGUUCGAUUUCGAGCUCUAGCCGCCCCCUCUACCGGAGCCGAGACGCUCCGCCGCACGGACUCGUCGCCGGCGAAGCCUCGGUGACCAAACGGCCCCGCGCGUGUGUCCGUUGCACUCGCAACGACCCGUGGAGCAACGCUAGCGUGGCAGCUAGCUUGUUUGCAAGCCACAGCACUAACCCCGCACCCACCCGAGCUCCGGCCGCCGCCUCGGGCUCCACUCCGGCGGACUCCGUCCACCCCCGCACCUCCCGUUGGCCCCCCUAGGUGCGCACGGGCACGGGCUACCUUCUAGUGCCCUUCGCGCGUCCAGCCGUCGCCCGUAGCGCAACCCCGGUGAACUUCCGCCGCGUUUCGGGUCGCCGCCGGCCGAACUCCGGUGGCCAGUGACGUGGCUGGCUUAAUUAGCCACUAAUCACCGCUUUGUGACACUGACAGCAGGGCCCCACCUGCUAAUUAAUCAUAGAUUAGUUUCUGUUUAGUUUUUAACUAAUCCAGUGGCCCCACCCGUCAGCAUUGACUCUGCUGACGUGGCCUUUGACCCGGCCCCACCUGCCAUUGACACUAAACAGCCCUGGGUCACUGAUCAGUGGACCCCACUGGUCAGGUUUGACCUGGAGGCGCCCUGUUGACCUGCUGACGUCAAGGUGAUGACAUCCUGACGCCAUAAUUCAUUUUCUGGAAUUAUUUUAAUUCUAAAUAAUCAGAAAAUUCCAGAAAAUAGCUAAAACUUCAAUAAAUCAUAGAAAAUUAACCGUAACUCCAAAUGAAAUAAAUUAUAUAUGAAAAAUUAUCAAAAAAAUUCAAGGAAUCCAUCUGUACCAUUUUCAUGCAUGUUAGAACAACUUAUAGCUGCUGUUUAGCACAAAUCAAUUAAAGGGCAUUUAAAUAAUCACAUAUGGAGUUUGAAUUUGAAUCUUGUAUUCAAACCAACUUCAUUUAACUUGUUGCUAGAUGCAUUAGCCCAAAACACAUUCAUUUUGCUAUGUCAUGAUCAUGCAUCAUAUUGUGCAUUGCAUUGAUUGUGUUUCCUUCUGUGUUGCCGGUAUUUGUCCCCUCUCGAUAGACGUGAUACCGAGGAUGUGAUCGUUGACACUGAUGAAGACUCAAUGUUAUCUUCAGAAGUGCCAGGCAAGCAAAACCCCCUUGUUCAUUCCGAUAAAAUCCCACUCUCUCGCUCCUGCUCUCUUUUACUCAAUUAGGACAACAACGACAUAUUUGAUACUUGCUGCGGUAGCUGAACCCCUUUAUCCUUUGCAUGACCUGUCAUUGCCACAGUAAAUAGAUGAAACCCACUAGCAUGAGUAGGAGUUGUUUGAGCCCUGAUGUGCCUACUCAUUCAUGCUUGUUUGUCAUGCCUGCUACUGCUUAGAGCUGAGUCAGGUCUGAUUCAUCGGGGAUGAAUCAGAGGCGUGUGAACAUGUCCUACUGUGUGUGAGCUAAGUGUGUGAACACGAUUUGGUAAAGGUAGUGGUGAGAGGCCAUGUAGGAGUACAUGGUGGGUUGUCUCAUUGCAGCCGUCCUCAGGAACUGAGUUCUGUGUUUGUGAUCCAUGACCAGCUACUACCACACAUUGGAAUGCUUAAGUGCCCCUCUCGACUUAUUAAUCAACAUGAUCUCUGUCCAGGAGUUGCAACUAGUUUCUGGUGUUUGUAGGUAGUGUUAGUAGUCUACCAGGUGGCACCCGGUACAGGUGGGCUUGGGACAGACUAGGCACAGUGGCACGGUGUACCAAGUGGCACCCGGUUGGUGGGCUUGGGAACCCUGCACACAUCGUUUGGGGCCGUGAGCGACACCCCGGCCGGAUCUCCUUGCGGAUGGAACCCGAAUAGGCGAUAAACCUGGACUAGAGACUUGUUCGGUUAGUCAGGUCGUGGCCGACUCCCUCGCCCGGCUUCCGCUUGAAGGUUGCCGAGGUACAUGACGUGUACAGGGCGAUAAGUGGCGAAAGCGUGUGUGAAGAAGUACACCCCUGCAGGGUUAACAUCAUCUAUUCGAAUAGCCGGAUUCCUCGGAUAUGGAAACGUGGACCCCUUGUACAGUUCAUAGACAAGUGAAAGUGGAUACUCUAAAAUACGCAAGAUAAGCGUGAGUGCUAUGGAUGGCGUUCUUGUAGGGAGACGGGAGCGGAUCCAUAGUGGUGUCUUGAUAUGGUGAAUAUGUGGACUCGUGUGCGCCACCUCAAAGAGUUACUUGCAGUCGUAGUUCAGGAUAGCCACCGAGUCAAAGCUGGCUUGCUGCAGUUAAACUCCACCAUCCCCUUUGUUGAUAAUGAGGCAUAUGUAGAUAGAUCUGAUGUAAGUCUUGCUGGGUACAUUUGUACUCACGUUUGCCCAUUUUAUGUUUUGCAGAGAGACUUCAGUCUCACUAGUAGUUCCGCGUGGACUUCGACGUUUAGCUUGAUACCUCAACUACGAUCUUGUGCCCUCGGCAGGAUCUGAUAAAUAGUCAGGCUUCUCAGCCCUUUUCAUUUAUAGAUGUCUGUACUCAGACAUGAUAGCUUCCGCUUGUGCUUUGACUUGUAUGUUCUGAUUGUUGGGUCAUGAGACCCCUGUUUGUAAUAUCUCGCUCCUUGGAGCCUAUUGAUUAAAAUAUUUGAGUCGUAGAGUCAUGUUGUGAUGCCAUGUUGUAGUUGCACAUAUCGAGCAUAUUGUGUGUAUGUUAUUGAAAUGCUUGGUAUGUGUGGGAUCUGACAACCUAGUUGUUUAUCCUUGGUAGCCUCUCUUACCGGGAAAUGUCUCCUAGUGUUUCCACCGAGCCAUGGUAGCUUGCUACUGCUCCGGAACACUUAGGCUGGCCGGCAUGUGUCCUUCUUCGUUCCUGUGUCUGUCCCUUCGGGGAAAUGUCACGCGAUGAAUACCGGAGUCCUGUUAGCCCGCUACAGCCCGGUUUACCGGAGUCCUGCUAGCCCAGUGCUACAGCCUGGAUUCACUCGCUGAUGACCGACACGUUCGAAGCUGGGUCAUGGAUGCCUGUCCCUAUAAGUCUGUGCCACUUUGGGUUUACGACUAGUCAUGUCAGCCCGGGCUCCUUAUCAUAUGGAUGCUAGCGACGCUAUCAUAUACGUGUGCCAAAAGGCGCAAACGGUCCCGGGCAAAGGUAAGCCGACACCCGUGGGAAUACCGUGCGUGAGGCCGCAAAGUGAUAUGAGGUGUUACAUGCUAGAUCGAUGUGGCAUUGAGUCGGGGUCCUGACAGGUUCCGCGGCGGCCGGGGAUAAGGUCGUCGGCGAACCGCCGUUCUGUUGCUGCACAGCGAUGUGGCGGCGACGUGCGCUAGCGGACGGGCUCGCGGAUGAGCUCGUGCUGUUCCAGAGGGCAGCUGGCGCGCUGGAGUGGCCCGGGCGGCGCCGUCCAUGGCAGAGGCCUCGUGCGGCCGUCGGCGGCUUGCGGCGGUAGCGCUGUGGGGCUCCAGGAGGGGGCCAGGGCGGCUCUGCAGCGAGGGGAGGGGUCGGGGCGUGCUGGCUGCGCGUGGGAAGGGACGAGAACGGGCGCGGGGAGACGACAGUGAGACACGACGGCUCGGUGCGCGCGCGUGCAAAACGUGCGCUCUGGGCGCGCCCAGAGCACGCACGCCAGGUGCUCGACGCAAUGCCAUCGCGCGCUAGAGGGCGUGAGCAAGGCUGGAAGUUAACAGGUCUAAUUUUGGGGUAGAUAGGGGCUUAGUGGACAAGCUUGCUGGGUCAGAGGAUCAAGUCCACAAUGCAAACUAACAAUCAUGCCAAAUCUGGCCAUGCACACAAAGUGUUCGACAGAAUGUCAUGGGCAUCUAGGCAACUCUUGGGGUGGACAAAAACUCCAGAUCCUAGUUUCUUUAGGUGCUAGAGAGGGUGGCAAGGUUAGUUGGGCAAAACCAGAAACUUAUUUGUGCAAGUUUUUGAGAAAACCAAAUCUGGGCAGAAACUCAAUGUUAUCAUUGCAUGGGCCAAAAAUGUUUAAAUGGGUCCAAUCUCCUAGACUUAAGUGUUUGGUAGAGUGGUUUGUAAUUAGGAGAAAGAAUCAUGGGAAAAAGGGCAUGUUAAAAUAUGGUUGCAGUAGAAAAUACUACAUUGGACCAGAAAGCAAAAGAGGAUGAUUUGCUCAGAAUUUUCAAAGGACACUCAUGGGUUUUUGCAUAAAGUUGAAUUAUAUGCAUCUACUGACAUCUACAAAUUUUUAUGUAAUUUUUAAAGGAGUAUUAAAAAGGGUUGUAGUGCAAAUGGGACCCUAAAUCUUAUAAAAAUCAUUUUUAAGAGAAAUAGAGCUCAGGGAAGAUAAUCAUAUAAAUAAUUCCACUGAUAAAAGAAAUGUUUCUGGAGAGGGUAUACAAGUCCAACAAUAUUAUUGAAAGGUUUUCUAUUUGGAGGGAAAACUCAGAAGAAAAAGAGUGGUUCUGAACCCAAAGAAAAUCCAGAAAAUAAAAGUUUAAUUUACCAAGGCAAAAUUUUAAUUAAUAAAUCAUGGUUAAAUUUUGGGGUGUUACACAUGUGCACAACACGUGUAUCACCGCUAUAUUCAUGCAUGCAUAUGUUUAAAACACUAUGAUCUCGUAUUCAAAUAUAUGAAUCCGCUUUCGUAUCAAAUUAUGAUCUUUGUUAGUCUCUUACACCCACACAAUCCUCUAACCUUUGUAGCUACCACUAACUUUCUCUCAUGCAUUCACACGCCCUACUCUCCCUCCCCCUCCCUCAGCAUUCUAUCCACCAGGCACAUUCAUUUUUUUCUUUAGAUCGUUCUCCCAGAGUCUCCACAACUCCUUUUCAACACACACCGAUCGAUAAACCUCUCCAGCGAUGCCUACCUACAACUUACACGCACACCUUCAAUCUCCUCCUUUAUGUGUCCUUGCCUCGUGUCUCUCAUACGGUCACACACACGUGUAAACUCUCGCCCCUCUUUUCAUCGAUCUCACAACCGCACACUCCUCCCCCUAUCUAGCUAGUAGUAGGGCCUCUCGCACCACCUCCUAGCUCCAUUCUCUUUGUCUAUCCGUCUCGCUGGGCCUUAUUUGCCUCUAACAAAUGGAUGUACACCGACCGAUCUCUCGCGAUACAUAUAGCUAGCUAGGUCCUUAUAACUCGUUUUUACCCACGCGUCGAUCGAUCUACCUCAUUAGUUGUGUCUCUCCCUUCCUCCGACAAACAACAAUUUAUAUACCGAUCUAGUUAGAUUUGCUUACCAAACACAUGGUUCCCCUUCAUCAUCCAUGGAUGCGUCCCGACAGAUCUAUCACGCACAUGCACACACAGAAACACAUCCCCACUCUUAUUGAUAACAUUGCAGUUCCACCCUCAGUUUGUCUAGUAGGCCUCUCCCACCAUCUUCGAGAAGAAACUCCAUCACCCAUCCAACACUCUACCCCUCUCCCUCCCUCUCUCUCUCUCUGUCCCAUCAUAUUUCCCGUCCUUCAGUUAUGUAUGGAUGUCGACCGAUCUCCCUCAAGACUAGUUGGGUCUCUCCUUCUCAACACAUAUAAGAGUCGUUCUACCUCUAUAGUUAGGCCUCUACCUACCCCUCCCCCCACCCCCCACACACACCGAUACAUCGAGCGCUCUAGUCAUGUCUCCCUGCCACACACAAACUUGACAUGUUCCCUCUAACGUUCCGGUAGGCCNNNNNNNNNNNNNNNNNNNNNNNNNNNNNNNNNNNNNNNNNNNNNNNNNNNNNNNNNNNNNNNNNNNNNNNNNNNNNNNNNNNNNNNNNNNNNNNNNNNNNNNNNNNNNNNNNNNNNNNNNNNNNNNNNNNNNNNNNNNNNNNNNNNNNNNNNNNNNNNNNNNNNNNNNNNNNNNNNNNNNNNNNNNNNNNNNNNNNNNNNNNNNNNNNNNNNNNNNNNNNNNNNNNNNNNNNNNNNNNNNNNNNNNNNNNNNNNNNNNNNNNNNNNNNNNNNNNNNNNNNNNNNNNNNNNNNNNNNNNNNNNNNNNNNNNNNNNNNNNNNNNNNNNNNNNNNNNNNNNNNNNNNNNNNNNNNNNNNNNNNNNNNNNNNNNNNNNNNNNNNNNNNNNNNNNNNNNNNNNNNNNNNNNNNNNNNNNNNNNNNNNNNNNNNNNNNNNNNNNNNNNNNNNNNNNNNNNNNNNNNNNNNNNNNNNNNNNNNNNNNNNNNNNNNNNNNNNNNNNAGAAAAAACACUCACGAACGCGGUUUGUAUCUCUCACACACACCCACGUAGGUGGGGGACGUGCACGAAGAGAAGAGGUGCAUGCACGAUGCACGUACUCCCGUAUCUUUCCCAACCACACCCGCGCGGGUACACGGUGGAGCUCAUUUUUGUACGAAAGAAGCAGCCCAUGUGGUAAUUUGGCACGUGUACUGGUUGUCCACUUGGUGGAGGAAGGAUCGUCUACCACGGGUGAACAAACAAACUGUGACUUGACACGUUAUGUUAAAUUAAAAAAAGGGGCAAACCAUGUGGGGCCUACCUUAGAGGCAAGGCUCUAUACACUGGAGUAAUUUUGAUGUGUCCCGGGAACUCGCAGAACGAGGAGAAGCUUGCUUAGUACGCCGUCUCCCCCGCCCACGGGCGCGGUGGCUCGCAGGAUGAGGUGAAGCUUGCUUCGCCUUAUUCCCGCUCCCACGCCCAUGCGCGCGGUGGCUCGCAGGACGAGGAGAAAAGUUUACUACUCCCUCCGUUUACUCCUCGUCCCUACUAAUACCUUGGUUAUAGAGAUUAUAUCAUAUUGUUUGGAAUAUAUAUGUCCUUUAGUAGAUUUCAAUAUGAACUACUAGUACAUAUUCGAAACACUGAUGUAUAUAGACAUAUUUUAGAGUGUAGAUUCACUCAUUUUGCUCCGUAUGUAGCACUCUCUGUCGGUGUCAAAACCGGCGGAUCUCGGGUAGGGGGUCCCAAACUAUGCGUCUAAGGCUAAUGGUAACAGGAGACUGGGAACACGAUGUUUAACAGGUUCGGGCCCUCUCGAUGGAGGUAAUACCCUACUUCCUGCUUGAUUGAUCUUGAUGAUAUGGGUAUUACAUGAGUUGAUCUACCACGAGAUCGUAGAGGCUAUACCCUAGAAGCUAGCCUAUGAUUAUGAUUGUCAUGCCCUACGGACUAAAACCCUCCAGUUUAUAUAGACAUCGGAGGAGGUUAGGGUUACAUGGAGUCGGUUACAGAGAAGGAGAUCUGUAAUCCGGAUCUCCAAGCUUGCCUUCCACGCCAAGGAGAGUCCCAUCCGGACACGGGACGAAGUCUUCAAUCUUGUAUCUUCAUAGUCCAACAGUCCGGCCAAAGUACAUAGUCCGACUGUUCGGAUACCCCCUUAUCCAGGACUCCCUCAGUAGCCCCUGAACCAGGCUUCAAUGACGAUGAGUCCAGUUGCCACGACCGGUUUUUCCGGGUAAUAAAUUUCCAGAAAAGACCGUCGUGCUCAUCAGCCCCAGGAUUACUGUUAGCUGAUGAGGCUCCAAUUGGAUACAGAAAUUCCAAGCAGAAAACAUCAUAUGUAGUACAAGACCAUUCUGGCCUGUGAGUACAACAAAUGGUUUCUAGUGGUUGAUGGCGGAAGCGGUUUGUGAAACAUCAGUGUCUAUGGGACUCCAUUUCCCACGGGAACAGCUGACCAGGUUAAUUCCUAUCUUCGCGAGGCUGCUAUCUCCAUUGAGUGGGUUCCGGGGCUGGCAUCGCGUCGCUCCUCCCGUGCAAGAAAAUCUGGCCAAGACAAUAGCCAGGGACAAGCCAAUGAGUACUUUGAAUGUACUCGCAAACAUUGUGAACACAGGUAUAAUAUAACAAUGAUGUGCUGAAAAUAUUUUAUGCUCAUGACGUCAGUCACCAAAGAUAAAUGAAACUCUGAUGCGUGCUAGCAAGUUAUUUAUAAAAAUGCAAUAACAUGGUAGCAUAAAAAUUUAUGAAACAAAUAACAAGCAAUGCCACAGUCGGGCGUCUUAGCGACACCACGUAAAGGGCUUUAAAAGAAAUGCCACAGUCGGGCGUCUGAGCGACACCACAUAAAGGGCUUUAAAAGAAAUGCCACAGUCGGGCGUCUGAGCGACACCACAUAAAGGGCUUUAAAAGAAAUGCCACAGUCGGGCGUCUGAGCGACACCACAUAAAGGGCUUUAAAAGAAAUGCCACAGUCGGGCGUCUGAGCGACACCACAUAAAGGGCUUUAAAAGAAAUGCCACAGUCGGGCGUCUGAGCGACACCACAUAAAGGGCUUUAAAAGAAAUGCCACAGUCGGGCGUCUGGGCGACACCACAUAAAGGGCUUUAAAAGAAAUGCCACAGUCGGGUGUCUGGGCGACACCACAUAAAGGGCUUUAAAAGAAAUGCCACAGUCGGGCGUCUGAGCGACACCACAUAAAGGGCUUUAAAAGAAAUGCCACAGUCGGGCGUCUGAGUGACACCACAUAAAGGGCUUUAAAAUAAACAAUCAUAGUGAAUAUCCCGGAGGUAGAACCAUCCCGGAGAUACUCGAUAAUAAUAUCACGNNNNNNNNNNUAAAGGGCUUUAAAAGAAAUGCCACAGUCGGGCGUCUGAGCGACACCACAUAAAGGGCUUUAAAAGAAAUGCCACAGUCGGGCGUCUGAGCGACACCACAUAAAGGGCUUUAAAAGAAAUGCCACAGUCGGGCGUCUGAGCGACACCACAUAAAGGGCUUUAAAAGAAAUGCCACAGUCGGGCGUCUGAGCGACACCACAUAAAGGGCUUUAAAAGAAAUGCCACAGUCGGGCGUCUGAGCGACACCACAUAAAGGGCUCACGGAUUCGACUCCGAACAUCGGCGAUCAGCGACGAGCGGCGUUGGUGGACUUCGCCCACCGUACACCGAGCUCGAGCUAUAAAACGGCCGGGGUGCCUUCCUCUUCUUCCUCACACCUGGCCUCACUUCUCCUCCUCCCUCCAUUACUGCUUACCAAAGCUCGGGCGAGGCUCUAAUGGCGGAGGCGAUGCCGGACUGGUUUGUGAUCCUGAUAUGCGGAGGGCUGGCGACACUGCUGGGGCUCUCUAUGCUCCUGUGUGCGAUGAUCUUCGACGAGUAUCGCGACGCUGCGGCUCGGGUGUUGGCUCUCCGCGGUGGUGGUGAUCAUGAAGAGUAGAUGGAGUGUGCCGGGUGCUAACUGUUGUUAAGGGGGUGAUUAGCUGGAUGUAACACCGUUACAAGGUUUUGCAAACAGUGCAUAUGUCCGAAUGAUUAUGGUUAUGAGUCUGCUGUGUGGUGCUGUGUGAAAUUAAUUAAACCACGUCAUGAGAAGGGGCAGGUGUAGCAACUCAGGGAAAAGAAAUCUCACUCCAGGAUUUUGCAAGGAAAAACAGUUAGUUUAAAAGAAGCAUAAACCACAACAAAAACUACACACAUUAGUAGAAGCCAAAUAAUUGACUCGUCGUACAAACUCAGGGUAUCACGCAUAAGUCACACACAUAAAUAAAUGCUGCAAGGAACAAAUACAAUAGUGACGUCUAAAAUGAAAAUGGUAACUGGACGGGGUCUUGAUAAAAUGUCUCUGGUAAAGGAAUACACUCCUCUUCUAUCGGAGGAAGUGGAUUGACCAGUCGAUGUAUGCGCCUCUCCGGGUCGGGUUUCAGUGGUCUGCCGAUGGCAAUCUGAGGAUUUAAAUCUGCGAGGCUCUGGAGAUAAUCCAUCACUCGCUGGUUCAAAUGCUCUUGAGCAAUGAUGUACUGGAUAAGGUUGGCUAGAACUGGGUCUCUCUCAAUACGUCCACCGGGAAAAGAUGUUACUUCUCCGGGUGCUGCACGGCUCGGAAAGUAAUAAUAUCCUCGUUCGCGGGCAUAGGGUACUGCGGUUCGAAGACGAGCAAUCGCUUCUUUUGCAGCAGCUUCUAUGGCUAGGUGUGGGGUUGGCAUAGAUUUCCCCAUGAAGGAAACUUCUGUUGGAUCUUGGUUGGAGUCUACAGGAGGGAUGUGUACUGCUGCCCAAUAUUCCGAGGUGGAUGGGGUGAUCCUUGAUUUGAAUAGCUCGUACUGAGGUGGCUGGGUAGAACCAUGGUACUGCGGGUAAAAUCCCACAAUAUUUUGACAAAGCUACCUGGGGUUGCAUCUGGGGUUCUCAGAUGAAUGCUGGGGCUCGGCAUGACAGGAAAAAGUGUGAGUGUGGUGCCCAAAGUGAGGGUUGCUGGCUAAGGUCACAAGGUGGCCUUUAUAUAGCAAUGGAGCUGGAUUCGUUUUACCGUGGUGAAAGGUAAUAAAUUUGCCAGCUUAUCUCCAAAGGUCGGGUCAGUGUCAGAGAUACACAUAUCUCAUAAAGAGACGUGUUACUGUGGUUGUCGUCGGGUUGGUUUUGGUAGUUGUGCCCGGAAAAAUAUGCAGCUAUGCGCUGACCAAAUAUGCAAGGCUACUAAUAAAACAGAGGUACAAUGACAGGCUGCGUUAAUAUACACGGUCGCCCGAUUACAAAGCGAGGAUACACUGAAAAUCGGUGCUACUCAUACGGCUUAGUCUACCUCGUUCAUGUCUAAACGGGCAUGCCUGGUGGAUGUUGAGGCUUCUCCACGUGUUUCUCUGCCGGGAUUAGUCGGAGAUGGUGGAGGAACUGCAGGGUCGGGGUAGUGAUGAUGACCAUCGCGGGGAUUGUUGGCCACAACCCCGUUGGAGUGUGCUCCCAAUAUGCGACGAAGCACCUCUGGGGUUAUCGCAGCACCUUGGACGAUGGCUGGGGCAGAUCUCGGGGUCUCGAUCGGUUGUCCAAACAGCACAACUGGGUUGUCGGCGUUGGGCUCGUUUUCUCCUCUCGCCGGGGCUCGACGAACCAGCUCUCCACGAGCUGUGAUUAAAUCAAUAGUGAUCUGGUCGAACAGUGCCUCUAGUGCACUUACAUAGCGCACUAGGUGCAACAAUGCGGGGUCCGUCUCGUGAUCUCCGUUGGCAACUUGGGGUGGUCUACCAUACCCUUCACGUCUGGGGUAGUAGUGGAACGAGCGACAGUUAACUCUGGGCGACAAGUGCCUGAGAUGAACUAUAGCCUCUCGAGCGGCUAGCUGGAUGGCUUGUGGCUCAAAGGAAGUUGUCCUUCCGGUGAACCUGUAGGGGCGCUCGGGUGCUAGACCCCUACCGUAGAUGUGCACAGUGGCCCAGAAUUGACGGUCUUCACCGCUCAUGGGUCCUUGAUACACAACAUAUUCUAGUGGCUCCUCUAACGCGUAGGCACGACGGGUGAGGUUUGCGAGGAUGGUCACAAAACCUCCAAGGUUGGUUGCUGUGGUUUCGUUGUGCACCAUAGGUCCAGGCAUUGCGGCUCGGUUUGGGGUAGCGGCUGUGCUGUGCUGGGUUGAGGCUAGCAUGCCCUUUUUAUAAGAAAAGGGGACGGAGUCUUCCUUCGCACGCUUGCGAGAAAGGACUAUUUAGGGGCCAGUCACUGGCGCAUGAGCGACAGGUUAGGUUGAUAGGUUGGGCACCGACUGCCAAAAGGUGUUGGGUCACUGUGUGGCUAUCUUGCACGAGAAGCUUGGCUGGUGUUUGGCUAAGGUCUAGUGGGUUGGUUUGCCUAAGUUUAUUGACCUGGCUAAGAUAGGAUUAGCCAAUGGUCAGCCUGGCUCUAAUACCAAGUCUGCCACGACCGGUUUUUCCGGGUAAUAAAUUUCCAGAAAAGACCGUCGUGCUCAUCAGCCCCAGGAUUACUGUUAGCUGAUGAGGCUCCAAUUGGAUACAGAAAUUCCAAGCAGAAAACAUCAUAUGUAGUACAAGACCAUUCUGGCCUGUGAGUACAACAAAUGGUUUCUAGUGGUUGAUGGCGGAAGCGGUUUGUGAAACAUCAGUGUCUAUGGGACUCCAUUUCCCACGGGAACAGCUGACCAGGUUAAUUCCUAUCUUCGCGAGGCUGCUAUCUCCAUUGAGUGGGUUCCGGGGCUGGCAUCGCGUCGCUCCUCCCGUGCAAGAAAAUCUGGCCAAGACAAUAGCCAGGGACAAGCCAAUGAGUACUUUGAAUGUACUCGCAAACAUUGUCAACAUAGGUAUAAUAUAACAAUGAUGUGCUGAAAAUAUUUUAUGCUCAUGACGUCAGUCACCAAAGAUAAAUGAAACUCUGAUGCGUGCCAGCAAGUUAUUUAUAAAAAUGCAAUAACAUGGUAGCAUAAAAAAUUAUGAAACAAAUAACAAGCAAUGCCACAGUCGGGCGUCUUAGCGACACCACGUAAAGGGCUUUAAAAGAAAUGCCACAGUCGGGCGUCUGAGCGACACCACAUAAAGGGCUUUAAAAGAAAUGCCACAGUCGGGCGUCUGAGCGACACCACAUAAAGGGCUUUAAAAGAAAUGCCACAGUCGGGCGUCUGGGCGACACCACAUAAAGGGCUUUAAAAGAAAUGCCACAGUCGGGNNNNNNNNNNNNNNNNNNNNNNNNNNNNNNNNNNNNNNNNNNNNNNNNNNNNNNNNNNNNNNNNNNNNNNNNNNNNNNNNNNNNNCGACACCACAUAAAGGGCUUUAAAAGAAAUGUCACAGUCGGGCGUCUGAGCGACACCACAUAAAGGGCUUUAAAAGAAAUGCCACAGUCGGGCGUCUGAGCGACACCACAUAAAGCGCUUUAAAAGAAAUGCCACAGUCGGGCGUCUGAGCGACACCACAUAAAGGGCUUUAAAAGAAAUGCCACAGUCGGGCGUCUGAGCGACACCACAUAAAGGGCUUUAAACGAAAAACAAUCAUAGUGAAUAUUCAGGAGGUAGAACCAUCCGAGGGAUAUUUGAUAAAUACCAAUAAUAUAACGGGUUAGUCCACAACAAUAAUAAUCAUAAUUAUCACAAGUCACAAGUUGUGAUUCCAGUUCUGGUUUAACAGUUCACCUCCGAAGACCGANNNNNNNNNNNNNNNNNNNNNNNNNNNNNNNNNNNNNNNNNNNCUGAGCGACACCACAUAAAGGGCUUUAAAAGAAAUGCCACAGUCGGGCGUCUGAGCGACACCACAUAAAGGGCUUUAAAAGAAAUGCCACAGUCGGGCGUCUGAGCGACACCACAUAAAGGGCUUUAAAAAUAAACGUUCAAAGUGAAUAUCCCGGAGGUAGAACCAUCCCUGAGAUACUCGAUAAUAACAAUAAUAUCACGGGUUAGUCAACAAUAAUAAUAAUCAUAGUUCUCACAAGUCACAAGUAGUAAUUCCAUUUCUGGUUAACCGUUUCACCUCCGAAGACCGACACUAGGACCGACACCUGACCAUCCCAGACUGAAAUCCUUAACCAUGGACAUGGCUAUUCGAAUAGGUUUAUUCUCUGCAGAGGAUGUACUCUUUACCCACGAGUAACGGAUUUUUUAGUCCAUCGGGACUAAUUCCGUCUACGGUCUUUUUGUUGAAAACACACCUAACUUGCACACACCAGCUUAUCUCACACGUGUCUGGAAUCACCCACGACACCUGUUAAGCAAACUCUAAGUGGGGAGGCUACAACCUCGCGUAGCAUGGGAUCAAAUUUAUAUCGCGCGCUCUAAGGGGUGGCCUCCCCUCUCGGUCCCAACCGGAAACACCCAUGCCCCCGGACCAGGUGGUCUGCCUACCAGCUACAACCGGUAUCCUCCACCAUGGCCUCUCUGUAUGGUGUGUGCUAGAAAUAGGUUGACAACUUACUGAACCGUACUCUACUUGCUGUAGAGACGAGUGGUAGUACGAAACAAGUAUGGGGGUUACUGGAACAAGACUCGAUCUAGGUCGACUUAGGAGGUUCAAGUAUUCCCUGCAUGAUUAGUAUAACGAAUAUAUUUCAUCCAACAGAGUCACCUCUCAUAUCACCUUACCAUGCCAUACCAGACAUAACCGUCCCGACGGAGACCGGCGACAAACUCAUGCCUACCCAAGGCAGAGGUUUUCCCGGGUUCCUGCCGGUAUGCAUGCAAGGCACAUGAGGGUGAUUAUCAUCACAAGUGAGUUCAUUUCCAAUAGCAUGGAAAUCAAUAACAUGCACCCAUGCAUAUGAUCAUAUCACAUGAAAUAACAAGUCCAUCAAAAUGCGGUGGUGUUAUAAAUGUACCCACGAUCACACCAAAACAUUAUGCCGGGAUUCAGAAUGCUUGCCUUCAAUGUUGUGGAGGGGUGGGGUGCUCUCUAAAACUUUUUGAAAGUUUCUUCUCUCUCCCCAAAAUCCUAUUUGAAAAUAUAUUUGAAUUAACACACAUUUCAAAAACAGUACAAAAAAGUUGUUUGAAAUUUUUUCAAAUAAAUCUUAAAAUAAACUAGACCAAAUUUUAGGAAGGUAGGAAAAAGAAUCAACUCAUUUGGAGUUAUAUUUAAAAAGUUAUAGCCAGUCAAAGUUGUGGUCAAAAUCUGUUAUUUAAAAUAAAAUAGAAAAGAAAACGUUUCAGAUAGAAAUACGCUUUCGGUGCAGAGGAGGCGUACUUGAGGCUUUACGCCUCCACUUAACCACGUGGACAGACACGGGGUCGCUGACAGUGGGUCCAGAGGGCCCACUGGUCAGGUUUGACCAGUCUUCUCCCUGCUCUUUCUCUGUCCCGAGCGGAGGCGGGACUCCGGCUAUCGCCGCCGGCGAUUGGCGGUUCCGUUCGAGCAACCGAAGUCAUCCACGGGUUCAGGGGGUCGAGGUGGUCCCGCCGGUGGGUGUUACGGCCUCGGAAGUGGACGGGGUCGUCGGCGGUGAGCUUCGCGGCGGACGGAGAGCUUCGGGAGCAGAGUGGUUUUGGGGCUACGGUGGUCCUCGAUCAAAAUCGAGUACUGGGAAUGGUUUACGGGAGGAUGAGGGUUCUCUUGGUGGAGAGAACGGAGAGUGGGAGGCCCUGGUGGUGCCGAAUUGGCCGGGGCAGUGGUGGCGGCUGCAGUUGCCGGAGGUGGGGAAGAAGACCUCCCUCGGGUCGAUUGGCUGUCAUGGGAGGACUAGGGGUGCAUUCUAAGGCUUCCUGUGUGCUCGGGGAGGCUCGGGGGCCUCCUUUUAUAGCUCGUCGAGGUCGGUUCCGCGGCGGCUGGAUAAGUUCUCCGGGGAACCGCCUCUUUGUAGCUUGCAGGGCAACGUGGCGAGGCUGGGGAUGACGGCAGGAGCUAGCGGACGAGUGGGCACUGCUCCAGGGGCGAGCUGGCGAGCGGAGGUGGCUUUGGUGGCGCCGACAUGGUAGAGGCUGUCGGGCGGCGGCGGCGGCUAGCUCUUGGCUUGCCGGGCGUGGCGAGGAGCGGCUUGGCGCGUACUGGUGAGAAAGGGAGUGCGCGGCAAGGUUCUGCAGUGUGGGCCAAGACCGUGGGGGCCAGCGUGUCGGCUCGGGCGCGUGGCUGCAAUUGGCGCGCUCUAGGCGUGUCCAGUGCAUGCACUGAGUGUGCUCGACGAAAUGCCCGAGCAUGCUAGGAGUCGCUGUUGAGGCCGGGGGUUAACAGGUCUAGGUUUGGGCUUGCAAGGAGAUCAGUGGACAAGCUGGUUUGGUCAGGGGAUUAGGUUCACAGUGCAAUGCCAAAACUCAUGUCAAAACAGAUCAUGCACUCCAGGUGUUUGACAAAAUGCCAAGGGCACUUAGGCAAGUCUUGGAGUGGCCAAAAACUCCAGAUGGUGGUCUCUUUAGGUGCAAGGGGGAGUGGUGUGGUUAUUUGGACAAAAGGGGAAACUUGCUAGUGUAAGUUUUACAAAACCUCAAUUUUGGACAGGAAAUAAAUAGCAUUACUUCAUGAACCAAAAAUGAUCCAAAUGGUGCAUGCUCCUGGACUUAAGGGUUUAACAUGGAGGACUACAAGUAGGAGGAAUAAUCAUGGAUAUAGGAGCAACUAAAAUGGUGGUUGCUGUACAAAUCCUCAAAUUGGACCAGAAUGGAAAAGAGGUUGAUUCACUCCAAAUUUUUAAAGAACAUCACUAGGUUUUUGCAUAAUGAGAAAUCAUAGGCUAUUACCAUCAUCCUAUAAUUUUGGUGGAGUCUAGAAAGAAUUAUUUAAAGGGGUUGUAGUGCAAAAUGCACUCUGGACCAGAGAAGAAAAAUUGAGUGCAGGGCUCAAAAUAUUUCAUGAAUGAAAUAUAUUUUUGCAUAAUAGUGAUUUAAAAACAUCACAUGACAUCUCCAAAUUUUUGUGGAAAUUUUAAGUGAAUCUAUCAAAUGGUUGUAGUUCAAAUAUGGCCAUUUAACCUUGAAAAACCAUUUUCAAGAAAAUAAAGAUCAAGCAAUUAAAUUAGUUAAUUAGUUAUACUAGUAAAAGGAAAGUUUUUCUUGAGAGGUUAAACAAGUCCAAUAACAUAUUUGAAAAGUUUUCUCUUUGGGAGAAACUCAUCACAACAGGGAAGGAGAUGAGUUAAAAAAAUCAAAAUGGAGCUCAGAAAUCCAAAGUUUUAAUUCCUAUCAAAAUUUUAAUUUAAUAAAACAAGGCCAAAUUUUUUUUGGGGUGUCACACCGGUGCAUAGAUUGUCUUCGGCAUUGCUGGGCGGGUUCCAUCUCCGAAUACUUCCAGAUAAAUUCCGAACACAAGUACCGUGUCCGGCUCCGCAUGAUAAAUUCCAUAUACCACCAUAGAGAGAAUAAUAAUCCAUGAAUCUAAUCUGCUGAUGACUCUUCGAAACGUGACAUCACGCCACGGUCCUGCUUUUAUUCGAACCAUUUUUUAUAACCAGCUACCGCACACAUUACGAGGUAGUUCCUUUGGCACGUCUUGUCGAAGCAGAGAUCGUGUCCCUCUUAUCGUGGGAUCCUCAUCAAUACGGGUAUGGGUAAUCCAACCAUGCAUGUUGGCAUGACUCCAUGUUUUUAGGCAAGUCGACAACGGUUACGCCGGGGACGCUUGAUAUUCUCCCCCUUUAUAGAGGGGUCGAGGCCUAUCCCUUUAUCUCCACGCUUGCGCCUUCCCGCACUUCAAGUUCCAACACCCAAAGCUCAAGCUUAAGCACCUCGGAUCUUCGAUCAUGUCCGAAUCCUACCGUAAAGGCCGGUGGAUGGCUUCCUCUUUCACAGAGGAGGACAUUGCGAAGAUUUGGGAGGCCGGGUAUUUGACUGCCGAUGUCAAGUACAUGCUUCCCGCCCCUGAGUAGGUUAUCCCUACUCCUGAGCCCAACGAGAGCGUCGUAUUUGUCUCUCACUUCCUCCGGGGCUUGGGCUUGACUCUUGACCCCUUCGUGAGAGGGCUCAUGUUCUAUUAUGGACUAGAUUUUCACGAUCUAGCUCCGGAUUCCAUCCUUCACAUCUCGUCAUUUAUCGUCGUGUGCGAAGCCUUCCUCCACGUCACCCCACACUUCGGCUUAUGGCUCAAGACCUUCAACGUGAAGCCGAGGGUGAUCGAGGGGCGACAUGCAGAGUGCGGAGGCGCCGUAAUAAGCAGAAACGCCGAUGCCUCGUGGCCCGAAGGCUCCUUCCCGGAGGUGUCUGAUCUAUGGCAAUGGAGGUGGUUCUAUGUCACAGCUCCCUGAGGCUCAAAGUGGGCGGCCGCCCCCGCCUUCCGCUCGGGCCCUCCGCCUGAACUGGCAUCGCGGGAUAACGUGGGACUGGACCGGGGGCCUGCAAACGAUGUAUCGACAUUGCAAAGCCGCAUUCAGGAGCUUCUCGAGAGGGAUAUUAGUCUCGUCAAAAUAAUGCAGGUAAUGCUAGUCCGGCGGGCCCUGCCGUGUAAACGUCGACCUCUCCGGAUGUGGGAGUUCAAUCCAGAAGGCCCGCAAACCGUUCAACACUUCUUCGGCAUGACACCGGAAGGAAUGUAUAAGUUGUUCUUUGGACCAUGAAUAAAGUGUCCGGACACCGUCGAGGAUGCGGGCCUGAGCUGCAACCGCCCAGAUACCCAAGUAAGUAACCCUGUGACCAAACACUUCAUUUAUAUUUAUCAUAACAUUGUUCUGAAAAACUGUCCACAACCAGGAUUGGAUUAGCAAGGCGGAGAGAAUCAGCUGUCUGGCCCCGCUUCCCGAAGGCUUGCCUGGUCCGGCAAUAGCCAGGAUGCUAAAACAGGCGCUAAGUCAAGUGCCAUCGAAGAAAGAUGAAGGGAGGAGUGGAGAGGCCAAGAGUGAGCCUCACACAUUGUGCAUCCGAACCGGGGGAAUUAAUGUUUCCACAGAGGACGACAAUCGGGGAAGUGAAUCUAAGGUUUCCUCCCCCCGCGGGAAGAAGAGGGCUGCCUCCGGAGACUUGGAAACGGAGGCGCCUAAACAAGGGAAGAAAACUUCACCAAAGGGCCCUGCCCUGAAGGGCGCUCUUACUGCACCGUGCCCGCUAACGGGACAACCCUCCAUAGAGCUGUAAGUUAAUAAACAAGAAGCUUAUUGCUUUUUCCUCUGAGAGUAAUAACCAAGACCUAUUUUUUGUAGUCCGGCUAGCAGUUCGUCUCAACAGGGUUCGUCCUCGGGGAUCUUCUUCCGGAGAUGAUGGAGAGUGAAACCCCACCCGCCUCUCCGCCCCAUGGGGCAGGCGACCCUGAGGUGUCGUCACGGAGGAGUCCAGAUCCACUUAGGCCAGAAGCUAAGACUUUGGCCAUCCCGAGCCCAGCGCGUUCGACUUCUGUGGAGGGCAAUGAGAAGGGUCCAGGAGAGUCCGGUGCCCGGCCGAACAUACUGACGGGCCUCCUGGAGUCCAUUGCUCUCUCGCAGGAUCACCGUACACUAAUGGGUACGGUGUUGGGGAAAAUUUCCUCCGCCACAAGCGGGUUAAAUGAAGCUUUUAGGAGCUUGCUCAAAGGUUUUGAGGUAAGCAAUGAAAUACGCAGUUUUUGGUUGCACCGCACGCGAUAGAUGUGCUCUGUAUAGAUAGUAGACCCUGAGACUAUGGUUGCCAGCCCAUGGCGGCAAACGGAGGAUCACACUCCCAGGUAAUCAUCGCACUUGUAUUGAUGUGCAGGUUGCUAAGGGUCCGGCGAUAGACCAGACCGCUGAAUUCGCCGAAUUGAGGCGACAGAUUGACGUGGUGGAGGCCGACAACACGCUUGUAAACAAGCGAUUCGAUGAAUCGCAGAGUACGCGCUCUUAUUUCCGUAUUUUUUUAGGAAAUUGUAAGAAGGUUGUAAUAUUAAUAUGAGGUGAUGUGGCUGCAGGCGGUGCUGCUGCCAUUGAGGCCCUGAGGGCGGAACUUGCCCUAGCCAAGGAACAAGCCCGGGUUAGCAAUGCGGCUGCCCUAAAGGCAGCCGAAGACUUGAAAGCCGAACAGGCUGCUCAUCUCCGAAGCGAGGAGAAGAUAGCCGAGAUGGCUGUGGAGCUGAGGGACACCGCCGGCCGAUAUGAGCUUCUCGAGAAGGAGAAUCAGGAGAAGGCGGCUGACCUGAAGAGGGCGCUAGAUUCGGCUAAGGAGAUGCACUCUGAUAUUAGAGACGCGAGGGAGGAACUUCGACAAGCCGGAGAAAUCGUGGCUGGAAACCCCUAAUUAUUGCGGAUGAAGUUCGUAGAUCCAAAGUAUGCUCCUUUGGAUCAACUUUGGAGCACUACAGAUGAUUAUGCGGACUUGGCGAAGAGUACGGUUGAUGCGACCAAGUUAUUCAAGGAUCAUAAAGAUAAUGAAAUAGAAAGGCUAUUCUGAUCGUAAUUUAGGGCUCCGACGCGCUCAUUGCCAUUGAGUGAGAAGAUGGCCGCUAUAGCCGAGCUCCAUAGGUUGUCCGGUCUUGCAAUGAGGUCUGUAAUAGACCAUCUAUGGCCGAAAGGACCGAGGCCGGACAGUUACUGUGGUUUAGUGCAGCAACUAUUUGGCGCCAAAGCGCGGAUAGAUGCCGUGAAGAGGUCGGCAUGCAUAGAGGGUGCGCAGAUGGCUCUUGCCCAUGUUAAGACAUAUUGGGCAGAUAUGGAGGCCACCAGCAUUGCAACCCAGGGUCCGGCAGGAAGCCAAGACCCCGCCGAGCACUAUUUUGAGCAGGUCACAGAAGGUGCCCGUAGAAUAGAGGCUCAGUGCUCGAAGAAUGUCAUAUUUGAGUGACAAGUCUAUUGAUUGUAAACAAUUAUGUGUUAAUUAUAGAGGCUAUUUUUUAUACUUUUGCCUGAAAGUAUUAUAAUGUCUCCUGUGUGGCUGUUUAUGUAUGCAUCUAACAGGAAAGUUAGCAGUCAUUGGCUUUAGCCCCCACGCAUAUAAUGCGGGGGUGUUCAAAAAAAUAUGCGUAAACACACUUGAUCCAACAUCCUGGUCCGUUAAGGAGGUGAUCGCACGUCGAACCAGGCAACCAGACUAUAUAGCUGUAACACUUUCACUUAGCCAUCGGAGUUGAAAGGUGGGGCUACUAUGUAGCCCCUAGUACUUCCGCGUGCAUCCGGAUACGGUGCGCGUACUUGACCGGGAAACCGGUCCUUCGUUGAUGCGGAGGAAUCCUAUAGAUUCCGAUGAGUCCUCGAGUGGUUGACCAGGCUCUCGUUGUAUCAUGACAGUCAGUUUUCGGCUUUCUCUACUGAGGUGUUCAUCCGGAAUAACCAGGGCAAAAUCGCAGUAGUUCUCCUUUGGCCGUCUUAGCCGAUAGAACGGAACGUAAGGCAGCAAACCCAUGAUCCGGGCUAACCCAACAUUUGACCAAAGACAUGAUUCGGAGCUGAUGCAUAUAAGGCCAAACUCGCGACGCCGAACACUCCCAAAGGUAUUCGGACUUUAGAACAUAUACUGGGCUGAGUAACGCCCUUGACCCUUUAUUUCCAGGUACGUGCAUGAAUCGUCGUGGCAAAAAGCCUAUAACGCCAAUGUCCCUUGUGGGUGUAUGAAAUACCCAUGGGAUGUCAAGCAACAAAAGACAGUAAAGAAGGUUUACAUAGGCACUUAAGCUAAAGAGAAACAUUUGGGCGGGGCCCUACUACACGUCUGCGCCUUUGUCUUCAUUGUGCCAUAUCCUAGAAGGGUGUCGCACGAGUAGUGUCUGUAAAAACAAAAACUCAUAUAGAGGAGUAAGCAUGCGGGAAGUUGGUGAUUCUCAAUGGAUAUUAGAAAUAUGAGAUAUUGGCCUAUUGAUAAGGGAAGCCGAAUUGUGGGCCUUAUUAUGUAUUGACAGCCCCUAGUACCAUUUAUGGGGAUAUAUGUAUAGCACCCAGCCAGGGUUUAUCUAGGCUAUUGUUGAUGGUGGUGCACCAGACUCGUCUAGCCGUGUCCAUGGUCUGAACGGCCGAUCAUGCGUUCUAAUGGGAGAGGCCGCCUAGAGUCCAGCAGCAGGAGUUGCCGCAUACUGCUCUGUAUUUCCACUAAUCGUUAUGACGCCACGUGGACCGGGCAUCUUAAGUUUAAGGCAGGCGUAGUUCGGUAUUGCAUUAAAGCAAGCGAAGGACGUUCUUCCGAGUAAUGCAUGAUAACUGCUGCUGAAGGGAAGCAAGUACAAGAGUAAUUCCUUGCUUCUGAAGUUGUUGGGAGUACCGAAUGUUACUUCUAACACGAGGGAGCCCCGGCAGCGGGCUUCAACGCCUGGUAUCACUCUGCUAAAGGUGGUGUUACUCUGGCUUAUUCUGGAUGGGUCUAUCCCCAUCUUGCGGACAGCGUCCUGAUUACUACUGCUGCCGUCCAUUAGGACUCGAGUGAGAUGGUAUCCACCAUUUAUUGGGUCGAGCACCAAGGCAGCGGAUUCUCCACGCCGGAUGCUGGCCACGUGGUCCAUGUGAUCAAAAGUGAUCGGGCAGGCCUCCCGGGGGUUUUGACUUCUGGUGGGAAUUUUUUCUGUCCCCCAGUGUUCGGCUGGCGAGGCUCAUCCUCGUCUUCGCGUGGUGUUUCCCUUCCCUUGUGAUCGGCGUUUAACCUGCCGGCCUGCUUGAAGACCCAACAUUCUCUGUGAGUAUGAUUUGCAGCUUUUUCCGGGGUGCCAUGGAUUUGACAUAGUCUGUCCAGGAUUUAUUUUGGCCGAACAGUCCUUCUUUGCUGCGUUUAAAUGGCUUCUUUCUCUGACUGGGUCGCGAGCCCCUGAAUCCGGUGUUGACCGCCGUGUUUUCCGGACUAUCUUCAUUGCUUCGACGCUUAUUCUUGUUGCGUCGUGGCUUUCCAUUGCCAUCUUGAAUUUUGGAUGUGCCUGGGUCGCUGGUGCCUCUAUGGGCCAACCAGCUGUCCUCGCCCACACAAAAGCGGGUCAUAAGGCUUGUUAAGGCCGCCAUCGUCCUUGGCUUUUCUUGGCCGAGGUGUCUGGCAAGCCACUCGUCCCGGAUACUAUGCUUGAAGGCCGCUAGGGCUUCAGCAUUCAGACAGUUGAUGAUUUGAUUCUUCUUAGUGAGAAAUCUGUUCCAAAGCUUAUGGGCUGACUCUCCGGGCUAUUGUAUUAUGUGACUUAAAUCAUCUACAUCUGGAGGUCGGACAUAGGUCCCUUGAAAAUUGGCCCUGAAAGCGUCCUCAAGUUCCUCCCAACUUCCAAUUGAAUUUUCGGGGAGGCUUUUCAACCAGUGCCGAGCUGGCCCUUUCAACUUGAGGGCGAGGUAUUUGAUGGCGUGGAGAUCGUCCCCUCGAGCCAUGUGGAUAUGAAGGAUAAAGUCCUCAAUCCAUACCCCAAGGUCUGUCAUUCCGUCGUAUGCCUCUAUAUUCACGGGUUUGAAUCCCUGUGGAAAUUCGUGAUCCAACACCUCGUCGGUGAAACACAGAGGGUGUGCAGCCCCUCUGUACCUGGAUAUGUUAGGGCGUGCUAUCAAUGGUUGUUGUAUCCGGGUUUGAUUCCGGACUGGUAUUUGAUCAGUAUGAUCAUUUUGGUGACCAUAAUCUUGUGCUUGAGCGCGCCCUCUAUAUCCAUAGACGGACCUGGUCGCACCAGCCUUUUUGUCCAAGAGCUUACGUAAAUCAUGGGCUGACUUGUGUGCGACACCGGUGGCUGCUCUAUCGCGGCCAUGAGGUGGUCGGUCCAGUUGAUCGGCUGUAGUAUUCUUUGGCGGAAUGGGCUCUAAGGCUUCAUUGUCGAAUUCUGGCAGUAGCUUGCGCUUUCGGUAGCUCUUUGUUUGGCGAUCGUCGCCGUAUUUUUCUUCAGUGUCUAGCACUUUCUUCCAUCUUCGGUUGAGCGUGUCCUGCGUGGCGUUAAGCCUUUGCUUCUGCUUCUUUAAGCUCCUCGCCAUGGCAAUAAGCCUUUUGCGGAGGUUAUCUUGUUCCAGACGUUUUUCCGGGAUGACGAAUGCAUCGUCAACCGGACUGUCCUCCCCUUUGGAGGCAGUGUGAUAAGUUCGGCCCUCGGGAUCGCUGUGAUCGGGCAUCUGCUCCGGGCUGUGUUUGGCGUGACCUGGCUUAUCCUGCUCCAUCACUGGGUCCCUAUGGUCAUUGUUGCCUUUGGAGUCAACCGAAGUGUCAUCCUUUUUUGCGUUGUUAUCGCUAUUUUAACUAUGACUGGACUUAGAGCAGCGCCUGCGUCGUCUUUUUUGCUUUUGUCUGGGGGGUUUAUCCUCCAUUGUGUCCCUUUUGUCACCAUUGCCUUCUUUAGGCGUAUCCACCAUGUAGACGUCAUGUGAUGAAGUGGCAGUCCAGCGCCCCGUAGGCGGUGGUUCCAGAUCGUCCCCUGCAUUGACGUCCAUACCAUCGAUGUUGUCGGAGUCGAAGUCAAGCAUGUCUGUUAGGUCAUUGACAGUGGCUAUAAAGUGGGUGGUGGGUGGGUUGCAAUUUUUGUUCGUCAUCCGUGUCCCACACGGGCCGGGUAUAGUUCGGCCAAGAGUCUCCUGAUAAAGAGAGAGAUUUUAACGAAUUUAGCACAUCAGCGAGGGGGAGUGCUGAAAGAUAUCCGCGGUGGUGAAUUCCAUUAUUGGAACCCAAUCGGACUCGAUGGGUCCGGAUGCGUGCGGUUCAGAGCCCACACCCGAACACAGGUCCGGGGGUCCGGAGAUAUGGAUUUCCCUAGGAGAGGAGUCUGUGUUCGGCUCCAAUGCCGAUGAGUGUGUGGCCUCCGGGGCGGGGUCCAUCCACCCGUCCUUGGGAGGCACGAUCUGCUCCGGACCAAAGUCCAGAGUCGUAGCAGGCAGGAUAUUCCGUAUACUGUCCGAUGACAGAUCUAAGUCAUGCGUGUGGCGAUCAUUUGGCGCUCCUGACAUGGGCUCGAAUCGGUCGAAGAUCAAGUCUCCGCGGAUGUCGGAAGUGUAGUUUAGGUUUCCAAACCUGACCUGAUGGCCAGGGGCAUAGCUAUCGAUCUGCUCCAGAUGGCCAAGCGAGUUGGCCCGCAGUGCGAAGCCGCCGAACAUGAAGAUCUGUUUGGGGAGAAAAGUCUUACCCUGGACUGUGUUGUCGAAGAUUGAAGGAGCCAUCAAGCCUUAUGAUGACGACACAGAGGAACUCUCAAUGAAAGCACCAAUGUCGGUGUCAAAACCGGCGGAUCUCGGGUAGGGGGUCCCGAACUAUGCGUCUAAGGCUAAUGGUAAAAGGAGACUGGGGACACGAUGUUUACCCAGGUUCGGGCCCUCUCGAUGGAGGUAAUACCCUACUUCCUGCUUGAUUGAUCUUGAUGAUAUGGGUAUUACAAGAGUUGAUCUACCACGAGAUCGUAGAGGCUAAACCCUAGAAGCUAGCCUAUGAUUAUGAUUGUCAUGCCCUACGGACUAAAACCCUCCAGUUUAUAUAGACACCGGAGGAGGCUAGGGUUACAUGGAGUCGGUUACAGAGAAGGAGAUUAUAAUGCGGACCGCCAAGCUUGCCUUCCACGCCAAGGAGAGUCCCAUCUAGACAUGGGAUGAAGUCUUCAAUCUUGUAUCUUCAUAGUCCAAUAGUCCGGCCAAAGUAUAUAGUCCGGCUGUCCGGAUACCCCCUUAUCCAGGACUCCCUCACUCUCCCUUGCCCCUCGACCCUCGCCCACAUGGUGGACGUGCAGCAAUUCAUUUGGUCUCAUAUAGCUAGAACUGCACUACCAUUAUUGCUCGACUUCCCGAAGAGGCGAAGAGCCAAUCACAAGGUUAAUAUUUUGGAGAUGCCAAGCACAAGGUUAUAGGAGAACGAGUUGUAGGUGCCGCGUCAUUUAUAAAUAAAGUUUUUUUCUUCAGUGGCACAUACGCAAUAUGAUAGGUUCAUAUGGAGAGAAAAGGAAACCGCUCCACUAUAUACAUAGUCAGGACGGGCCAGCCUACACGGUUGCUUGCUGGGGUUGCUCUCUUCACACUCUCUCGCACAAAAUGACUGUGGCCACAUCUCUAACAUCCCACUGUCGGCACGUCCCAAUCAGGAGUCCCCGCUGUUCUCUCUCACAAAUCCGUUGAGGUUGCCAUCGUCCCUUGCUAACUGCCGCGACGUGGGCAGUUGCCGCCUCCUGCCGCCCUCCUCAAGGUUGAGCUACGUCCCUCAGGUACAACUCCCUUUACAGCCGGCUUGCACCACUACUCCAGCUGCCCACAUCAGUCCCUGUGCAUAUUUCUCUACUUCUUUGCCCCGCACAUACCUCUACUGGCUUCUACGUACUGUAUUUGUGAAUCAACUAGUCCCAUUAAUCUUAUUCUAAUCGCGCUUCUUCAAUUUCUUUGCCACAGGGAUGCUCAUCUCGAUUUUGGUGAAACUGCACAAAAUGAUCCGAUGGUCAAAAGGUUGCAAACUUCAUUUAUUAGGAAGCUCGAACGUUGCCAGCAAAUUGAAGCCUGGUUAGGGUUCACGGUUCAAGGGCUAUGGACUGCAUGCAUCGCUUUUUCUUUAGCUUCCUCUGUUCCAAAAUAAGUGUCAACUUUAGUAGUAGCACAACUUUGUACUAAAGUUUGCACAAAGUUGAGACACUUAUUUUGGAACGGAGGGAGUACAUAUUUUCCAUGAUCUGUCAAUCAUUGAGAUGCAAUAGCAUGCAUGUUAGUCUCCUUUGUAUUUGAUGAAAUGUUGCAACGGGCAACCUUGGAUGCAAGAUACAUGUAACAGAAGCUGGAAGCUCCAUAGCAUUGUACAAAUUUAUCUCACUGAUAAAUUAUAGUAUGUACUAUACUAGUACUUCCUCCGUUCCUAAAUAUAAGUCUUUGUAGAGAUUUCACCAUGAACCACAUGCGGAUGUAUAUAGAUGCAUUUUAAGUGUAGAUUCAUUCAUUUUGUUCCGUAUGUAGUUCACCUAGUGGAAUCUCUACAAAGACUUAUCUACUAGUAAUAGCUAGCCCCCACUACUAGGAAUUCUCUAUCCUCUCCUUGAGCCACAUCAUCAAAAUUAAUGUAGCCUUACAUGAACUAAAUUAGUCCAUAAUAGCCGUCUGAUCUAGACGUUGAGAAGCUCCGCACUAGGCCACAUGCAAGCAUGCAGAAAUACCGUGGCAUGCAUGUGAGUGGGUUUUAAAUCACAUCAACAUGUCUGCAAGCAAGCACUACUAGGAAAAGGGCUAUAGAUGAUAUGGCCACUAAUGGUGCACUAGACAUGUGGUGCGCCACUACCAUAAGCAGUGGCGCACCAUGUGUCGGUGCGCCAUUAGUGUGAUAGACACUAAUGGCGCACCAGACCCAUGGUGCGCCACUAGUAACAAUUUUUUUAUUUUCCCCAAAAUACUAAUGGCGCACCAGGGCACAGUGCGCCAUUACUAGUUUUAACUAGUAAUGGCGCACCAGCCACACAGUGCGCCACUAAUAUUUUUUUUGCAAAACUACUAAUGGUGCACCACCAGCUGGUGCGCCAUUAGUAACCAGGGUUACUAAUGGCGCAUUUGUAGCUGGUGCGCCAUUAGUAACCUGGGACCAGCUAGAUAUUUUGGACAGCCACACCUACACACUCACUUUCCCCACUUCAUUCUCUCCACCUCCUCCUCCAAGCUUGUCUCGGCUGCCUCCUCCUCCUCACCUCAUUUGCACCAUAGAUUCAUCCAAAUUAAGUGGUUAAAUUACCUUUUUUGAUAGGUAAGUAAGGGGAAAGCUAUCUUUAUGUUGUAGAUCUACUUUUUUUUCUCCCUCCAACAACGUGCACAUGCACUUUUUAUGGCCUAGCUAGAUCUAUGUAUGUUUGUGGUGUUGCAUAUAUUUGUGGUGUUGCAUAUAUGUUUGUGUUUGCAGGUACCGGUAUUUGAAAUGCGAUAGUUGCCAAUAUUUUGCCGGAAUGUUGAUUCAUUUCCGUUUCGGCGAGAAUUUUGGUACUAUGCAUUCUUUUUGGUCCUAUUUUUAGGCAAAGUCAUUCCAAAUUUUUUCUUGGUUCUAAAAUAUCGUUUUGCUCUACCCCGCAGGUGACCAUGGUCCGCACGAUGACCGAAGGCAUAGUGAAUAGUUUUUUGAGCUCCGCGAAGGCCGAGAUGCUUCAAAAGAACGAGAUGGAGAUAAGAUGUCCAUGUCGAAGAUGCAAGCUGAGGAGCCUUAUGGACCCGGAUUCCGUACAGGUGCGGGACCACCUGCUCUUGCAUGGUUUCAUGGAUGGCUAUCGGUGGCAAGGUGAUGACGAUGAUUAUGAAGUCGUCCAUGGGGGCCGGGCAAGAAAUGAGGAAGGGCAGCAAGACAACCGCGGCGAGGGCGGGCGAGAAAACGAAGAAUCUCCAGGACAUGAUCACGAAGUAGAUGCAGUACACAGUCAUCAUGUAGAAGAUUCCAGAAAUGAUGAUGAGGAAGAUGCAGGAACAGACGAAGGGCAUGAUCAUGAAGAUGAAGAUGCCGGAGCAGACGACGAUGGACCAUCGAUGAGCUGGGUGCAGGACCCUCAUAUUCAAGAGCUGCUUCUCAAGCAUACGGAUAACGCAAGAGCUGCCGCCCGAGAGAAAGCCAAGCUGGAUCAACUGGAGAUAGACGCGGUUACUCCAUUGUAUGAAGGAUGCAGACCCGAGGAUACCCACCUGAAAGUAACGCUCAUGGCUCUGGAGAUGAAGGUAAAACACAAAAUGACCGACACAUGCUUCGACGAGAACAUGUCAUUCUGGCACGAACGUCUUCCCAAGGGGAACAAGUGCCCGGCCAGUUUUGAGGAGGCGAAGAAAAUCGUGUGUCCUCUGGAUUUACCGCACAUGAAAUACCAUGUGUGCAUGAACAAUUGCAUCAUUUAUUCGGACGAGAACGAGGAGUCUACCAUAUGUCCGGUGUGCAGCGUCACUCGAUACAAGAAGAGGAAGAAAGCUCCUCGAAAAGUGGUGUGGUACUUUCUGAUCAUUCCUCAUCUGCAGCGGUAUUUCGCGGACCCUAAGGUAGAAAAGCUCCUACGUUGGCACGCAGAUAGGGAGGAGAAGAAGCAAGAAGAUGACACAAAUGAUCCGGAGAUAAAUAAAAUAGACAAGAUGCUGAGUCACCCUAAGGAUAGGAGCCAGUGGCAAGCGUUGAACUUCGAACACCCAGAAUUUGGGAGGAUACAAGGAACAUCAUGCUGGGCGCGAGCAUCGAUGGAGUCAAUCCGUUUGGCAGCCAGAGAAGCACACAUAUCACCUGGCUUGUGUUUGUGUGGAUAUACAACCUUCCCCCCUGGUUGUGUGCAUGAAGAGGAAGUACAUUCACAUGAGUAUGCUAAUUGAAGGGCCGAAACAACCAGGGAACAACAUCAAUUUGUAUCUAGGGAUGCAGAAAGAGGAGCUAGACACGCUAUGGAAAAUGCCAGCCAAUAUGUGGGACGCCGCAGAGAAAGAAUAUUUCCCUAUGAGAGCCGCACUGCUCACGACGGUGCACAACUAUUUCGGUUACGGAUAUGUCACGGGGAAGGUGGUCCAUGGAUUUUCUGGAUGCGUCACGUGCAUGGAUGACACGAAGUAUUGCCAGCUAGAUAGAGAUCCCGGUGUCGGUGUCAAAACCGGCGGAUCUCAGGUAGGGGGUCCCGAACUGUGCGUCUAAGGCUAAUGGUAACAGGAGACUGGGAACACGAUGUUUACCUAGGUUCGGGCCCUCUCGAUGGAGGUAAUACCCUACUUCCUGCUUGAUUGAUCUUGAUGAUAUGAGUAUUACAAGAGUUGAUCUACCACGAGAUCAUAGAGGCUAAACCCUAGAAGCUAGCCUAUGAUUAGAUUGUGUGUUGCCCUACGGACUAAAACCCUCCGGUUUAUAUAGACACCGGAGGAGUCUAGGGUUACAUGGAGUCGGUUACAGAGAAGGAGAUCUCUAAUCCGGAUCGCCAAGCUUUCCUUCCACGCCAAGGAGAGUCCCAUCCGGACACAGGACGAAGUCUUCAAUCUUGUAUCUUCAUAGUCCAACAGUCCGGCCAAAGUAUAUAGUCCGGCUGUCCGGAUACCCCCUUAUCCAGGACUCCCUCAGUAGUCCCUGAACCAGGCUUCAAUGACGAUGAGUCCCGCCACAGAUUGUCUUCGACAUUGCAAGGCGGGUUCCAUCUCCGAAUACUCCAAAGAAAUCUUCGAAUACUUAAAUUGUGUCCGACUCUGUAAGACAAAAUUCCACAUACCACCGUAGAGAUGACAAUAUUUCACAAAUCAAAUCUGCUGACCACUUUUUACCACGUGACAGCACGCCAUGGUCCGGUCAUUAUUCGAACCGUUUUUCACAACCAGCUCCCGCACAUAUUGCGUGGUGGUUUCUUUGGCACGUCUUGUCAAAGCAGAGAUCGUGUCCCCUUAUCGCGGGAUCUUCAUCAAUACGGGUAUGGGUAACCCUACCAGCGCCAUCAAUCAAGGCGCUUGGAAAAUAAGUGAUUUCGAGAGGCAAGUGGGGAGGCACACAUUCUGCAUCGCCUUUAUAAAGGGACAAGGAUCUCCCGUUUUCACCCACGCCUUCUUCCUCCUUUGCCCAUCCGUUCUCGCCCUCUCGAGCCCCAGCGCCCAAUUUCUCACCUUCUCCGUAGGACCGCAACAUGUCCGGAGCGGGAGGCAAGUGGAUGGCCAGAGGAGGACAUUACCAAGCUUCGAGCAUCGCGCACAAGCUUCCGGCGGAGGGUCAGAUCACACCCACCCCAAAGUCUCGGGAGAGAGUAGUAUUUCUCCCUCAUUUCAUCCGCGGACGAGGAUUUCCACUCCACCCGUUUGUCCGUGGGCUCAUGUAUUACUACGGGCUAGAUUUUCACGAUCUAGCCCCGAAUUUUUUCAUCAACAUCUCGGCGUUCAUCGUCGUGUGUGAGGCCUUCCUCCGCAUCAAUCCCUACUUCGGCCCGUGGUUGCACAUCUUCUGCGUGAAGCCGAAGAUCGUGAGCGGCCAACAGGCGGAGUGCGGAGGCGCCAUGGUGGGCAGAAUGCCCAACAUUACAUGGCUUGAUGGCUCCUUCAUGGAGACCAUGAAAGGGUGGCAAUCAGGGUGGUUCUACAUCACCGAGCCGCGUGACGCCAACUGGGUGGCGGCCCUGAAAUUCAGAUCCGGAAUCCCCAUGCGGCUCACUUCUUGGGAAAAGAAGGGCCUGGCCUGGGGCGAAUCCACGGAGCUGACCGGACUCGAGACCUGCAUCAAAAGUAUGAGGGACAAUAAGAUCCAGCUUGUCAAUGUGGUCCAGGUCAUGCUCGUUCGCCGGAUUCUCCCGUGCCAAAGACGGGCAUUCAAUAUGUGGGAGUUCGAUCCGGCAGAACACUAGAUGCUGCUGAAGGAAAUAUGCCCUAGAGGCAAUAAUAAAGUUAUUAUUUAUUUCCUUAUAUCAUGAUAAAUGUUUAUUAUUCAUGCUAGAAUUGUAUUAACCGGAAACAUAAUACAUGUGUGAAUACAUAGACAAACAUAGUGUCACUAGUAUGCCUCUACUUGACUAGCUCGUUUAUCAAAGAUGGUUGUGUUUCCUAGCCAUGGACAAAAGAGUUGUCAUUUGAUUAACGGGAUCACAUCAUUAGGAGAAUGAUGUGAUUGACAUGACCCAUUCCGCUAGCCUAGCACUUGAUCGUUUAGUAUGUUGCUAUUGCUUUCUUCAUGACUUAUACAAAGUUCCUGUAACUAUGAGAUUGUGCAACUCACGUUUACCGGAAGAACACUUUGUGUGCUACCAAACGUCACAACGUAACUGGGUGAUUAUAAAGGUGCUCUACAGGUGUUUCCGAAGGUACAUGUUGGGUUGGCAUAAUUCGAGAUUAGGUUUUGUCACUCCGAUUGUCGGAGAGGUAUCUCUGGGCCCUCUCGGUAAUACUCAUCACCUAAGCCUUGCAAGCAUUGUAACUAAUGAGUUAGUUAUAAGAUGAUGUGUUACAGAACAAGUAAAGAGACUUGCCGGUAACGAGAUUGAACUAGGUAUUGGAUACCAACGAUCAAAUCUCGGGUAAGUAACAUACCGAUGACAAAGGGAACAACGUAUGUUGUUAUGCGGUUUGACCGAUAAAGAUCUUCGUAGAAUAUGUAGGAGCCAAUAUGGGCAUCCAGGUUCCGCUAUUGGUUAUUGACCAAGAAUAGUUCUAGGUCAUGUCUACAUAGUUCUCGAACCCGUAGGGUCCGCACGCUUAAGGUUUCGAUGACAGUUAUAUUAUGAGUUUAUGAGUUUUGAUGUACCAAAGGAGUUCGGAGUCCCGGAUGAGAUCGGAGGCAUGACGAGGAGUCUCAAAAUGCUCGAGACGUAAAGAUCGAUAUAUUGGACGACUAUAUUCGGAGUUCGGAAAGGUUCCGAGUGAUUCGGGUAUUUUUCGGAGUACCGGAGAGUUACGGGAAUUCGCCGGGGAGUAUAUGGGCCUUAUUGGGCCAUACGGGAAUUAAGGAGAGAGGCCGAAAGGAAGGAGGCGUGCAGCCCCCCUCUGGUCUGAAUUGGACAAGGGGUGCAGCCUAUGACCCCCCUCUGCGUUUGGAUCGGUCGGAUCGUGAAGACGUACGACUACAUCAACCGCGUUGUCAUAACGCUUCCGCUUACGGUCUACGAGGUUACGUGGACAACACUCUCUCCUCUCGUUGCUAUGCCAUCACCAUGAUCUUGCGUGUGCGUAGGAAUUUUUUUGAAAUUACUACGAUCUCCAACAGUGGCAUCCGAGCCUGGUUUUAUGCGUAGAUGUCAUAUGCACGAGUAGAACACAAGUAGUUGUGGGCGAUAUAAGUCAUACUGCUUACCAACAUGUCAUACUUUGGUUCGGCGUUAUUGUGAGAUGAAGCGGACCGGACCGACAUUACGUGUACGCUUACGCGAGACUGGGUUCACCGCUACGAGCACUCGUUGCUUAAAGGUGACCGGCGGGUGUCUGUCUCUCUCACUUUAGCUGAAUCGAGUGUGGCUACGCCCAGUCCUUGCGAAGGUUAAAACAGCACCAACUUGACAAACUAUCGUUGUGGUUUUUGAUACGUAGGUAAGAACGGUUCUUGCUAAGCCCGUAGCAGCCACGUAAAACUUUCAACAACAAAGUAGCGGACGUCUAACUUGUUUUUGCAGGGCAUGUUGUGAUGUGAUAUGGUCAAGACGUGAUGCUAUAUUUUAUUAUAUGAGAUAAUCAUGUUUUGUAACCGAAGUUAUCGGCAACUGGCAGGAGCCAUAUGGUUGUCGCUUUAUUGUAUGAAAUGCAAACGCCCUGUAAAUGCUUUACUUUAUCACUAAGCAGUAGCGAUAGUCGUAGAAGCAAUAGUUGGCGUGACGACAACGAUGCUACGAUGAAGAUCAAGGUGUCGCGCCAGUGACGAUGGUGAUCAUGACGGUGCUUCGGAGAUGGAGAUCACAAGCACAAGAUGAUGAUGGCCAUAUCAUAUCACUUAUAUUGAUUGCAUGUGAUGUUUUUCCUUUAUGCAUCUUAUCUUGCUUUGAUUGACGGUAGCAUUUUAAGAUGAUCUCUCACUAAAAUUAUCAAGAAGUGUUCUCCCUGAGUAUGCACCGUUGCCAAAGUUCAUCGUGCCCAGACACCACGUGAUGAUCGGGUGUGAUAAGCUCUACGUCCAUCUACAACGGGUGCAAGACAAUUUUGCACACGCGGAAUACUUAGGUUAAACUUGACGAGCCUAGCAUAUGCAGAUAUGGCCUCGGAACACGGAGACCGAAAGGUCGAGCGUGAAUCAUAUAGUAGAUAUGAUCAACAUAGUGAUGUUCACCAUUGAAAACUACUCCAUCUCACGUGAUGAUAGGUUAUGGUUUAGUUGAUUUGGAUCACGUGAUCACUUAGAUGACUAGAGAGAUGUCUGUCUAAGUGGGAGUUCUUAAAUAAUAUGAUUAAUUGAACUUAAAUUUAUCAUGAACUUAGUCCUAGUAGUAUUUUGCAAAUUAUGUUGUAGAUCAAUAGCUUGCAUUGUUGCUUUCAUAUGUUUAUUUUGAUAUGUUCCUAGAGAAAAUUGUGUUGAAAAAUGUUAGUAGCAAUGAUGCGGAUUGGAUCCGUGAUCUGAGGUUUAUCCUCAUUGCUGCGCAGAAGAAUUAUGUCCUUGAUGCACCGCUAGGUGACAAACCUAUUGCAGGAGCAGAUGUAGACGUUAUGAACGUUUGGCUAGCUCAAUAUGAUGACUACUUGAUAGUUUAGUGCACCAUGCUUAAUGGCUUAGAAUCGGGACUUCAAAGAAGUUUUGAACGUCAUGGACCAUAUGAGAUGUUCCAGGAGUUGAAGUUAAUAUUUCAAGCAAAUACCCGAGUUGAGAGAUAUAAAAUCUCCAACAAGUUCUAUAGCUAAAAGAUGGAGGAGAAUCUCUCAACUAGUGAGCAUGUGCUCAGAUUGUCUGGGUACUACAAUCGCUUGAAUCAAGUGGGAGUUAAUCUUCCAGAUAAAAUAGUGAUUGACAGAAUUCUCUAGUCACCAUCACCAAGUUAGUAGAACUUCGUGAUGAACUAUAAUAUGCAAGGGAUAACGGAAACGAUUCCCGAGCUCUUCGUGAUGCUAAAAUCAACGAAAGUAGAAAUCAAGAAAAACAUCAAGUGUUGAUGGUAGACAAGACCACUAGUUUCAAGAAAAGGGCAAAGGGAAGAAGGGGAACUUCAAGAAGAACGACAAGCAAGUUGCUGCUCAAGUGAAGAAGCCCAAGUCUGGUCCUAAGCCUGAGACUAAGUGCUUCUACUGCAAAGGGACUGGUCACUGGAAGUGGAACUACCCCAAGUAUUUGGCGGAUAAGAAGGAUGGCAAAGUGAACAUAGGUAUAUUUGAUAUACAUGCUAUUGAUGUGUACUUUACUAGUGUUUAUAGCAACCCCUUGGUAUUUGAUACUAGUUCAGUUGCUAAGAGUAGUAACUCGAAACGGGAGUUGCAGAAUAAACAGAAACUAGUUGAGGGUGAGGUGACGAUGAAUGUUGGAAGUAGUUCCAAGAUUGAUAUGAUCAUCAUCGCACACUCCCUAUACUUUUGGGAUUAGUGUUGAACCUAAAUAAAUGUUAUUUGGCGUUUACGUUGAGCAUGGAUAUGAUUUGAUCAUGUUUAUUGAAAUACGGUUAUUCAUGUAAGUUAGAAGAAUAAUUAUUGUUCUGUUUACAUGAAUAAAACCUUCUAUGGUCAUACACCCAAUGAAAAUGGUUUGUUUGAUCUCGAUCGUGUGAUACACAUAUUCAUAAUAUUGAAACCAAAAGAUGUAGAGUUAAUAAUGAUAGUGCAACUUAUUUGUGGCACUGCCGUUUAGGUCAUAUUGGUGUAAAGCGCAUGAAGAAACUCCAUAAAAGAUGGAUUUUUGGAAUCACUUGGUUAUGAAUCAUUUGAUGCUUGCGAACCGUGCCUUUUGGACAAGAUGACUAAAACUCCGUUCUCCAGAACAAUGGAAUGAGCUACUGACUUAUUGGAAAUAAUACAUACCGAUGUAUGCGAUCCAAUGAGUGUUGAUGCUCGUGGCAAGUAUCGUUAUUUUCUAACCUUCACAAGAUGAUUUGAGCAGAUAUAGGUAUAUCUACUUGAUGAAACAUAAGUCUGAAAUAGUUGAAAGGUUCAAAGAAUUUCAGAGUGAAGUGGAAAAAUCAUCAUAACAAGAAAAUAAAGUUUCUGCGAUCUGAUCACGGAGACGAAUAUUUGAGUUACGAGUUUGGUCUUCAAUUAAAACAAUGUGGAAUAGUUUCACAGGUCACACCACCUGGAACACCACAACGUUAUGGUGUGUCCGAACAUCGUAACCGCACUUUAUUGGAUAUGGUGCAAUCUAUGAUGUCUCUUACCGAUUUACCGCUAUCGUUUUGGGGUUAUGCAUUAGAGACAGCUACAUUCACUUUAAAUUGGGCACCAUCAAAAUCCGUUGAGACGACGCCUUAUGAACUGUGGUUUGGCAAGAAACCAAAGUUGUCAUUUCUUAAAGUUUGGAGUUGCGAUGCUUAGAUGAAAAAGUUUCAACCUGAUAAGCUCGAACCCAAAUCGGAGAAGUGCGUCUUCAUAGAAUACCCAAAGGAAACUGUUGGGUACUCCUAUCACAAAUCCAAAGGCAAAACAUUCGUUGCUCAGAAUGGAUCCUUUCUAGAGAAGGAGUUUCUCUCGAAAGAAGUGAGUGGGAGGAAAGUAGAACUUGACGAGGUAACUGUACCUGCUCCCUUAUUUGAAAGUAGUUCAUCACAGAAAUCUGUUCCUCUGACUACUACACCAAUUAGUGAGGAAGUUAAUGAUGAUGAUCAUGAAACUUCAGAUUAAGUUACUACAGAACCUCGUAGGUCUUCCAGAGUAAGAUCCGCACCAGUGUGGUAUGGUAAUCCUGUUCUGGAAGUCAUGUUACUAGACCAUGAUGAACCUACGAACUAUGAGGAAGCGAUGAUGAGCCCAGAUUCCACGAAAUGGCUUGAGGCCAUAAAAUCUGAGAUAUGAUCCAUGUAUGAGAACAAAGUAUGGACUUUGAUUGACUUGCUCGAUGAUCAGCAAGCCAUGUUAAAUAAAUGGAUCUUCAAGAGGAAGACGGACAUUGAUAGUAGUGUUACUAUCUACUAAGCUCGACUUGUUGCGAAAUGUUUUCAACAAGUUCAAGGUGUUGAAUACGAUGAGAUUUUCUCACUCGUAUCGAAGCUUAAGUCUGUCUGAAUCAUGUUAGCAAUUGCCACAUUUUAUGAAAUAUGGCAAAUGGAUGUCAAAACUGCAUUCCUUAAUGGAUUUAUUAAAGAAGAGUUGUAUAUGAUGCAACCAGAAGGUUUUUUCAAUCCUAAAGGUGCUAACAAAUUGUGCAAGCUCCAGCGAUCCAUCUAUGGACUGGUGCAAGCAUCUCGGAGUUGGAAUAUAUGCUUUGAUGAGUUGAUCAAAGCAUAUGGUUUUAUACAGACUUUUGAAGAAGCCUGUAUUUACAAGAAAGUGAGUGGGAGCUCUGUAGCAUUUCUAAUAUUAUAUGUGGAUGACAUAUUGUUAAUUGGAAAUGAUAUGGAAAUUCUGGAUAGCAUGAAAGGAUACUUGAAUAAGAGUUUUUCAAAGCAAGACCUCGGUGAAGCUGCUUACACAUUGAGCAUCAAGAUCUAUAUAGAUAGAUCAAGACGCUUGAUAAGAUUUUUUCAAUGAGUACAUACCUUGAUAAAUUUUUGAAAUAGUUCAAAAUGGAACAGUCAAAGAAAGGAGUUCUUGCCUGUGUUACAAGGUGUGAAGUUGAGUAAGACUCAAGACCCGACCAUUGCAGAAAAUAGAAAGAGAAUGAAAAAUCAUUCCCUAUGCCUCAGUCAUAGGUUCUAUAAAGUAUGCUAUGCUGUAAACAGACCUAUUGUAUACCUUGCUCUGUGUGUGGCAAAGGAAUACAAUUUUGAUCUAAUAAGUAGAUCACUGGUCAUGGAGCAAGAAUAUCCUUAGUGAGGACUAAGGAGAUGUUUCUCGAUUAUGGAGGUGAUAAAAGAGCCCGUCGUAAAAGUUACAACGAUGCAAGCUUUUACACCAAUCCAGAUGACUCUAAGUCUCAAUCUGGAUACAUAUUAAAAGUGGGAGCAAUUAGCUAGAGUAGCUCCGUGCAGAGCAUUGUGGACAUAGAAUAUUUGCAAAAUACAUACGGCUCUGAAUAUGAUAGACCCGUUGACUAAGCUUCUCUCACGAGCAAAACAUGAUCAUAUCUUAAUACUCUCUUUGGGUGUUAAUCACAUAGCGAUGUGAACUAGAUUAUUGACUCUAGUAAACCCUUUGGGUGUUGAUCACAUGACGAUGUGAACUAUGGGUAUUAAUCACAUACAGAUGUGAAUAUUGGUGUUGAAUCACAUGCUGAUGUGAACUAGAUUAUUGACUCUAGUGCAAGUGGGAGACUAAAGGAAAUAUGCCCUAGAGGCAAUAAUAAAGUUAUUAUUUAUUUCCUUAUAUCAUGAUAAAUGUUUAUUAUUCAUGCUAGAAUUGUAUUAACCGGAAACAUAAUACAUGUGUGAAUACAUAGACAAACAUAGUGUCACUAGUAUGCCUCUACUUGACUAGCUCGUUUAUCAAAGAUGGUUGUGUUUCCUAGCCAUGGGCAAAAGAGUUGUCAUUUGAUUAACGGGAUCACAUCAUUAGGAGAAUGAUGUGAUUUACAUGACCCAUUCCGUUAGCCUAGCACUUGAUCGUUUAGUAUGUUGCUAUUGCUUUCUUCAUGACUUAUACAAAGUUCCUGCAACUAUGAGAUUUUGCAACUCACGUUUACCGGAAGAACACUUUGUGUUCUACCAAACGUCACAACGUAACUGGGUGAUUAUAAAGGUGCUUUACAGGUGUUUCCGAAGGUACAUGUUGGGUUGGCAUAAUUUGAGAUUAGGUUUCGUCACUCCGAUUGUCGGAGAGGUAUCUCUGGGCCCUCUCGGUAAUACUCAUCACCUAAGCCUUGCAAGCAUUGUAACUAAUGAGUUAGUUAUAAGAUGAUGUGUUACAGAACGAGUAAAGAGACUUGCCGGUAACGAGAUUGAACUAGGUGUUGGAUACCAACGAUCAAAUCUCGGGUAAGUAACAUACCGAUGACAAAGGGAACAACGUAUGUUGUUAUGCGGUUUGACCGAUAAAGAUCUUCGUAGAAUAUGUAGGAGCCAAUAUGGGCAUCCAGGUUCCGCUAUUGGUUAUUGACCAAGAAUAGUUCUAGGUCAUGCCUACAUAGUUCUCGAACCUGUAGGGUCCGCACGCUUAAGGUUUCGAUGACAGUUAUAUUAUGAGUUUCUGAGUUUUGAUGUACCGAAGGAGUUCGGAGUCCCGGAUGAGAUCGGGGACAUGACGAGGAGUCUCAAAAUGGUCGAGACGUAAAGAUCGAUAUAUUGGACGACUAUAUUCGGAGUUCGGAAAGGUUCCGAGUGAUUCGGGUAUUUUUUGGAGUACUGGAGAGUUACGGGAAUUCGCCGGGGAGUAUAUGGGCCUUAUUGGGCCAUACGGGAAUUGAGGAGAGAGGCCGAAAGGAAGGAGGCGCGCAGCCCCCCUCUGGUCCGAAUUGGACAAGGGGUGCAGACCCUCUUUCCUUCCUCCUCUCCCCCUCUUUCCUUCUCUCCUACUCCAACAAGGAAGGGGGGGAGUCCUACUCCCGGUGGGAGGAGGACUCCUCCUGGCGCGCCCCUCCUGGCCGGCCGCACCUCCCCCCUCCCUCCUUUAUAUACGGGGGCAGGGGGGCACCUCUAGGCACAAAAACACAAGUUGAUCUACGGAUCGUUCCUUAGCCGUGUGCGGUGCCCCCCUCCACCAUAUUCCACCUCGGUCAUAUCAUCGCGGAGUUUAGGCGAAGCCCUGCGCCGGUAGAGCAUCAUCAUCGUCAGCACGCCGUCGUGCUGACGGAACUCAUCCCCGAAGCUUUGCUGGAUCGGAGCCCGGGGAUCGUCAUCGAGCUGAACGUGUGCUGAACUCGGAGGUGCCGUACGUUCGGUACUUGGAUCGGUCGGAUCGUGAAGACGUACGACUACAUCAACCGCGUUGUCAUAACGCUUCUGCUUACGGUAUACGAGGGCACGUGGACAACACUCUCUCCUCUCGUUGCUAUGCCAUCACCAUGAACUUGCGUGUGCAUAGGAAAUUUUUUGAAAUUACUACGUUCUCCAACAGCUGUUGGAACUCUUCGACACGACACACAAAGACGUCUGGAAGGUACUGUUCAAGACCAGCGAAGUUCCUCCCCCCCUUUCCGAGGACCGUGGACUCAGCACAAAGCGCCUCGCCAAUCCGGUAAGUCCUCUGACUAUCACAAGAUGUUCCUUCCCCAGUACAGUCGUGGGAGGAUUUUGAAGUCACCAUGCUGACCAAACAUGAUUGGGUGGAGAUGGCAGAGCGGAUUGACUGCCCGGCUCCGCUGCCUGAGGAUCCAACAGACGCACUCCUAACGGAGAUGCUGGUUCCAGCGCCUUACAAGGUGCCGGAGAAAAAGGCUGAAAAGAAGGCCACGGGGACCAGGAAGGGUCUCCGGCGCGAGGCCGCACCAGACGCCUCACCAGAGGAUGAUGAGGCGCACUCCUCCCACGAAGGGGAGGAGAGAAAGAGGAAGGCCUCCCCAACUGAGGGGGCCGAAGGCUCCAAGAAGGCGGCCGCGGGGACCAGAAAAGGUCUCCGGGGCAAGGCCGUGAUAGACUCGUUAUCCGAGGAUGACGAGGAAGAUUCCCCCCACGGAGACGGGGGGAAACAUGAGGAAAUGCCCCCUCCCCGCACUGGGGAGGAGAAGAAAAGGAAGGCCGCCCCGUUAGGGGAGGCUGGGACACCGAAGAAGGGAAAGGCGUCCCGUCCGGAUGACUCCACUAUCGCCGCGUACAGCGAGGAGUGGCUACCCAGGGACAAGCCCCGGGCAAGGUCGUAAGUAUCCACACUCUUUAUACUUUUCAUGCGAUCUCGCCUUCAUGGUUUGUAAUAACGCCGAACUUGUAUAUGCAGUCCGACCAGGUCCAACCUCGGGGUAUCCUUUUCGGAGGGAUCGUUAAGUGAGUCAAAGAUGAUCAACGAUUCACUCCCGACGGCCACCUCCCCAUGACCCGCGGACGACACUGAGGUGCUGUCCCAAAGGAUACCAGAAUAGGAGGCGGUCGUUCUGGAGGUCCCCCAGGGAAAAAUCCCAGGCGCCGGACACAUGGGGGAUAAGACUCCCAUGGAUUAUGUUGACGGGAGCCACAACAAAUCUGGCUCCCAGCCGGUUACUGCACCGGAGCCUCCAAAGGCUUCAGAUUCCAGUAGGCAGCCCUUCGCGAAGGAGGGCGAGCUGGCCGCGCCGACGACCUCCGCCCAGCCGAAGGCAUCGGACAAUUUGUUGGAAGUGCUUCGAGGCGCUUCCAUUGACGAUGAGCACCGUGCUCUUAUGAGUACUGUAAUUGAGAAGGUUCAGUUCGCCAAGAGCGGAUUAACCGAAGCCUACACCAGCCUGCUAACAUGCUUUGAGGUAAGUAAAAAAGUGUGAGGAAAUAUCACCCGAUAGACAGUAGCCCCUGAUACUCUAUUUGGUGUUUGGAAGGAAAAGCCAAACGGAGGGUCAACUAAAAAACCACGGGAAGCUAAUGGUGACGAGGAUGCAGAUCUGGGGUAGGGUCAUAGGCUCGACCUAUACGUCCUACCCAAGGCCACUACCCUGGAAGAUGAAAAUACCAAGAGUCAACAGAAGAGCACCAGUCUCAUAAGUCGAGUGCAAUCCACUCGACAGUCACAUCACUCGACGGUGGUUACCUAUCGCCACACGGCCACAAGGAAGAUCACUCGACCAUAUCGAAGACCAGUAGUCAGGAGAGCGCACAACGGCCAGAUAUUUAUUCAUUAGUCUUCAUGAGCAUUAAGAGUACUUAAUGCUGGCAUUACCAGUAACGCCUCUACUUUAUGUACAUUAGUUCCCUUGUAAUGGAGUGGGGCUGGGGUCCUGGCGCACUCUAUAUAAGCCAUCCCCUCCUCUGGCACGAGGGUUCGCACCCUCUGUAAUCCAACACAUAUAAUCCAAUCGACCGCCUCCGGGCACUGAGAUGUAGGGUUAUUACUUCCUCCGAGAAGGGCAUGAACUCAUAAACAUCGUGUGUACAACUUCAUCAUAACUAAGAUCUUGCCUCUUCAUACCUACCUCCCUUUCUACUGUCAGACUUAGAACCACGACAGUUGGCGCCCACCAUGGGGCAGGUGUCUUAGCGACUUAUUGGUGAAGUUGCAAGUUUUUUCGAUCAUCAUCAUCAUGGUUUCCGGCGGCGGAUUGACUGAGGGUUGCGAGAUCCGUCUCGGCGCGCACGUGUUCGUCGCCGACGACUCUGGGUGGCUCCAAGAAGCUCCCCUGGACACCGAGGUGCUCCCUGUCCGAGGGGCGACGCACUUCCGCGUGAGCGUUCGUGGCGUUCUUCUUCGGCAACCGUCAACUCAAUAUCAGUCGGCUCCAAUGGCGUUUUCUCCCCCCCGCUGUACACCGCCGCAAGCGAUCCAGUCGAUCGCGGCUCCAGCGGUGGGUGAAACAUGCGGUGGCUCAGAAAUCGACCACCCAUCAAGUCGCGACAAUCGAGCCCGACAAAACUCUCCACGACCUGUUCGACUGGAUCUGCGGAGAUCGCAUCAGAAUGCGAUAGCAGUGAUCCUGCGGCCGAAGUCUUGAUGGUCGACGGUCCUCACAGCCCACCUGGUUUCCCCCGCGAAGACGGCGGAGAUGGAGGCGGCGAUCCUUCGCACGCCCACGAGGAAUACCGACCCGAACCCCUCUCCUCUCAGCAGAGGGAGGAACUUCGUCGCUGCAAUAUGGAUGCACUCCACACGCCCAUCGUUGGGGAAACCCCCGAGGCUCGGGCCUUGGAGGAGGUACGCUUAGCUAAUCUAGCUGAGCGCACUCGACUGGAUAACCUCUAGCUGGCUCUCGACGCGCGCGCUCAGGUGCGGAUCUAUGAAUCAAGUCGACGGCAACUCUUCCCGCCUCCACCUAAGGUAUACCGCACUCCGAUCACUACAAAAAAAAUACACUUCCGUGAUGAUACGUGUUGGUCACAGUAGGUCGCGUUUUUUGUCAUGCAUGUACAUCCAUGACAAAUUUAUGACAGAAUCAAGAUAGUCAUACCUAUGCUGUCGUAGAAGUGUUCCAUGACAUUACCAAAAUUAUCAUCACGGAAGUGUCCACUUCCAUGACGAUAAAUCGCGCGUCACAGAACUGCUUUCGUCAAGGGUGACCGACACGUGGCAUCCACCGUAACGGAACACCAUUAAGCUAUCGGGUCGUGUUUUGGAUCCGAUAACCCGUUAACAGCCCUGACCAAUGGGGAUUUUCCACGUGUAAAAUCAUCAUUGGCUGGAGGAAACACGUGUUGGCUCACCGUUGGGGCAGAUGUCAUCCGCUCAUUGGACCGAAGGCGCCUAUGAUACGGCGACACGUGGCAUGGUCCAACAAAGGCCCAUUCCUGUGAAAAGGCCGGCCCGUUUGACUUGGUCAAAAGGUGGCGGACCGGCCCACGGAAAGCCUCUUAACGGCCUGUUCGCAUAUAGCACAUUUACAGCCCGCUAACCUAGGGCCCGUUACGCCCUAUCUGAAUUAGGCCCAGUAGCGUCAUCUGGGCCGUCCGAUAUGAUUCAGCCCGUUUUAACUUCCGGCCCGUGUGUGGCCCAUGACUUCUUUCGACCCAUAUGAGGACCUUUGUAACUCUUGGCCCAUCACUUUAUACCUAUUAAGGGCCCGUUAUUCCAUUGGGCCGUUUCCAGCCCAAGUUAUCUUUCGGCCUUCUCAGGGCCCAUUGAUUCUUGGGCUCAUUUGCAGCAUUCGGUUACAUACGGCCUAUUACUGUCAUUUUCUGCUUGUGGCCAAAUUCAGCCCGUCGUUACAGUCGCCCCGUUUGCGGAACGUUAAUACGUUGGGCCAUUUACAUGUCAAAAAAACCCGUUGGGCUGUUUUCAGAGAGUUAUCAAAUACGGCCUAUUAACGGCCCGUUAUGGUCCACGAAUAGUACGGCCCAUGAUUGGCGAAAUGAUGAUACGCCCCGUAGAAGGCCCAUGGAUCGUACGGCCCGUAUGAGGCUCAUGGAUAGUACGGCCCGUAGAAGGCCCAUGGACCCUACGACCCGUAGAAGGCCCAUUGAUCCCUAAGGCCCGUAUAGAAGGUCGAUGUAUCCUACGGCCCGUAUAGAAGGCCAAUGGUCCUACGGCCGAAUGAAGGCCCAUGGAUCAUACGGCCUGUAGGAGGCCCAUGGUUACAACAGUCCGUGUGUUGCCAUGAUUAUUUUGGCCUAUUACCAAAAAUAGGCUAUUGUGGCCACUAAAAAAACACAGAAAAAGAACUGCAGUGACUACAAGCAAACAACUAAACAAGACAAGAAGGAAAUAAACAAGCAAGCAAUUAAGGCUAGCCUAUUACCGCUAUUACACAUAUUAAAUCCACUUGGCAUCAAAGUUUGCCACCAGUGCAAAUAUGGGGAACAAAGUAGCAUAUUACAUACACUUGGCCGUCAAAAUUGGCCACCAGUGCAAAUAAACGCAGCAGCAAAACAAGAGCAUAACUGAAAUUACUUCAGAAGAGCUUAAGAAACGUUAUCAUGGGUAUCCACCAUGCUGGCAAUAAGCUUAGCAAGCUGAUUAGCUUUGUCCUGUUUGGCACUAAAAUCCUCCAACGCUUGCUGUUGCACCAGAAAGUAUGCAUCUGAAUGCUCCAGGGACUUCUAUAGUCCUUCUGCUUCUUGUCGCAGCACAGCUGAUCGAUGUCUUUCAGCUUGUAGUUGAGACUCAAGAAACCGAACUGAUUCAGACAGUGAGUUUGAAUAGCUUGUGCAAGCGGUAGUGGCCUUUAACUCGAACACUAAACCAAGACAGGACUUUGGGGUUGUCUCAUUGUCUUCAAGAUAGUCUUCCUUAGCUGUUUUAUCAGCUUUGUUGGAGACCAACAAGGAUGUGUCACUGUCCUGAACCUUAUCUGCAUUACUUCCUUUACCAUUGCUUAAUAAGGUACUCUUCCCCAAUAUUCUGUCAGCAUUCUAAAAGAAGAAACAAGCAGACACAUAACAAGUUUAGCAUGUACUAGUAUAUGAAACUCAUUUCGGUGAACCAGUUCAUUAGUAAGGUGGACAGGAUUAAACUACCAAGUCUUCUAUUGCCAAGUACUAGUACAUAAUAAAAGCAUCAAACAAACAUAUAUCUAUGUCCUAUGGUCACUGCAUUGUCUUGCCAAAUCAAAAUAGAGACACGGUUCAAAUCAUAUCAGUUCAAGACAAAGCAGCAGUGAAAGAAUACAAAGCGUGGGAAACUACACGGCACAACAAGAUUUCAGAUGUGUACCACGGGUCUACAUGUACAACAACACUAUUGGCUUUGUUGUGAUGCUAGUAAUGUGCAUGAUAUGAAAGUCAACUGUAUACACAAUUGAAAUUGAAAUCAAAAGAGCUAUUGAUAAGAGCAAACCUGUUAAAGAAACAUGCAGGAACAUACCUGCCGUGCCAUUGCAGUUUCGAUUGGAUCCUUCCAUUUAAAAAUAAGUUUGUAUGAGUAAAUACAAUGAUACAAGAGCAAAACAAUCAUAGUUAAAAAAGGCACACCUAAGCGAGCGCUUAAGCGUGCCUAGGCUCUAGGCGUUGGCAAAACGCAUUGCGCAUAACUACGCUUAAUCUGUGCAUAACUGCACAUAAGCAUGCACUUUGGUCAGUAAAGUGCAAGGCGGUGGCAAAACCCACAAUUAACGCCUAGCGCUUUUUUGAACUAUGAUAGCAAUGGAAUCUUAAAUUAGAACAGUUGUUCUUCAGGUUUAGGCACUUGUUCUACAUCAGAGUACAGUAAGACGCAAGAAUAUAAUACUUAAAAAUAGAAAAUGAGCUCAUAGACCUUACGACAUUCUUGGUUCGGGACCAGUACAGAACAAGGCGUUCCCAGUCAUCGUCCAGUAAAUGUUUCUGAGGAGAACGUAAGGGAAUUUGAUGAGUUUCUUUGCCGGUGAAGUACGUUUUCUUCAGGUAAUUCCGAUACUGCCACCAAGCAUUCUUGAAGAUAGCAGAGGUAUUAGCAUAGGUUACCUCAUCCUGAGUUUCCAAAUCGGUCCUUCUCUAUAGAGAAAAAUGGGAAAAUUUGCUGUAUUAUAACCAUCAUGGAGGUAGGAUGUAUGGGACGAAGCAAAGUAAUUGCCAUGAAUAACAUUACUUACACAUAACUCCUAGACAAACACCUGCAACUGGCAUUUUCCUUCAUCUUCAGUAUAAUAUUUCCAAGAUGGGAAGAUACGCACAUACGAUUUAACAACAUCAAAUGCGAUAGAUGCUAAACUACAACUGGCUGGUUGUGCUUCCUCCACGGGAAUAGGUGUACUAACUGGUGGAGCUGGGGUUUGCCAUGAUAGUACUGGCCCUUUGGGCACUGGAGCUGCCUUACUAACUGCUCUUGUUUGGGAGCUCUGUGGUGGAGAUGGUGCUGUGUCAACAGGAACUGGGUUACUAUUGGCUGGGGUUGGGGUUAGAUUGGGUGAAGCUGGUUCUCUGUCCAUCGCAGUAGGGGUACAAUCUGUGAGAGUUUGGGUUAUGUGUGGUAGGGCUGGUUCUUGUGCAUGUACAACCAGGGUGCUAUCUCCACCAAUUGGUAGCACUGUUUUAUUUGAAGACCGUGUUUUUAUUCCGCUAGAUACUAGCAUCACCCGCUCCAAUUCAAAUGGUUGAUAAACAUGAAACAUAGUUGAAUGUACAGACAUUGUAUGAGAGAUAGAUGCAAUAGAUAGUGUGGAAAAAAGAGGGCAUGAAAUAGUUGACAUGUAUAUUGUUUAACUAAAACGGAUAGCAUGACAUAAUUUCACAUAUAUGAUGUCUAUCUAAACUGGAUAGCAUAGCAUAACAUAAUUCAAAGAUAUGAUGAAUAACAAAACAUGAUCGCAUGACAUAAUUCACCUACAUGUUAUCUAAGUAAUCAGGAUCGCAUCAUUUAAUUCACAUAUGUGAUUUAUAUGCUAAACAGAGGGCAUUCGAUAUGAUGUCUGAACUAAGAACAUGGUGUUGAAUAUUGUGUAUAUGAUGUCUAAACUAUGCAAUGCAAGACACCGUAUGCAUGAUAUGAGCAGUAUAACUGUGCCAAGUUAGAGCAUACACCUCAGUAGGGGAAUAGGACUGGUCAUCUAUCUCUGAAUCCAUCUCUGAGGAGCUAUCGGGACCCAACAAGAGAUCUGCUUCGACAGGUAGAACUGUCUACUCUGAAGGCCUUGUUUUCACUCCAGAUUUUUCCAUCUCCCACCCAAAUGGCUGAUUCACAGGAAGAGUAGUUUAAUGUACAAACAUUGUCAACAAAUGGAAAUGUAAUGAAGAAAAGUAUGGGAAAGAUAUCAUUCAAAUAUAUGAUGCCUGGUUAAACAGGAUGGCAUUGCACAUUUCACAUAUAUUAUGGCUGGCUAAAAGACAUGAGACUGCAUAAUUCCCAUAUAUGAUAUAGAAACUAAAUAGGUGGCAUUACAGAACAUGUCUAAACUAAGUAGAUGACAUAUAUGAUGUCAAAAGUAGGCACUGCAAGGCAAUAUAUGCAUGAUAUGACUAACAUCAUCAUGCCAAGGUAGAGCAAGCACCUUGGGGGGUAAAUAGGAGUCGUCAGCGGCGUCUGAAUCCGCCUCAGAACAGAUAUCUUCCUUUGGAUUACAAUCUGGAGAGGGGUGGGGAGGGUUUGCCAUUGAACCCACCAUGGAGCGAUGUCUGCAUGACAUUGUAUUGCCGUGCAAAACUCUUCUCUUUUUCUCUACAUGUUCAGCAUGACUGUGUACAAUAUCUGACAUGCAUACGAAAAAAUAUGGUGAGAUUAUGUAAGGAGAGCAUGCAGAAAUUUAGAGUGAUGGUAACAACCAGUGGAUGGAUCCAAAAAUAAUGAUAGCAGGCUGAUGAUUGCUUUAAAUUAAUAAAAACACAGAUGAUGAUUGCUUUACUAUUUGUUUCCCACCCAAGAUGAACAACAUAGGCAUACCCUAGGUGAACCAGAUAUUAGAGAGACAUACUAUUCAUUGCUGCCUCGAUAUGUGCCCCACAACUAAUUUAGAACUCAAGUUUGAACAUGAAUUUGGACCUGAGUUGGGAGUCCAAGAGCUGAACAGGAUGAUAAAGUAGCAGGUAAGUUUAAGCAAUGCAUAACAUAAGCAGAAACAAAAGAGUGCGACCUCUCUUGUGGACCGUGUACUCCUCAGGUUCAUCUGCUGAGUCGAUGAUGGUGAUGCCGUUGAGGUGCGCGCCGGCGGCAGGGAAGGAGAUCUGAGGCGGCGAAAGACGGUCAGGAGUCAUGAUAUCUAGUUUGUGGAUGCUUCUGUUGAUGGAGCAGCUUAGGUGAGGUGGACGACGUCGUGGCAGGAGCAGGACAAACCACACAAAGUUCCCUUCGACAGGUACCUGUAACUGAAGUAAUUCUGUAAGGGCUCAUUUGGCUUGCAUGAUUCUUAAAACGCAGGGAUAGGAAAAACACAAGAAUAGGAUAGGAAAAUGCACAUGGUAAACAGAGCAUUUGUAAACACAGGAUUUCUAUCAACUUGGGUGUUUGGUUUACAUGAAUUGGAAGAGCAGAGGAAUGCAAAGAAACAUGGCCAAAAUAAAGAGAAACCAUAUGAAAGCGUGUACAGUUAGAAUGUUAUUCUGGCACUAAUGCACUUGGUCUUGUUUUCAUGCAUAGGAUUUUGAAAAGUAGGUCCAGGUGGAUGUUUUGCUUCAUUCCUUUCAACAAAAUGCAUGAAUAAUUGAAUAGUAGAGUGCCAUUGGAAAAUUCCCUAUUGCUAUGUUUUUCCGUUGAACCACAAUAGCCCUAAUGGAUCGACGUGAAUGUAUAGUAAUAAGUGACGCAACAAGUGUACAUCCUCUUUGCCGUAGCCGUGUCGACCUCAGCAUCAUUGGGUUGGUCGCUGAAGCAGUUGAGGCAGAGGUGGCUGUCGGAGGUGUGGAGGAAGAUAUGAGGAAUCUGUAGACGGCGUCCAGGGCACUGCUCUGUUGUGAUGGAUCGUUCUGUCGUUGGAGCAGCUCCAGUGAGCCGUAAGACGUCAAGGCUGAAGCAGCACAAGACAGACAUCGUCAAUCUCAAGUGGGAUUCUAAUAGCAUCUCCAAUAGAUGAUGAAAAAUGGAUGUAAAAUUAACAUCACCAAAAACCACCUGACUACAACAGAUGAGGUAAAAACUGUUGACUCUGAACUUAACUGUCGAAACUGAUUAACUGUGGAAUCUGAAUGCUACUGUCGGAACUGAACGCAAUGGUAGCAGAGAGACACUUGACAUGUAGUUUAGGGAGGGCCUGCAGUUCAUCUUCAACCUGCACACCCCUGAGCCGCCUGCCUCCACCGGCCGAACCACCGGCCCCAGCGCUGCCUCGCCGCCCCGAAACAACUCGCCGCCGCCGCCCCGGCCAGCCCUCUAGGCCCUCCGCCCCCACCUUGAACCCUAAGAUAGAUAGUGGGGUACCUCUCUGGCGAGCCCCCGUCCCCGCUGCGGGUGGCUCUUCCUUAACUCCGGCGAGCCCCCCCAACCCAUGAAAAUCGACUGACCCAGAAGUCGAUUCAGUCGACUCAAGUGUGGCUUAAUUAGAGCAGAGAAACAGCACGAGCGAGGGGGAGAGCAGCAACAGCAGCUGGGCGAGCGAGCGAUCGAGCGAGAGCCGGAGCAGCAGCUGCAGCGCGAGCGAGAGCCGGAGCAGCAGCAGCAGCAGCGCGAGCGAGCGAGCGAGAGACGGAGCAGCAACAGUAGAUCCGGCUGAUAUGGCCGCCGCCGCCGAAGGGGCCUCGCACUGGGGGAGAGCCGCCGUGGAGAUGUCGCCCGCGGCGCCGACUUCAAGGUAGCCGCUCCAUGGCGGUGAGGGAUGGAGCACCGUCGGCGCAGAGAGGUCGAGUUAAGGAGAAGGUGCGAUGCGAUGAGUGUACAACCUCUUUGGUGGCGCCGAGUAGGCCUCGGCUUCGUCCGAGGAGUCGGUGAGGAUGUUGCGGUUCCGGUGGAGCAAGUUAAUGCUGCGAUGUGGGGAUGGAGCGGCCGCGAUAGACGAGGCGAUCGUCGGAGCAGCUCCUUGGAGGUGGAGGACGGGCCGGCUGAACCGGCGGGACGACGGAUCCUCAUCCAGGGAGGUGGACGAGGGACAUCGAGCUGUUGCGGUGGACGACGUCGUUGGGGAAGAGGCUCUGGCUGGGCAGCAGUGAUGUGGCAGAUCGAGGAGGGUGGGGUUUCGCGGCUGGAGCGGAGAGGUUAUGGCGGCCUGGGAUUUUGAAUGGCGAAAAGGGGGCAAUGGGAGGGGGUGAAGCAUGACUUAGGGACACGCUUGUCCAAAAUGUAGGGUGUGUUACAAAAGUACCCCCCACCAAUUUGAACUAGCGGCCCUUUCGGCUCAGGGUUAGAAGGGGGAUUUCACGUGUCGGGAUUUGGCAGCUGGAGGGAGUUUUCACGCGCGUUGUAAUUUCGGGAUAGCAAGGCCCGGGUUGUGAAGGCGCGAGUUUUGGGAGCACGAUAUCUGAAUUUUCGGGUUGAAUUUUAGGGACAAGCCUAACAUGUAGUAAUGUUGUACUUGUACGUACCAAAUUAAUUCACACUUCCCUCAACCAAAAAGAAAACGAAAAAAUAAAACUAUUCACACCACACAAAGAGAGAGUCUUGCCCCGUUUUACUAUACAAAUGCUAUUCAAAGCUACUCCCUCCUUCCAUCUAUAUAGGGCCUAAUGCAUUUUUCGAUGCUAACUUUGACCAAAUAUUAGAGCAAUGAUAUAUGACAUGCAACUUACACAAAGCACACCGGUAACUUCGUCUGUGAAAGGUCUUUCAAUGAUAUAAUUUUCACAUUGUGCAUGUCAUGUACUAUUAAUCUUGUCAAUAGUCAAAGGCGGUCUUAAAAAUCUCAUUAUGCCCUAUAUAGAUGGAAGGAGGGAGUAUGAAUCCAUGUUAUGUCCGAUUAAUUUUUUUCGCUUUGCUUUAUAAUGCAUGUAACCUACUCAUACCAACAUUUUAGUGCAUUCCAAAUGUCUAUACUACCGCUGCAAUUCGAACUAAAUUUGAAUUCGUUUCUCUAUUUCAAUAAGAAUCUACAAUCAUGAUUGUUGCCAACUUCAACCAUCAUUCGUGUAUUACCUUAAUAACACACCACAUGAUUACUAUAGAGAUAGAUAUGAACUAUGUGUACUACAUGAACUCGAAUUCUAUUUUUUGAAUACACUUGAUGUUGAUUCCAAAUAAUAGUACAUUUGAUGUACUAACUAUAUAUUCAUAAUCCAAACCAUGUUCCGUACGUACACCGUGUUUAUCACACAAAGUAUAGUGCCCCGCACCCUACAUUAUGACAAGUAUUUAGACCUGAGUUGCAAAAGCCACACAUUAGCCCAAAUUAUAAUCAAUGUUGUACAUUAUGAUAUCUUCUUCAAGUAUCCAUAUCCACCUUUUUAUAAUGAAUUAUGAUCUUUGUUCGUCUUUUACACCUUCACGAUCCUCUUCUAUUUGUAGCUAGCUAGCGUUAACUUUCUAUCGUGCAUGCACACGCCCGCCCCCCUCACACACCUUAGCGUCCCCUCCAUCGCGCACGUUCAUUAUUUCUCUUUAGGUCGUCCACCAGCGGUGUGUGUAGGCCCCUGGCUCCUUCUUUCUGGCACACACCGGUCGAUAUACCUCUCUAGCCAAGUGUGCCUACAACAAAGACAUAUAUACUUCCCCUCUUCUCUUCUCACCGUCCAUGCCCCCAUAUGUCCAAUACGAUUCCACACAGGUGCACACUCCCACCCCUCUUUUCAUUAGUCACAUGCUCGCAGACUCCUCCCCCCUCGACAUGGUAGGCCUCUCGCACCACCUCCUAGCCACACUCUCUCCCCCUGUCUACCUCUCUGGACCUUAUUUGCUUCUAACACAUGCAGGUGUGUAUAUGAACUGAUCUCCCUACAUAUAGCCAGGUUGACUAUAAUUCGUUUUCACCAAGCACCGAUACACUUACCUCGCUAGUUAUGUCUCUCCUUUUCUCGGACACACGACGGGUGAUCUUCCUAUGUAGUUACGCAUGCUUACCAUAACCAUAUCUUCUCCCCUCAUCAUCCUUGAAUACCUCCCGACCCGUCUCUCACACGCACGUGCAUAGACAGACAGACAUCCCCCGCCCUCUCUUAUUGAUAUUGCACUCAUACCCUCCAUUUGUCUAGCAGGCCUCUCCCACCAUUUGUGAGAACCCACUCCACCACCAACCCUCCGAUGCUCUACCUUUGUCUUUUUCCCAACCUUAUUCCUCGGUAACACAUAUCCAUGGAUGUCGAUCGAUCUCCCUCAAUACAUAGCUAGGUCUCUCUCCUUCCCCAGACAUAUACUAGUCGAUCGGUCNNNNNNNNNNNNNNNNNNNNNNNNNNNNNNNNNNNNNNNNNNNNNNNNNNNNNNNNNNNNNNNNNNNNNNNNNNNNNNNNNNNNNNNNNNNNNNNNNNNNNNNNNNNNNNNNNNNNNNNNNNNNNNNNNNNNNNNNNNNNNNNNNNNNNNNNNNNNNNNNNNNNNNNNNNNNNNNNNNNNNNNNNNNNNNNNNNNNNNNNNNNNNNNNNNNNNNNNNNNNNNNNNNNNNNNNNNNNNNNNNNNNNNNNNNNNNNNNNNNNNNNNNNNNNNNNNNNNNNNNNNNNNNNNNNNNNNNNNNNNNNNNNNNNNNNGACACACAAACCGAUAGUCGAACGUUGUAGGUAGGUAUCGAUGCCACGGAGAAGAACUGCACCUCUGCCCUCUCAAAUUCCAGUAGGCCACCCGCCCUGUAUCUUUGACCUGGGCAAACACAAAUUCGAUGGCACUCUUUAUCGAUCGCGCAGCCACACACUUCAUCCCUGUUUUCAAUUCUAUCGAUAUCUCACGUCCAUGACUCCGUUUCACACACAUUGCAUAUGUUACAUUUUUCUGAUUGAGAUAUGAUCAACACAUUGCCUCUCUUUCGCACAAACCAUCUCUCUCACACCCACCCACGUACGUACCUGCACCUAAAGAAGAAGUGCACGCAGGACGCACGUACUCACGUCUCGUUCCCGGCCACACCCGCACGUGUACACGGUGGAGUUCGUUUCUGUACGAAAAGGCAGCCCACGUGAUAAUUUGACGCAUGUAGCGGUUGUUUACUCGAAGGAGGGUCAGGUACCACGCCUAGAAUAUAAAAUGAUUGCCAUGGGGAAAAUGGAAAAAUGGGUUUGUCUCUCGUGAGUCUCGUCACACAAUCUCACACAAGGACGCCGUGGCCUCUCUCUCUCAGCGUUGGUCAGUGAUCCGGCCGCAUCACGUCCGCUGGCAGAAAGGGAGGAUGUGCAUCGUCUCUCUGUUCGACGGCGUUGAGGCAGCUCAUCCCGAUCUGCGGUACCCGCCGUUCUCUCUGACCAAGCUCCGGCGCGGUAGGGCCUUCGCCACUUGCUCGCUGUCGCAGUAUGGGCAGAUCCCGGCCGCCGGCGCCCUCCUAGUAACAUCCCGACGACCCUCAGGUACAGCUUCCUCUGGCCUUGCUCCACUGCCCAUCUUCCCAUGUUGCCGCAUGUGGAUCUUCUUUAGUUGUUUGCUUAAAUCGUAUCUCGGCUAGCGUACUUUCCAUCUUGCAAUCUCGUCCUCAAACCAUUUUUGAUAAACCACCAUGUGCUAUCUUUCCCUUUUUACAUGGAACAUGCUUCUUUUUUGUCGGCGUAUGUGUCUUCAACUCGUGUUAUUGGGCAGUCAUUGUUUCCUUUCGACCUCCUUUUGCAAACAGGGCUAUCCAUUUUCACCUCAUUGCUAUUGUGACCUUUUGGUGAACUGCACAAAUCACUUUUCUGAAGAGUGUUUUGUGCAGUUCCGCCAAAAUGUCACACGGGCAACGUUUUUACAUUUCUGUGGGACUGCGGAAAGGGAGAUUGGUUUUGCUACCCUCCUCAUCCAACUCCGUGCCUAAUCUUCUCCGACAAGAAGUUAGUCCUAAAGAGAGAUCGUAGAGGUGAUCGGCUUCUAUUUAUGUGUGUUAUGUUUCAUCAUCUAGUUCCACUAUUAUUGUAAUCACACUGAGUGGAUAUCUUUGCAAACAGGGAUGGUCUGCCCGAUUUUAGUGGAGCUGCACAAAAUCAUCGGAUUGUGGUGUCCUUCAUACACCUCUUUUUUGUCUACAAAGCUGGGUGAAACUAGCUGCCAAGCAAUGAACACCGUGCCAAGGAAAUGGAACCAUGCCUACGAACAGCAUUGAUCAAUUAUAUAUUUUUUCUUUAUUUGUACACCUUCUCACAACUUUGUCUUCAGUUGUGAUGUGAAUAUUCACGCUGAUCUGCGAACCAUUGAGAUGCAUUAGCUAUGGUAGUUUCAUUUGUAUUUGAUGGAAUGUUGUAACGAGAUAAUCUCGAGGCAAGACACAUGAAUCCUAAGUUGAAACCUUUUUUUCCUGCGGGAGCCAGAGUUGAAACCUUCAUAGCAUCACAGUACAAUUUCAUCAAAAUUAUGCGUACAUAUAAACAAAUCCUGAAGGAUUGAUAGCAAUGCCAGAAACAAUUCAACUUUGUUUCGCCGACAUGUUGGACAUCCUUCAUCUGGCUCCACCUGCCAUGCAGCAAUAUUGAGUGCACAACACAACUUCAGGGAAAGAUUCACCCCGGUCGUUGUGCCGCAGUAGUAAUGACUAGUGAGCAGUCAAAUCACAGAGCCCCACCUUCGCCACAGUAAGUUGCUCGGACGAAGCAACCAUCAUUUCUCUGUUCCUUGAAUCCGCUGGUACUCCCAUAUUCCCAUAGUAAAGUUGCUCAGGCGAAUCAACCAUCACUAUAUCCGCUCACGUGUGAUGACCACAGGAGCUAUCCAUUCAGAUUGCAUGUUAAAAAAAAUAAAGGUCGAUAACUAAUGUGGCAAACUUAAAAAAAAACUAAUGCGACACUUCGGGCCAACGCAGCCAGAUCGCAUUUUGCACGAGAAAUUACACACCAUGUUUCGUUGACAUGUGGUCCUGUUCCAACAUAUCAGUGAGACGACGGCGAGUAGUAGGAGUAUUUCCGAACCGAAGUGUAGGCUGGGGCACCCCUUCGUGAACCGUGGCAAACCGGCAACCGUCCACCGACGCUUCGCCUUUCCCUCUCGAUUUGGAACUACUGUCGCACACUCUUCCUCUCCCUCCUCCAUUUUCCUUCAGCCCUUCACGCUUUCUUCUGCCAUUGUUUGAUCGUCUUCUCCAUGGAGGGAACAGGACGGAAACGUCCCCUUUAUUCUUUCCCCAAUCUGAAAGAUGACGUGGUGGAGGAACUCAUUGAUCGGUGCGACGUCAUCACCUCGGCUAGCAUGGCAGGUUCAUUCAAGCCCAUUCUUGUCUCAACUAAUAACAUCAUUACAAGGAACCCAAGAGUCAAGGAAUGGUUUGAUCUCCCCUAUCUUCUUCGCCGUGACCCUUAUGACCGGCGGCGUCACCUCGGAGGCCUCGCCCUGUGCAAGUUGAUGCCGCUUGAUAAUGAUACGUAUGAUGUUAAGAUGCCAUCGCUUGAGGGCAAGGCCUGGGCAGGCGCAAAUGGAGAUUGGGUUGUUUACAUUGGGUCCAACUACGAGUGGGAACUUGUGAAUGUGUACACUCGUGACCGGGUUCCACUUCCAAAAAUCUCAGCAGACUGCCUAGAAGUUGAGCACACCGGUAUUGUACGCACGUUCAAAUACAAUCAUGGUGACUGUCUUCUAUGGAAGAUAGCAAUUUCUCGAGUUCCCACCCGCUCUUGGAAUUACAACAACUAUGAAGUUGUUGCUAUCUUCCACAAGCUUGUUGCCGUCGUUGCUGGUUUGAAUCGAUGGACAUUGCUUAAAAUCAGUUUCUGUACACGGAUGAGUACUGUGAUGCAAUUGAAUACCGAGGGCCUUGUGUUUGCUGCCACCACUCGUGGCACUGUUUUUGCAUGGAAUCGUUAUGAUUUCGGUACGUUUGUCUUCCACCGUAAUUAUAAUGGUUUCAUCCACAUGCAUGCGGGUUAGCAAGUUUCCCUUUACUAAUUAACCUUCUUCUUGUGUUUCCAAGGUCCUGUGAAAAUUCCACCACUUAUACUUGAAAUGUUUUAUAACCAAGGGGGAGAUGACGAUGGUGAUGAUCACGAGCAUGAGGACGAGCAGCGCCCAUAUACUCGUUGGCGCCUGGCAACUAAUUCCGAUGAAACGUGCGUUACAAUAGGUUAUCGGAUGUGGCCAAUCAUCAACAAUAGUAGUACACUAUUCGUACUAGCUUCACAUGCUCCGCGCGUCGUGCGGGUGUUUUUACUGUAGCCAUAUUGUACUAUGUAACCAGCACCUCGAAUCCUCGAUACUAGUAGUACUAUAUAGUAAGUAGUAGGAGUAGUAGGGUGGCAUGGGCCAGAACAAGCAUUCACGUCCAGGAGUACGGCACACGCCACCAGCACGACUUCCAUCUGACACCAUAUUUCUUGGAGUCCGUGCUAGAGCAGUAUCUUCAACCUCAUCGUUUCUCUAACUCAGCCAUCGUGUGGCGGGCGAGGUGGGGGUUUGCCGAUAGUCGGUUUCCUCAACUACGAUUCCACUUGUAAGGCCAACUCCAACGCUCUAUCAAUAUAUGGAUGUACUAUUCUUCCCAAUACAAAAACUUGCAUCCAUUCUACUCCCUCCGUUCUACUACCUCCGUCCUGGUUUAUAGGUCCCCUUUGUAGUUUGUGUCAAAUUUUGACCAAAGAUUUAACUAACAAAAUUUUAAUGCAUGUCAAGAAAAAUUAUCUCAUUGGAUUCGUAUUUGAACAUAGUUUUCAAAAAUAUAAUGUUUGGUGACAUGCGUAAACAUUUUGUUAGUUUAAUCUAUGGUCAAAAUUUGGCAUGAAAUAUAAUGGGGACCAAUAAACCCGGACGGAGGUAGUAUUUGUCAAAAUAUAUAUGUGUCUAGACAUGUUUUAGUAUAUAGGCGCAUCCAUUUUUGGACAAAUGGAAGUCAAGUAUUUUGGAACGGAGGGAGUACACAAUAAAAAUUUUAAGUUAGCACAACAAGUCUAAUCAGAGAGCACAACCGAAGAUUUGGUCGGGUUCUUCCUCCUUUUGCCGACACGUGGGACAUCCAGCAUCCAGGUCGUGUCAUGAAAGAAAAUAUAGUGGUAGUUGAUAAGUUGAAGCCACGAGAUGUGCAUCUUGGGUUAAACUGUAAAUAGAAUCUUACUACUCUUGAGUAACUACAAAAGCGGCCACCAAAGAUAUUUCUUGGAUUUGUUUUUCAUCACCAGCAUGUCGAGGUGAAAGAUGUGCAGGUUCAAUGGGUCCUCUUGCGUUUUCACUGACAUGUGGGGCCGCAUGUGAGCAAACAGACGAUGGGCUCCGCGCGUCCGCUGGCUGGCUGAGAAGAGAGAUAGAGGAGUGCUGAGCAUGGACUGCAGGAAAUUUGUUCUAUGUAACCAACACCUUGAUAUUCGCGUGUGGUUGUUUCUAGAAUAAAAAAUGGAGGUACCUCUACUUAUGUUACUCCCUCUAUGCCUAGCCUAAGGUUAGUAGGUGACCUUGCGCUUGGCUCUUCGCCUCUUCCGGAAGUCGAUGGUUAUACAGUAGUGCUUCUGGCAAUCUGACACCAAAUGAACUGCUGCACGUCCACCGCUUGUAAGCAAAAGUUUCUCCUCGUGCUGCGAGCCACUGCGCACGCAUUGGCGAGGGAGAAGGUGUAAUCAAGCUUCUCGUAAUUCUGCGAAUUGAUGGGACACAUCAAAGUUAUUUACUAGUAGUACGUACUCUCUCCAAAAAAGGGCUGACCAUGUCAUUGCUACCAUCCCGUGCUCCGUCGUUGAGUACAUGCACUAUUCACGUGCCAUUCACGUGCCAUCGAGGAGACAAAAUAUUGCGUAGGUGCCAUCGAAGUGCACGACUCACUUACGGAAAAGGGUUUCCCCCCACUCCCCCCCCCCGCACGACUCACUUACGCACUGCUUAUCUGAUUAUCUCCAUUUUCUUGCAUGACACGUGCACCUUGAUGCUAGAUGUCUCGCGUGUUGGGAAAAGGAUGAACAAAGCUCAUGUAGAAGAAAAGAGUUGAAGAGCAUAGACUCCCGACGACCGAGGAGGAGCAAGGAACCUCGCAGUGGAGCGUCUGCAAGGAACCUUGCGCGUUUUCCCCUGUUUUUUGCCGCCUGCCCACCUAUAAACAACUAAAAGAACAUGAACUUUUCACUAACCACUAGAAACGGUACAUCAGGAUGCUAAGUUGAAGAUGUUUUAAGUCUUUUUAGAUAUUUCAAUAAGGGACUACAUACGAAAGAAAAUGAGUGAAUCUACACUCUAAAAUAUGUACACAAGCGAACGCACUAAUUCCAUCCGAUCCAACUCAUGCACAUACGCGCACAGCAUGGAGCACACAACGCACGUACACAAGACGUGCAUGCACACACGCUUGGCCGCAGAAUGCACGUGAAUAACACAUGCAUGCGCACACACUCAGCUGCAUGGAGGCGUGCGCCAUCUGCGGCGACGUCUGGUUCGUCAUGCUACGGCGAAGCUCGCACGCAAUGGUGCAUACGCAUCUCUUGCAGCACCUCUUUGCCGUCGUUGCUCAACUACUAGUCAGAGACGAAGAUGACCGCAACAUUGGCCUUAGAGCUAGCACCGAUGGAAAAACACGCACGCUGCACGCACAUGAGCACAUACAGAGUGCCCACGACAUGGUGGUGGUGCGUCCCCAGUCGCCUCUACUCCUUCUGCGCACGUUGUCUAUCAAGGCGGCUGCAUGCUAAUGAUGAUGUGGGUGAGAUCUUCUAGGACUCAAAUGAUGACGGGGAAAAUUAUGAGACACAAGGUGAUGUACACCGUCAAGGUCCAUGGUCAAGGGGGUGCUAGCAAGUGCUUAGAUGUGAUUAGAGCAAGUACAAUAGAGCUGAGUCAGCGGGCUAUAAGGAAUACUCCCUCCUUUCCGGUUUAUAAGGCUUAUCUCAACUUUUUUGUUUUUCCAAUUUAGAGGGCUCAUCACCAUCUCAUUUUUAGUUUCCAGUGCGCAUUAAAUCUUUGCAUGCAAGAAUUAAAAAGGAACACACCAAUGCAUGUAAUGUUCCUACUCAUCUAGUGGCCAAGCAUGCAUGCACUGUAAUUAAUCCAAAUUAAUGCAUGAGUUUAAUUGGGUAGUUUUGUAAUGUACGAGAUACAUUCCUCCACUCACAAAAUGCCUUGGUUGAUGAGAGUUGAGAUUUGAGCCCUAUAAAACGGAAGGGAGGGAGUAAACAGUAGUAUAUUUCUGCUUAGUUGGAGGAAAGAGAAGAGGAAAGAGAAGGUAAGUGGGCUCUUCGUGAAGAGCCAGCCCUAGCACGUGCUCCUAGGCACUUUGUAGUACAUGUUGACUAUAAGAUGGGGUGUAGGCUCAUAGCCAGCAACUGGCUAUACUAUUAAUGCUCUUUAGAUUAGGUGCUAAGUGCAUUAAAUGGCUUAGUAACUCAAGUGUUCAAUGCAUAGGUGCUUAGUUUAUUGGUGCCACAUCAUAUUUUUAUGCCUACGUGGCAGGCUUAGCAGCUAUACAUGGUGGAGCACUAGGAGAGGCCAAGGCUGGUCAUAGUGGGGAGUAACUUGUACUGUAACAUAUUACUAUGUUACUCUAAACAUCUCUAUAAACCGGAAAGGAGGGAGUAGUAACAUACACUAGUGUCAUAUGCAGAGUAUGGGAGCACAUGAUAUUUCCCCGUCCGAACCGAUCCCAAGUUGGCUUCUCACCUUCUUGGCCCAACAAAAACCCCUCCCCCCUCCCGCGCACGCUUCCCGUCCAGCGCCAGCUGAGCCCGCCGCUCCACAUUGAUGGCAAGUCAGGGCAACGCAACCUCUCACUGCUUCUGCCGUUGAAGCGGCGCACCGACCGAGGGCACCGCCCGCUGCACGCCCAACAUUUCAGACUACACAGUGGAUAGUAACUUUUAGAGCAAGUACUACUAUAAUUAGAUGACAUAAGCAGGCUAUAAGGAUUUAAAUAUAGUAUUUGUGCUUAGUUGAAGGAGAGAGAAGAGGAGAGAGAAAAGAAGCGUAUUGUAAACGUGUAGCUGGUUGUACUCCAACAUACUCUACUUUAUGAGACAAAAGGUGGGGCCAUUAUUAAUGAUAUUGUAUUUAUACUAAAGGGACUAACGGAUGCCUUAAUUACUGCGUUUUUUUAGAAAAACCUUGGUGGGGCUAUUAUUGACUUUUUUUGAGCUAUUAUUGACAUGGAUGUGGGGUUUGGGGGCCAAAGCCUACUAUUAUACUCCGACCUGACAUGCUCUACCCUAGCCGCCGCUAUACCAUAUGGUUUCACACCGUUCCAGAUCUUAGCGCUGCCACGCAAUUCUUCUCCAGCCCUCCUUCUAGCGUGCACCGUGAGAAGGGACAACAGUCCUCCCAACCCCGCCUUUCGUGAUCCUGUACGGGAGAGGGGCGAUCAGGUUUUUGGGGAGCACACUCCUGUGAUCGCUGCCAGCGACGACUUCCUCAACGACAACCUUCUUCCUCGACCUCAGUAACCUCUUCAUCAACGACAUGAGGGACAACAUCAACCACAUCGGUUCUGCUCCCGCUGUACAAUAUGUGAUUCUGUCCUCCCGGUUUAGUCCCAUCAUUACAUUGAUGUUUGCAAUUGUCGUCAUGAUCUAUUUACUGCUGAUUCAGAUUAAAUCUCAUACUAAAUUGCUCAUAUAUUCAACCAUCUAAUCCAAAAACCUGAUCACAGGCAAUUUACUUCGAGUUGUUUUGCUGCGCUUUUGAAGCCGCCUACUUUUAAGGUGGUGCAAUAUAAAAGGUGGGGCACAAGAGCAGUAUAUUGGUUUCAGAUCAUGUGCUGCUAUGACGCCACUAAGGGUAAGCCUGAGGGCGAUCUUAAUCCUACACAUCAGGAAGCUUUUCAGAACAUGGAUACCCUCUUCAAAGCCGCCCUGCUGAGUGUUCUUGACGAUUCCAUUGUGGAUUCGUAUAUGUUGUUUGACAGCGGCAAAGACAUGUGGGCUGCGCUCGAGGCCACGUUUGGGCCCUCGGGCGCUGGCAACGAGUUGUAUGUCAUGGAGCAAUUCUGUGACUACAAUAUGAUUGAUGAGCGCUCUGUUGUUCAGCAGACUCAUGAGAUACAGUCACUCUCUAAGGAACUUGAGUACUUUAAGUGUGUGUUGCCGGAAAAAAUUGUUGUUGGGACCAUCAUUGCCAAGCUUUCACCUUUGUGGAACGAUUUUGCUACUUCUCUGAAAAACAAGAGACAUGAGUUUUCUUUUUUGGAUCUCAUUAGCACUCAUGAUUUUGAGGAGAAGGCGAGAGCAAAAGACACACAUGCUCGGGUUGCCGAGGGAGCUUCUAGUGCCCACAUGGUACACGAGAAGAACUUCCAGCCCAACCAGCCCCAAAACAACAAGAACAAAUCUCAGGGGAAAGGUAAGUUCGAUGCAAAGAACAAGCCGUCACAUUCUACCAACUUCAAGAAGAAUUAUCAUAACGGGAAGGGAUACAAACCUCAAUUUUGGUAGCACCGCACAAAAUUUAUAUGGCUGCAUCUACCUGCUAUCAGCUAACCUCAUGGUGCUCCAGGUAUUCCUACAUUCGUAACUCGGUACAAUGACAACCGCAAGAUGAAAUUAGCUUAUUCGUACGUUGACUUGCUGAAUGCAGUGCAGAACGAUCCUGUCAUGUCUGGAGGAGCAAACAAGCAGUGCAGCCAAAGGUGGAAAUCAACCAAGGACUUAUGAAAUUAUAUGUAAUCUUCCUCAGGCAGGUCAGUAUCCCCCUCAUCUAGAUGAUCGUGUUUUGUCAUGCCGAGCUAUUGAUAUGUGCUACAGUUUUGCAACACCGUUUAAGUAUAGCUACUGUUUUCCUAUCUUUUCAGAUUCAGGACAAUGAAUAGGAUAUCAAGGGAACUGCACAAUACUGACCCAUGUUGAGUCAUCUCUAUUGCCUCAUGUGUUUUCUGCAAAUGUGUCAGCAUCAAUUGCAAGAUGAGGCAGCUAGAUAGCUGUGGAGUUGCCAACAUGCUCAAAGUGCUCGCAACAUUGAGAAGAAACAAGCAUGCCUAGGAAAUUAAUGCGUGCGCAGGGGAGGCCCUUUGCUCAGAGAAGCAUCGACCGAUUUUGUUUAUUUCCACACCUUCUCACAGUUUUGUAUAUUGGUUAUAGUAUUGUGAAUCAUUGAGAUGCAUAGACAUGCUGAACUUUUGUUCUUCUGAAUGUUAGUUUAAUGUGAGUGUCUGCAUCCAGUACCGCAUCCUCUAAUUUGGUGGAUGCACACAGAGAAAAUAAAUCUCCUUAAUUUACUCCAUAACCACCCUAUUAAAUAGGCCUAGUAACAAACCAGGCGCAUGCAGUGGCCGGCGGGCACAUGCAUCCUGCAUGCAUGGCCAGUCAUGCAGCAACGCAAAAGAAGAGAGCGGUUCUUGGGAAAAAGCGAGUAGUUAGUGCAGUGUGCCUUAUAAACACGAACAACUCGCUCUCCCGCUUCCGUCUCCCCACCCAAUUCCCCCCGCUCCCCAAUCUUCCUCACUCGUCUAGAAAACCCCACUCACCUUCUUCCUCACUCAUACAGAAAACGCCUACUCCACUUCUUCCACUCCUACAGAAAUCCCCAGACCUCCUUCUUCCCCACUCGCAGUGCCACUAGGCUCGUCUCUGGCUACUAUGCUCAAACCCGUGAGCUCGGCACGACACCCACAAGGAAAAUGGAGUCGGCUGGCCCCAACACCAAGAAGAUGAGGCUCCCGCCGGCGGCGACGCCGGUUGUAGAUCCCGCACCCGGUAGCAUGGGGAGAAGCGGCGAGCCCCCCACCCGGAUCUGAGGAACCGGUAGAAUUUCUGGUGGACCGCAUCAGCAAUCUCCCGGACUUCAUCCUUGAGGAGAUCAUCUCGCUUCUCCCCACCAAGGAUUGCUGCCGCACACAAGUCCUCUCAACUCGGUGGCGCCCUCUAUGGCGCACCGCGCCCCUCAAUCUCGACUGUCGUCAGAUAUCUGUCCUUCCUGAAUUUGAUCUCAUCAGAGCAAUUGUCUCUUCUCACCAGCAGGGCCCCGUUCAGUGCCUCUGCAUCCCGACAAGCUACCUGCUGUCCAUACCCGGCAAGGUGGACUCUUGGCUGACAUCCCCUGAAUUCGGAAAACUCCAGCAGUUUGAGUUCUACCAUUACCACGAAAGUUUCAUACCACGAACAUACCAAGAAUUUGUGCCCACACCACCGUUUUCCAUCUCACAGUUUUCCUCCUCUCUCCACACCGCCACCUUCGCCCGGUGCCAUCUACCAAAUGAUCUGGUACAAAUGCUUCGACUCCCACUACUAAUAAUCACAAGGAGUUGGUGUUUGGCUCCUCACCUUUUUAGGUACCGUAUAUUAUCAUCUACACAUUUGUAAUCAUAUGCUGCAUUUUUCAUUUAUGCGCAUAAGUUUUAUAUCAUCUUGGAGUACACUUUAGGUACUAAUAUUAUGUUAUAUGCUCAAUGAAGAGUUCGUCCAUUGAUAGCUUAUCAAUGCUGCUGGAUUCUGUAAAGAUCAUAUAUAUUAGAAUGUAUAGUUUUGAUCUAGACAUAAUUAUCGGCUUGCUGCGAUGCUUUCGAUCUCUGGAGAAUUUAUUGUCACAUCCCAGCUAGUCCAUGCAUUAGAGUGUUGCAUCAUGUCUACUUUCCAUCAAAAACUUGAAUUGGGGAAGCAAGAACCCCCCCAGAACCCCUCUGAAUUCAACUAAGCACUACUAGGGAAAAGCCUAUACACAGAAAGUUACUAGUAGCGAGGGUUAAAAACCCUCGCUACUGCUACUUACCAGCAGCGCAUGUUUUUAAGCCUCGCUACUACUAAGUUGAUAGCAGCAGCGCGGGUUUUAACCCUCGCUACUACUCAGCGGUCUCUACCGUGUCCCCUGGGACAUGCCAUAGUAGUAGCGUGGUUUUUUAAAACCUCGCUACUACCAAGUUUGAUAGCAGUAGCGUUGGUUUUUAGCCCUCGCUACUACUAAGUGGUGCCAUAGUAGUAACGAGGGGGUAAAAAACCACGCUACUACUAAAGGUCCCAUUUUCAAACUUUAACCCCCCCCCCCGUGGAUCGCCUUUUCAGUUUAAAAAAAUGAUGAAAAUGUCAAAAAAAUAAAAGAAAAUAAGUUUCCCAUGUGAUAUGUGGUCUAGUUGUUGGGAAAAUUUGCAAAUAUGAAUUUCGACUUUAUUUGCAAAAUCUCUCGAGAAUUUGUAAAAAUGGGCAUACCUUUUGCAUACUAACUCGGAUGAAAAAGUUUUUUAUAUGAAAAAUCAUCUACUCAAAAAGUUACAUCCAAAUUUAACGGGGGGAACCCCGUUAAACAUUUUCAAAAUCCUCAAAAACCUAACAGAAAAAAAGUUACGGGGCUUUUAAGAUCUAGAGUGGAAAAAAUCAAAAAAAAUUCAAACUGUGUGGUCAAACUGUGGUCAAACAAUGGUCAAACGAAUUAUUCUAGAAUAUUAGUGUUACUAAAUAAUUAUUUUAGUUUUUUUGAAUUUUGGUCAAAUCUGGUCAAACUAUGGCCAAACUGUGGUCAAACUGUGGUCAAACUGUGGUCAAACUAUGGUCAAACUAAUUAUUCAAGAAAUAUUAGUGUUACUAAUUUUUUAGAACAAUAGUUUCAAACUCAAAUAGUGAAAUGUGUGACUUCAUGCUCAAGCUAAAUUCCUGAGGUUAAUAGGAUUGACAUCUUACUAUUGUCAGGAAAACAACAAGUGCAGACUUGGAAACGAGGGAGAAUAGAACCCGGAAGUUAAGCAUGCUCAGGCUGGAGUAGUGAGAGGAUGGGUGACCGUCCGGGAAGUUAGAUGAUUUGGAAUGAUGAGGGGUGAUUAGAGAUGAAAUUGAGUAGCGAUGAGGGGUGAUUAGAGAUUUGAGGUUAAAAUAAUUCAGAAAUUUGAAAAAUAGGGAAAAAAAUCGAAAUAUUUUUUCGAAAAGAUUCAAAAAAACCUGCGCUAGUAGUAGUAGCGCGGGUUUUUACCCAUGCUACUACUAAAGGACGUAGUAGUAGCGCGGGUGGCACCCGCGCUGCUGCUAUAAGUUAGCUGUAGCGCCUUAUUAGUAGCGCCGCCCCCCGCGCUGCUAAUAGGCCCAAAACCCGCGCUGCUGCUAGGCUUUUCCCUAGUAGUGAAGGCUUACUAAAAAUAUUUUCAAUGAACCUGAAAUUCCCUUCUAAAAAGUUCACCCCCUUUGUCUUGGGUUAGAACCUCUGGCAAAAUUGGUGCACAUUUUUCUAGGUCAACAGAAGGUCAUUGAAUUAAAUCAUAUGUAAAUUGCAUUUGGGCAUUUAAAUGCUAGUAAAUAUUUUGAAUGCUCAAAUAAUUCUAAAAAUAAGUGUGGGCUGUUGGAUAUAUUCUAAACAGAGCCCCUGAUUAUUUUCAGGAUUUUUAGAAGUACCUAGCUAUUUUUAAUAAAGCCACAAACUUACAGAAAAAUAGAAAAAGAAAAACAAAGCAAAGCAGAGGCUUACGUGGCGCCCACCUGGCAAGCCCACCUGCCGGCCCAGCCCAGCCACCGCUCCAGCGAGCUGCUUGGCUUGGCCAGGCAGGCAGCCAGGUGCUAGACGUCGGCACCAGCGCGCGCCACGCAGCUGCCCGCCGCCCUGCUUCCUCCCCUUGCUGUUCUGCCGCCCUGGGUCGGUCACCCACUCCUUCCCCGAGCCCACAGACACACCCAUUCCUCCCCAGCUCCCCUCCCUCGCUCUCCCGCACAAUGGCAGACGCCACCGCAGCCGCACCAUUGCCAUAGUCGCGCUCUCCGUCGUCCCUGCGCCGUGCCACCGUGUCCAGAAGCUCCGCCGCCCUCCUCUCCUUCGAGCCGCGAGCACUCGCUUGCCCCAAAGCCUCUGCACCGACCUCGCCCGACUCCGUCACCGCCGAAGAUCCCCUUUGCCGUCACCGCCGCAACAGUUCGUCCCUGACCUCGCCGUCAGCUCCGUUGCAACCGCCGUAAGCCUAGCUACCUCCCCAUCCUCCUGUUUCCUCUCUCGAUCCCUGUAGCGACUGCAAGUAGCUCACCCGCACGCGCCUCCAUGGAGCUCGUCGCCGACGAGGCUCCGGCCACCCAACGGCCGCGCCACCUUGUCCACUAGCCCUAACGCACCCCCAGGAGCUCAAUGCCCUAACCCACGCGCCUCGCCGUGCCCCCUAGCGACGAGUCCGAGCUCACCCGAGCUCUGGUCGCCGCCAAACUCGUCGCCGGCGAUGUUUCCGGCAACCCCGAGCCCAACCACCGCCACCAAACACUACAUCUUGCUCACAGCUACGCGUAGACACUCCCCGCCGCCCAUUUGGUCGUUGGAAUGCGAAAUUGCACUCCCACCGCCCCGUUUGGCCUCACCGGCGGCUAAACGCCGGCGGGUUUGAGCCGCUGACCUUGACUGGGUGGGCCUGGGUUGACUUCCCCUGAGCCUAUGACAAGUGGGGCCUGCUCUGCUAAUUAACCUAGGGUUAGCGCUAACUAAUAUUAGUUAGUUAAACUAACUACUGACACGCAAGGCCCACAGGUCAGUUUGACCUGGACCAGCCCCGUUGACCGCUAACGUCACCCUAAUGCAGUGCUGACGCAUUAAGUCAAUUACUGGAAUUAUUCUUAUACAGGAAAUUCCAGAAAAUAACUAAAACUUCUAAAAAUCAUAGAAAAUCAACCGUAGCUCCAAAUCAAAUAAAUUGUAUAUGAAAAAUGAUCAGAAAAAUCUAAUCUAUCCAUCUGCACUGGUUUCAUGCAUGUUAGAACACAUUAACCUUGUUGUUUAGGUGAAACAAGUUAAUGCACUUUUAUGACCUCUUAAGAUGGGUUUGCAUUUGAAUCUUUGGUUCAAAUGGACUCAUCUCAAUAUGUUCUAGCUUGCAUUAGCCAAAACACAUUCUUAUUGCCAUGUCAUAGCAUGCAUCAUAUUGUGCAUUGAAUUGAUCGUGUUUCUUCUCUGUUUGUUGGUGUUGUUCCCCCUCGGUAGACGUUGUACCGACAUUGUGAUCGUUGACACCGAUGAAGACUCAAUGCUAUCUUCAGAAGUGCCAGGCAAGCAAAACCCCCUUGUUCAUUCCGAUACGAUCCUACUCUCUCGCUCCUGCUCUACUUUACUGCAUUAGGACAACAACGAUUCAUUUGUUACUUGGUGCGGUAGCUGAACCCCUUUAUCCUCUGCAUGACCUGUCAUUACCACAGUAAAUAGAUGAAACCCACUAGCAUGAGUAGGAGUUGUUUGAGCCAUGUUGUGCCUACUCAUUCAUGUUUGUUUAUCAUGCCUACUACUGUUUAGAGUUGAGUCAGGUCUGAUUCAUCGGGGAUGAAUCAGAGGUGUGUGAACAUGUCCUACUGUGUAUGAGCUAAGUGUGUGAACACGAUUUGGUAAAGGUAGCGGUGAGAGGCCAUGUAGGAGUACAUGGUGGGUUGUCUCAUUGAAGCCGUCCUCAGGAACUGAGUUCUGUGUUUGUGAUCCAUGAUUCAGCUACUACUAUGCAUCGGGCCCUAAAAUAUGAUCCCGCUCGACUUCUUAAUCACCCUUGUCCUCUGUCCAGGAGAUGCAAGUACUUUCUGGUGUUUGUAGUAUGCUGGAGGCCGUGCGUAGCGCUGGCCGGAGGGGUGGGCUAUGAUGCAGUAGGCACGUGGCUGGGUAUACCGGGCGCCCGUUUGGUGUCACGGAACCCUGUACACAUCGUUCGGGGCCGUAUGUGGCAACCUCGGCCGGACUCCCUGCGGAUGGAACCUGAAUGGGCGAUAAACCUGGACUAGAGACUUGAGUGUUUAGGUAGGUCGUGGUCUACACCCACGUCGGCUUUCUCUUGAAGUCUGCCGAGCACAUGUCGUGUGCAGACGCUAAGUGGUGGAAACAUGUAUGAAGAAAUGCACCCCUGCAGGGUUAACAUGAUCUAUUCGAAUAGCCGUGUCCACGGUAAAGGACUUCUGGGUUGCCUAUAACAGUUCAUAGACAAGUGAAAGUGGAUACUCUAAAAUACGCAAGAUAAGCGUGAGUGCUAUGGAUGGCGUUCUCGUAGGGAGACGGGAGCGGAUCCAUAGUGGUGUAUUGAUAUGGUGAAUAUGUGGACUCGUGUGCGCCACCUCAAGAGAGUGAAUUGUAGUCAUAGACUAGGAUAGCCCUAGAGUCGAAGCUGGCUUGCUGCAGUUAAAGCCCACCAUCCCCUUUGUUGAUACUGAUGCAUUUGUUGAUAGUUCUGAUUUAAGUCUUGCUGGGUACAUUUGUACUCAUGUUUGCCUAUUUUAUGUUUUUGCAGAGAGAAUUCGGUCUCGCUAGUAGUUUCGCGUGGACUUCAACAUUUAGCUUGUUACCUCAGCUACGAUCUUGUGCCCUCGGCAAGAUCUGGUAGUUAGUCAGGCUUCUCAGCCUUUUUCAUUUGUAGAUGUCUGUACUCAGACAUGUUAAGCUUCCGCUUGUGCUUUGACUUGAAUGCUCUGAAUGCUGGGUCGAGAGACCCAUGUUUGUAAUAUCUCGCUCCUCGGAGCCUAUUAAUAAAUACUUGAGUUGUAGAGUCAUGUUGUGAUGCCAUGUUGUAUUUGCACAUAUCGAGCAUAUUGUGUGUAUGUUAUUGAAAUGCUUGGUAUGUGUGGGAUCUGACUAUGUAGUUGUUUAUCCUUGGUAGCCUCUCUUACCGGGAAAUGUCUCCUAGUGCUUCCACAGAGCCAUGGUAGCUUGCUACUGCUCCGGAACACUUAGGCUGGCCGGCAUGUGUCCUUCUUCGUUCAUGUGUCUGUCCCUUCGGGGAAAUGUCACGCGAUGAAUACCGGAGUCCUGUUAGCCCGCUACAGCCCAGUUUACCGGAGUCCUGCUAGCCUAGUACUACAGCCCAGAUUCACUCGCUGAUGACCGACACGUUCGAUGCUGGGUCAUGGAUGCCUGUCCCUGUAAGUCUGUGCCACUUUGGGUUUACGACUAGCCAUGUCAACCCGGGCUCCUUAUCAUAUGUAUGCUAACGACACUAUCAUAUACGUGUGCCAAAAGGCGCAAACGGUCCCGGGCAAAGGUAAGGCGACACCCGUGGGCAUACCGUGCGUGAGGCUGCAAAGUGAUAUGAGGUGUUGCAUGCUAGAUCGAUGUGGCAUUGAGUUGGGGUCCUGACAGCUUUGGUAUCAGAGCUUUACUGCCUGUAGGUUUACCAAGCCAAACUGGUCGAAGAUGAGUCUGGAAAUUCUUUAGUUAUGUAAGGGAAUUGAUUGUGGGAUGGAACGUAAGGCUCUUUUUACUUCUUAUACCUUAUGCCUUCUGAUCCGAGUCAUCUUAUCUUCCCUGCGGGUUAAGGAGCUAGGCGUUCUCUUCUUUCUAUCAGGAUCACAUGUUACUAAUCCGUAGACUUAUAGAAUGUUGAAUUUAAGCCUCAGUUCAGUUUCUACUACUUCUGUGUGUUUAUAGUUGGUCUCAGAAUCUUCAUAUUGUGAUGAUCGAUUGGUUAUGCCACCAUUUUUGUCGCAUGUCUCCAAUCAUUUUGAGCAUUUACAGCCGUUAUGCUGUCCGAGUCACCGCAGGUUUCUAAAAAGUCUGAUGCAUUUGCAAAUCCCUUCCUCCUAUUCCUGAUGUUCCUUUGGGCCAGGUUAACCACACUAAUCAGUGAGUUGAGGUACUCUAUUGCCUCGACGUAUAUGUUGGAUCUAAUAUUAUGACCCUAGAUGUCUAGAGUAUCACCUAGUAAUCUAGCCAUGUUUUGUGUUCCUAGUGUGAUCAUUUUGGCCGUCAUCCUUGGAAGGAUCCGGUGAUGCAAUUUAGUUAGUAGGUAUUCUAUUCCUAGGGUUUUGAACCCGAGAUUCACCCUACUUACCUCAUGUUGAUAGUGUUUGCUAGUUCCUUUAGGAUAUUAGUAACCUUUGUGAUAGUCCUCGAGGUCCGUGGUAUUUCCUUCUUCCAAAUACCAUGAACCGCUUAUGGCAGAAGUUCUUUGAACCAAAAGAUCACAAACAGAGUACUCUUGAGGAGUUCUCCAUUCAUAAUCAUGACUCUGCCAGUCCUACCUCUCUACAUGAAUUGUCUGGAAGAAAUAUGUUGAACUCGUUCGACAUCCUAAUCCAUGCAUCCACAACUCGGGAAAUCAUAUGUUAUUUUGGGAUUGUCCCUCUUUAGUUGUCUUCUGACCCUCGUCUAUCAAUUGAUAGACAGGAGUAGUUGUGUAACCAUGUUCAUCGAUGCCUAGUAUUCUUGUGGUCCGUCGAGCCAUUCUAUUCUAGAAUGACUGGGAGAAACAAACUCCAGUACCUUGUCCAUUUCUAGGAUUGGGUCAAAGCAAUUGUAUUCCGCAGAUAAAAUUCCAAUCUUGCUUCUAAUCUGUUCCACCCCGGAGUAUUGCAAUCUUAUGUCAAGAAUGUCAUGGGAAUUGUACAACCUCUUAUGAAUUCUUGAUACAGUGAUACUCUCGCCAUCAUUUUUCAUUCCUCGGUCCCUGUGUUGUUGCAACCGGAAUACCGACAAAUGGAAUGUGAUGUGUGAAAUCCAUACUGCUAGCAACUCCGUUGCUUGGUAGUUAAAUGGACAACAACCUCAUUCUUAGCGUGCUGAUUAUUGAAUCAUCAUUCUAAGAUAGAUUGUGCUACCUAGUCCUUAUUUCUAGUGCACUCUUCGAUCAAUGAGUUAGGAUUUCAAUCCCUUGCCUAAUUGAUCACAUCAUCUUGCCUUGGAAGCAAGAUUGUUCUCGAGCUUAAUAACAUAUUGGUGGUUCGUAAUUUUCUGAAUAUCUUCUCGAAAGUAUUACCAGGUUGUCACCUGACCGCUAUGUAGGGUUCGUGAUCAAGUUGGUUUCUUGUAAACACCCUUCUCCAAGAAUCUGUGUUGGAUACCCUAAACUAGUUGGCUAAGCUAAACAACAACUUGGAGAGUUGGAUGAUAAAUGCUUGUCCGACUUAGUUCAUUUUAAGGGAUAUCUUUGUGUGUGUGUGUGUGUUUGUUGAAGAAAGAUGAUAUCUUCAUCGAUUGGUCCCUGUGAUCAGUUGUUGGAUCUAUUAUCUUAACCAAUCUUUAAUUUGAGCAUGGGCUCUUGUCAAGUCAAAUCAGAACCAACGAUAUUCGUAAUGUUGUCUUACUCAUGGUUGAUUCCUCGAGCAUACACCAUUAUACGUUUGGGUCUGACCAAUGUUAUCACCUUGUUCACAUAAUUAUGGAAUUCCAUUUAUAUGGAAAUCUCGAUAACUUGUUGUUGAGCCCGUCGAAAACAUCCUUAUUCCCUCCAAGAUUUUGUUGAACACUAAGCUAGUGUUGGAAACUUCUGAAAGCAUUUCUUCAUGCUAGUUCAUGAAGCAUAUGUUCGGAUGAAAGAAGUGACUUCCUCUAGAUCAUGUGCAUUUAAUGCAAGUUGCCGCCAUGAAUUAGAGAAGUCAAUGUUGCUUCCUUUGGAAUCAUUCGAAAUCAGUCAUGCAUGUGUGAAGUAUUCCAUGGUCUGAUAGACUGAUCAUCUUCAUUCUAUACGUAUCCCUAGCACACCAAGCCACUGAUUGAUUUGUUCAAGGAGAAGAAGUUCCUUCUUAAGAGCUAGACUUAUGCAAGGACUUCGAUAUCCUCGUUGAUGGUUUCCGACCUGAACUCGAUAGUGUUUUAUUAUAAGACUACUACAUGGUCAUGCUUGUCUGGGACAACGUGUUCUCAUGUGUGUAGCAGAACUAUCUCAUGUUUUGGAGCUUGCUACCGUAGUUCAUCCCCCAAGAAUCUCACAAUAUCAUCUCGUCGAUUUGUGUUGCAACCUUUUCCUUUUCGGACAUGUUGUCUGAAGUAUCCUGUUACUAACCAGAUCUGAAUCUCAGGCAGAUAUGAUGGUUGGAACAUUCCAAUAUUUGCAUUUUGUUCCUAGCUUGCACCGUCUUUGUGCCAUUUCACUAUGGGCUGCCUUCUUAGUAACUCCUGUUCAGGAUCAUCCCCAAAAGUGGUCCUACCAUGGGUCCCAUCCAUUCCCAAUGAUAAGCAAAAAUCAUCCAUUGCGUUGUCCUCAACAAGGUAGUCCACAUCAUCCAUCCUAGUCAGAGUAUGCCAUUCCUUCGAGCUCUUUCGAUCGAUCAAUUGUAAAUUGCCUUAAGAUGGUAUGAAGAGUUUCAAUGAUCUAUGGAUCAAAAGUAAUUCUUUUUGCCACUUAAGGGAGCAGUUCAACGAGUCACCUUUUUCAAGGUGCCCCAUUACGGGAUCAUGGAAAUUAUUUCCUCGCCACCUUGACACCAUCCACCAUCUUUCUAAGAGUGGAAUUGUUGCCCACCAAAACAAACCCCGUCGUUUGUUCUUCCAUCCCUCUCGAUGUGUUUUGUGUCUCAACUCAAGAUGUUUCAACAUCUCAUUCCGCGAGUUGAGAUUGUAUAGUUCGAUCUUUGAGAAGUUCAAUCCUAGUAGAGUUCCUUUCCACCAUCGUCGUCAUGUGGAUGAAGAUCUCAAAAGCGAGGAUGUCAAGAUCAACGUAUGCAACAAAUCAACAACCUUAUGAGGUGCAACCUGGAUCGUGAAGAUUGUAUUGGUCUUGUGCCCCCCUCCGUCUUCUUACCUCACGUCUUGAAUCUCGGGACGAGAUUCUUGUUUAGUGGGGGUGAGUUGUCACAUCCCAGCUAGUCCAUGCAUUAGAGUGUUGCAUCAUGUCUACUUUCCAUCAUAAACUUGAAUUGGGGAAGCCAGAACCCCCCAGAACCCCUCUGAAUUCAACUAAGGCUUACUAAAAAUAUUUUCCAUGAACCUAAAAUGCCCUUCUAAAAAGUUCACCCUCUUUGUCUUGGGUUCGAACCUCUGGCAAAAUUGGUGCAGAUUUUUCUAGCUCAACAGAAGGUCAUUGAAUUAAAUCAUAGGUAAAUUGCAUUUGGGCAUUUAAAUGCUAGUAAAUAUUUUGAAUGCUCAAAUAAUUCUGAAAAUAAGUUUGGGCUGUUGGAUAUAUUCUAAAUAGAGCCCCUGAUUAUUUUCAGGAUUUUUAGAAGUACCUAGCUAUUUUUUAUAAAGCCACAAACUUACGGAAAAAUAAAAAAAGAAAAACAAAGCAAAGCAGAGGCUUACCUGGCGCCCAUCUGGCAAGCCCACCUGCCGGCCCAGCCUAGCCACUGCUCCAGCGAGCUGCUUGGCUUGGCUAGGCAGGCAUCUAGGUGCUCGACGUUGGCACCAGCGCGCGCCACGCAGCUGCCCGCCGCCCUGCUUCCUCCCCUCGCCGUUCUGCCGCCCUGGGUCGGUCACCCACUCCUUCCCUGAGCCCACAGACACACCCUUUCCUCCCAAGCUCCUCUCCCUCGCUCUCCCGCACCAUGGCCAACGCCACCGCAGCCGCACCGUCGCCGUAGUCGCGCUCUCCAUCGUCCCUGCACCAUGCCACCGUGUACAGAAGCUCCACCGCCCUCCUCUCCUUCGAGCAAGCCGAGCCCCGAGCGCUCUCUUUCCCCGAAGCCUUUGCACCGACCUCGCCCGACUCCGUCACCGCCGAAGAUCCCCUUUGCUGUCACCACCGCAACAGUUCGUCCCCGACCUCGCCGUCAGCUCCGUUGCAACCGCCAUAAGCCUAGCUACCUCCCCAUCCUCCAUGUUUCCUCUCUCGAUCCCCAUAGCGACUGCACGUAGCUCACCCACACGCGCCGCCGCGGAGCUCAUCGCUGACGAGGCUCCGGCCACCCAACGGCCGCGCCACCUUGUCCACUAGCCCUAACGCACCCCAGGAGCUCAACGCCCUAACCCACGCGCAUCGCUGUGCCGCCUAGCGAUGAGUCCGAGAUCACCCGAGCUCCGUUCGCCGCCAAACUCGUCGCAGGCGACGUUUCCGGCAACCCCGAGCCCAACCACCGCCACCAAACACUGCGGCUUGCUCCCAGCUACGCGUAAACACUCCCCGCCGCCCAUUUGGUCGCUUGAACGCGAAAUUGCACUCCCACUGCCGCGUCUGGCCUCGCCGGCGGCUAAACACCUGCGGGUUUGACCCGUUGACCUUGACUGGGUGGGCCCAGGUUGACUUCCCCUGAGCCUAUGAUAAGUGGGGCCCGCUCUGCUAAUUAACCUAGGGUUAGCGCUAACAAAUAUUAGUUAGUUAAACUAACUACUGACACGCAGGGCCCACAGGUCAGUUUGACCUGGACAACCCCCGUUGACCGCUGACGUCACCCUGACGCAGUGCUGACGCAUUAAUUGAAUUACUGGAAUUAUUCUUAUACAGGAAAUUCCAGAAAAUAACUAAAACUUCUAAAAAUCAUAGAAAAUCAACCGUAGCUUCAAAUAAAAUAAAUUGUAUAUGAAAAAUGAUUAGAAAAAUACAAUCUAUCCAUCUGCACCGGUUUCAUGCAUGUUAGAACACAUUAACCUUGCUGUUUAGGUGAAACAAGUUAAUGCACUUUUAUGACCUCUUAAGAUGGGUUUGCAUUUGAAUCUUUGGUUCAAAUAGACUCAUCUCAAUCUGUUCUAGCUUGCAUUAGCCAAAGCACAUUCUUAUUGCCAUGUCAUAGCAUGCAUCAUAUUGUGCAUUGCAUUGAUCGUGUUUCUUCUCUGUUUGUCGGUGUUGUUCCCCCUCGGUAGACGUUGUACCGACGUUGUGAUCGUUGACACCAAUGAAGACUCAAUGCUAUCUUCAAAAGUGUCAGGCAAGCAAAACCCCCUUGUUCAUUCCGAUACAAUCCUACUCUCUCGCUCCUGCUCUACUUUACUGCAUUAGGACAACAACGAUUCAUUUGUUACUUGGUGCGGUAGCUGAACCCCUUUAUCCUCUGCAUGACCUGUCAUUGCCACAGUAAAUAGAUGAAACCCACUAGCAUGAGUAGGAGUUGUUUGAGCCCUGUUGUGCCUACUCAUUCAUGUUUGUUUGUCAUGCAUGCUACUGCUUAGAGUUGAGGCAGGUCUGAUUCAUCGGGCAUGAAUUAGAGGUGUGUGAACAUGUCCUACUGUGUAUGAGCUAAGUGUAUGAACACGAUUUGGUAAAGGUAGCAGAGAGAGGCCAUGUAGGAGUACAUGGUGGGUUGUCUCAUUAAAGUCGUCCUCAGGAACUGAGUUCUGUGUUUGUGAUCCAUGAUUCAGCUACUACCAUGCAUUGGGCCCUGAAAUAUGACCCCGCUCGACUUCUUAAUCACCCUUGUCCUCUGUCUAGGAGUUGCAAGUAGUUUCUGGUGUUUGUAGUAUGCUGGAGGCCAUGCGCAGCGCUGACCGGAGGGGUGGGCUGUGAUGCGGUAGGCACGUGGCCGGGUAUACCGGGCGCCCGUUUGGUGUCACGGAACCCUAUACACAUCGUUCGGGGCCGUAUGUGGAAACCUUGGCCGGACUCCCUGCGGAUGGAACCUGAAUAGGCGAUAGACCUGGACUAGAGAUUUGAGUGUUUAGGUAGGUCGUGGUCUACACCCACGUCGGCUUUCGCUUGAAGUCUGCCGAGCACAUGUCAUGUGCAGACGCUAAGUGGUGGAAACAUGUAUGAAGAAGUGCACCCCUGCAGGGUUAACAUCAUCUAUUCGAAUAGUCGUGUCCGUGGUAAAGGACUUCUGGGUUGCCUAUAACAGUUCAUAGACAAGUGAAAGUGGAUACUCUAAAAUACGCAAGAUAAGCGUGAGUGCUAUGGAUGACGUUCUCGUAGGGAGACGGGAGCGGAUCCAUAGUGGUGUAGUGAUAUGGUGAAUAUGUGGACUCGUGUGCGCCACCUCAAGAGAGUGAAUUGCAUUCAUAGACUAGGAUAGCCACCGAGUCAAAGCUGGCUUGCUGCAGAUAAAGCCCACCACCCCCUUUGUUGAUACUGAUGCAUUUGUAGAUAGUUCUGAUGUAAGUCUUGCUAGGUACAUUUGUCCUCACGUUUGCCUAUUUUAUGUUUUUGCAGAGAGACUUCAGUCUCGCUAGUAGUUCCAUGUGGACUUCGACGUUUAGCUUGUUACCUCAGCUACGAUCUUGUGCCCUCGGCAGGACCUGGUAGUUAGUCAGGCUUCUCAGCCUUUUUCAUUUGUAGAUGUCUGUACUCAGACAUGUUAAGCUUACGCUUGUGCUUUGACUUGAAUGCUCUGAAUGCUGGGUCGAGAGACCCAUGUUUGUAAUAUCUCGCUCCUCGGAGCCUAUUAAUAAAUACUUGAGUUGUAGAGUCAUGUUGUGAUGCCAUGUUGUAUUUGCACAUAUCGAGCAUAUUGUGUGUAUGUUAUUGAAAUGCUUGGUAUGUGUGGGAUCUGACUAUGUAGUUGUUUAUCCUUGGUAGCCUCUCUUACCGGGAAAUGUCUCCUAGUGCUUCCACUGAGCCAUGGUAGCUUGCUACUGCUCCGGAACACUUAGGCUGGCCGGCAUGUGUCCUUCUUCGUUCCUGUGUCUGUCCCCUUCGGGGAAAUGUCACGCGAUGAAUACAGGAGUCCUGUUAGCCCGCUACAGCCCGGUUUACCGGAGUCCUGCUAGCCUAGUGCUACAGCCCAGAUUCACUCGCUGAUGACCGACAUGUUCGAUGCUGGGUCAUGGAUGCCUGUCCCUGUAAGUCUGUGCCACUUUGGGUUUACGACUAGCCAUGUCAGCCCGGGCUCCUUAUCAUAUGGAUGCUAGCGACACUAUCAUCUACAUGUGCCAAAAUGCGCAAACGGUCCUGGGCAAAGGUAAGGCGACACCCGUGGGAAUACCGUGCAUGAGGCCACAAAGUGAUAUGAGGUGUUACAUGCUAGAUCGAUGUGGCAUUGAGUCGGGGUCCUGACAUUUAUACAUAGAGGUGAUGAUUUCAUGCACAUUGAAAGCCCGUAUGUAUUGUACUAGAAUUAACUGUUCAGCUGUCGUUCUUUCGACAUACUUUUUUUCAGACCUUAACUGUUUUCAAUCUUCAUGUCUACUUAGGCAGAACCACAUGGAAAAAAACAUAUAACCAAUCGUUGGCGUAAUAAACACAAGGAUUUUCUCAGUUCUCAUGACAUUCGUUUGAGGACAAUAACGAUGGGAGGAUAUGCAUCCAACCAGGAAAACAGAAGCUUUGUCACAUUCUUCCUGUUGAAUGAGAGGUUACUAUUGUCCAUGAGGCUUAAUUUUUACAGAAAGAGAUUUCUCACGGACGAACAUGUUCAACAGCAAAAAAAGAAGUUUCAGGUGGACAAAUGGGCUUCUAAAUGUGCUCAGCUUCUAUUUACAACAAGUUGUAGACAUCCUAAAAUAAAUUUUUUUGCACAGGAUGUUGAUUUUAUGGAUCAGACCGAUCCAUUUGUUUGUGACUACAAAAAAGAGUGGUUGGGUUAGAUGUUACUGU
Molecule: long non-coding RNA, 91206 nt
Filed under: Triticum aestivum (bread wheat)
Lineage: Eukaryota; Viridiplantae; Streptophyta; Magnoliopsida; Poales; Poaceae
Description: long non-coding RNA (TAES_LNC023188)
Source: RNAcentral